This 136769-nucleotide long non-coding RNA is filed under the name Prunus persica (peach). The record is from RNAcentral. Lineage: Eukaryota; Viridiplantae; Streptophyta; Magnoliopsida; Rosales; Rosaceae.
GCAAGGAAAAAGCAGACGACACCUCCUCUGCCGAUUCAAACCUACCUAACGACAUGUGGCAAUUGCAUGUAGACGGAGCAUCAAAUCAUAAAGGAUCAGGGGCAGGCGUCGUCAUAACCACCCCAGAUGGAACCUUGUUGGAACAAGCCAUCACACUAGGCUUUUCUGCUUCAAACAACGAGGCAGAAUAUGAGGCAUUGCUCGCAGGAUUGUGCCUAGCAAAAGAACUGACGAUCAAGAGAUUAGCCAUCUACUCAGACUCCCAACUGAUCACGAAUCAAGCCUCAGGCGAGUAUAUGGCAAAGCAUCCAAGAAUGAUCCAGUACCUCGACAAAGUCCAAGGACUUCUGAAAGAAUUUCCUACUUUCACCAUCCAACAAGUUCCACGGACAGAGAACACUCAUGCAGAUGCGUUGGCAAGCCUAGGAUCAUCACUGGACACCCAAUUCAGACGCUCCAUCCUAGUUGAACACCUUGACCGACCAAGCAUCGAAGAAAUAGAGCCAAUCGACUCAAUGCAGAUCGAUGAAGACCCCAGCUGGCAAGACCCCAUCAUCGACUACCUAGUGAAUGGAAAUCUGCCAACGGAUAAGUCCGAAGCUAGGAAGGUCCAACAGAAAGCCGCGAGAUAUUACAUGCAGGGCGACAAGCUCAUUCGCAGAUCAUACUCCGGCCCUCAUCUCACUUGCAUAAAGUACCCUCAAACACUUGAGGUCCUUUGCAAAAUUCAUGACGGCGAGUGUGGCAACCACUCUGGGGGCAGGUCACUCGCCCAGAAGGCUCUAAACGUAGGCUAUUUCUGGCCUACUAUGCGCCAUGACUCUACUGAAUAUGUCAAAAGAUGUGAUCGCUGCCAACGGUACAAACCAGUUCCUAGUCUGCCUGCCGAAAUCUACCAUCCGCAGAACAGUCCGUGGCCAUUCAUGCAAUGGGCCAUCGACUUGGUAGGCCCCAUGCCAACAGCACCUGCCAAGAAAGAAAUGAUGAUCGUCGCCACUGAUUACUUUACUAAAUGGAUCGAGGCCGAAACUCUAUCCUCUACUAAAGAAGAUGAUGUGGAACGAUUUAUCUGGAGAAAUAUUAUCUGCCGGUUUGGCUGCCCACAAUCACUAGUCACCGACAAUGGCUCGCAAUUCAUCGGCAAGCAGAUCACUGCCUUCUACAAAAAGUACGGCAUCAAGCAGCAUUUAUCUACCCCAAGAUAUCCUCAAGGCAACGGCCAGGCCGAGGCAUCCAAUAAAAUAAUAUUGGACUGUCUAAAGAAGAGAUUAGAAGGCGCCGAAGGAAAAUGGGUAGAUGAGCUCCCUGGCGUACUAUGGGCUUAUCGCACCACCAAGCGAAGAUCAACUGGCGAAACCCCGUUUUCCCUCGCCUAUGGAACUGAAGCGAUCAUUCCUCCUCACAUCACUGUCCCUUCUAUAGGCAUCGAAGUGGGCAGUAUUGAGCAGAACUCCGAGCAGAUGAGACUCAACCUUGACUUACUUGAAGGCGAGCGCGAGAAGGCCAUUGUCCGAGUCGCCUCCUAUCAACAGCGGUUGAAGUCUUACUACGACAAAAGAGCCAAGAUCAGACAAUUUCAACCAGGCGACCUUGUCCUAAGAAAGGCCUUCAUCACUGCACAAAGACAAGGAUCUAAAAAGAUGAAACCCAAUUGGGAAGGCCCUUACAUAAUCAGCCGGUCCGGGGGCAGAGGAAGCUAUACGCUUGACACCAUGGAAGGGAAGGAGAUUCCGCGACAAUGGAACGCCUACCAUCUCCAAAGAUAUUAUCCAUGACGCUUCCUGCUCAGUCCCCAGCAGACGACUGAGUACUGCACAUUUCUGAAAAAGAGAAGCAACUACUGCAAAUUCCAGAAUGUGCCACAACAAAAGACAGUUGCCCAUAAGGAGCGUCCUAAGGGAGACGCAGGGUGACGACAAAACGCGUCCGUUUGGAGACGUAGCCUGCUAAAAAAGCGUCCUAAGGGAGACGCAGGGUGCGCCAGGAAUUUCCUAAGGGACAUAUCCAGGUUCCUAUCCGUUUCCUAAGGGAGGCAGGAUAGUCACACAGUUGCCCAUAAGGAGCGUCCUAAGGGAGACGCAGGGUGACGACAAAACGCGUCCGUUUGGAGACGUAGCCCGCUAAAAAAGCGUCCUAAGGGAGACGCAGGGUGCGCCAGGAAUUUCCUAAGGGAGGUAUCCAGGUUCCUAUCCGUUUUCUAAGGGAGGCAGGAUAGUCACACAGUUGCCCAUAAGGAGCGUCCUAAGGGAGACGCAGGGUGACGACAAAACGCGUCCGUUUGGAGACGUGGCCCGCUAAAAAAGCGUCCUAAGGGAGACGCAGGGUGCGCCGGGAAUUUCUUAAAAGGGGGUCACCAUGCUCUCUGCGGGAAAUAUCCAGGUUCCUAUCCGUUUCUUAAGGGAGGCAGGAUAGUCAAAAAGUUGUCCAUAAAAAGCGUCCUUCGGGAGACGCAGGGCGACGACCAAAAGCGUCCUUCGGGAGACGCAGCCCACAAAGCAGCAUCCUAAGGGGGUUGCAGGGUGCGCCAGGAAUUUCCUAAGGGAGGUAUCCAGGUUCCUAUCCGUUUCCUAAGGGGGGCAGGAUAGUCAGACAGUUGUCCAUAAGCAGCGUCCUAAGGGAGACGCAGGGCAACGACCAGAAGCGUCUUAAAGCGUUUUCUGGAAAAAUGCAGAACACGCCCGGAGUCCCUCAAGGGGGACCCUGGCUUUUGCCGAAAUUCCAAGGAAAAUACACAGCAGGACACUAACCGGUUACUCAAGCAGUUUACAAGACAAUGUGCAAAUUGAAGUUGAAAAAAUAAAGACUGAAAUUUCCAUAGUAAAGCGACCAACCGGCCAAGUUCAAACAAAAAGAAGAUGGUCAAAACAAGACCAAUUAUUCUAAACAAAAAGCAGACUACAAAAGCUGAAAAGAAAUAAAGGAGUCUUCGUCUACUCCGAAAUGCCAGCAGGAGACCCCUGAUCUGCAGCCUCUUCAGCGUCCACCUGAUCAGCCACGCUCUCAGCAGCUCCACAUGCAUGAUCUAUGACGUCUGCCGCCGCCUCAUCAGCUGUAUCAUCCUCUGCUCCAUCUUCUUCAGCUACCGCGUCUUCAGCCACCUGCUCUUCAGCCCCUUCGGUGUUCGCAGCAUUAGCCUCCUCACCUUUCACAGGGGGCAAGUCAGGAUAGAGCGUUUCGAUGUCUUCAUCUCCAAUGGCAUAGAAGGGAUCAUAUCCAAUUGUGCAGUCCAAGUAGCCCAACUUGUACGCAUCCAUGACAGCAUCGGACUUGGAUUCUUCAGCAGACUUAUGAUAGGCGUGAAAUCUAGCCAAAAGCUUGUCAUAACUAUGAGAGAUGUCGACAUUCUUGCGCUCAAGGCGGAAAUAAGCAUCUUUUCGACUCGCCAAGUCAACAGCAGAAGAGCUCAGCUCGGAAUCUUUCUCAGUAAGGGAACUCUUCAGCUCAGAUAUCAUCGCCCGCAAAUCAGACGUCUUCUUCUCAUAACGAGUCUGCUCGGCAGAAAGCUUGCUAGCCAGCUCAGCAUUCUUCUUCUCCAACUCACUAAGCUGAGCAGAAGAGGGGGCAACAGCAGACGACGAGUUCCGGAUGGUCUCCGCAGCAAAAACCACUCCUUUUUGAAGCAGAUGAAAUGUUGCUUCUCUUUGUUUUUCCAAGGAAAGACUUGAAAAAGUACCGAGAUCACCAGCCUGACGGACUUCAUCAACCAGCUCAGCACAAGCGGAUGGACUUGAUAGAAAGUGCGUCUUGAGCAGAUCAGACACGCUUGCAUCCCCUGUAGGGCUAGGCUUGUCCACCUUUGGAUCAGCCGCUGAUGUCGCAGAAGAACUUUUUCCCCGAGCAGAUGACUCUCUUGCUUUCUUAGCCUCUGCCAACCUUACUUCCAAAGGAACUGACGAAGAUGAAUCGACUCCACCCUUGACUGCUUGUGAUUCAACAGUUGGAUCAUGAUGGUUGGAUGGAUGAGCAGACCUUGCACAUCGACCUCCACUCUUCGACUGGUGCCGACGACCCGAACUUCGGAGAGAAAAAUCAGCAUCUCUUGGCUUCUCAACAGGUGACCUGGACCGUGCACGAACUACGUCGCGGAGCAGAUCAUGAUCUCCAAACUCAUCAGCAAGAGGCUUAAGGGGAACAUCCCUAAUGUUGCGCAUACCACCAAUCUUCUUGCUAUCGGCACCAACAAGAUGUUUGACUCUGGCAGAUGACGCGGGAAUAGCUCCUACUUGGGUUUUCUCAGCAGAAGGGAACCUUGGCUUCUUCCUCAACGGAGACACAUUCCUCGCCCGCAAAGAAGUAGCUGGAGUUCUCGAAGACUUGACAUCGGCCUUCCUUUCUGGUGGGGGUUCAGCAAAGCACUCAUCCUGUUCAGCAGAUAGAUCAUCAGGGUCCGGACCAUUCUGCUUCCAUCUCUCGACAUCCUCGGCAGGGGGCAGACCACCAUCCUCCUCCACGCCCUUGCUUCAGGCCCAGCACGCAUAUGCUCCAGCCCAGGCCAUGUAGCACCAAGACCAGCAUGCACAUCAUGCUCCAUCUGAUCCCAGCAUCAAUUCCCCAGCUAUUUGGCAGCUAUCGCUCACGAAUUGCAACUCAUGCUGGACCAUCUCCGUGCUGCAAAAUAAAAAUAAAAAUAUAUAUAUACAUACAUAUAUAUUUUUAUAGGCUCGACUUACUUGGGAUGCACGGCAACUCCUCUCCUCAACAAGCAGUACAAAUUCUCCAAAAUCUUUCUCAAGCCAGAAGGUAGAGAAGUUAAGUUUGCGAUAUGAGAAAGAGUGAAGAGAAGCCCUGUAUUUAUACAGGUUGGACAACCCGGGUCAAGAAGGAAUCACAAACUCAUUCCUACUGGGAAUCCAACUCCAACAACAGUCAGAAGCCUACACCAAUUGGAAAUCCAAUCUGCGAAGGAGUCCAACUCACAUAAUAAAGCCCAGACACAGUUAGAGAGCCCGAAAAAAAUAAUUUCAUCUCCUACAUGCCACACAAGCGCCAUGCAGAAGCUGGGGGCAUUUGUGGGAGCAUAUAUUUUCGUCUCCAAUCAGGGCACGCCACGUGGAAAAGAAGAUUAUCUCUUUAAUUAAUUAAUUAAAUCAGUUUAUCUGGCUAAUUAAUUAAUUGGGAUAAAUAUCUUAAUUAAUAUGAUAUUAUCUUUAUUUAAAGAGAUAAUAUCAUUAAUUAAGAUAUUAUCACAAUAAAGAGAAGAUAAUAUCAUUUAAAUCAGAUAUUAUCUUCUUAAGAGAUAAUGUCUAUUUAAUUCAGAUAUUAUCAGGCCCAUUCCUACGAAACCCUAGCCCCGAGGCUCCUAUAAAUAGACGACCUCAUUCAUCAUUCAAGGUACAUCUAAACCUACAUCUAAACCUACAUCUAAACCUACUCCUUAUACACGAGAAAAAUACCCGAAGCUCUCUCUCUCCCUCUCCACUCUCCAUAUUUCCUCCUCACGGCUCCGGCCACCACACAUAAAACUCCGUACCCUUUGCUUAGCUAUUGUUUUCCUACAAACACUCGAACUAACUUAGGCAUCGGAGGGCCUUUGGCCAACACCCACUAACUUAGGCAUCGGAGGGCCUUUGGCCAACACCCCCCGGGUGUGGUCUAUUUACUCCAGUCUUUUUUACAGGAAUCGAGGAAGAGAGAGAAGGAAGAUCGAAGGUUGAAGGAUCUAGAAGCGAAUAUUCUCCCGUGAGAUUAUUUGCACAAACAUAUAUCAAGUAGUUUAUAUAUAUUUCUCUAGAAUUCUGCUGUUUAUUACCGCUGGGGGUGUGAUUUGGCACUGCGUAACGACAGCAGCUGGGUAUUUGGUGCGUUGAUCAACAAAAUGGGGGAGCCAUCACUUUUUGAUAAAAUGAUCAACCAUCUCCGUGCAACUUCCAAGUACGAGCUUUAGUAUUCUCUACUUCGCCUCUCAUUUCUCACUUCUGUCUGCAUUUUGUUGUCUGUCUAAGUCAUGCGUGCAAGGUGUUCGACAAAAUGCCUCAAAGAGGCCGAAGCUGAGGCCCAGGCCGGGCAGGGAGCCAAGGGCAACUAAGAAAAGUUGUUUUCUUUUUAUAGAAUCUUCAAUCUCGAUUGAGAUAAUGCCUGCAUUUCUUACUGUCUUUCCUAUAUUCAAUUACUACCAUUUGGUGUUGAUGAAUUGUAUCCAAAUUCUCUCUGUUGUUCCUGGGACAUUUCUUUUCUUCUUUAUAAAAUAUAAAUUCAAGUAUGUGGUAAUAUAUUGAAACCUUUGCUGUAGAUGGUAGUAUCUCUAUAAAAUUUCCUGAACUAAGUUAAAUUACCAUAUCCAUAUGAAAUUUUGAUUGAUGCAGUAGGAUUUAGGCAGUUCUUGAUUACGGGUUUUCCCUAGGAAGCCUCUUGUCUAAUCAACUUGACUUUGUUACGUUUGUACCACUCCAGUCUCCUUAUGUUUAUUGUCUGUGAUAUAAGGUAUUAUACUGGUUAUCCAAAGGAUCUUGGGCCAUCAAGGAUCAUCCAUUUUACAUCAGAACGUGAGUUUGUGCAGCUCCUUCACGAAGGCUAUCCCGUGGUUGUUGCAUUCACCCUCAGGUCAUCUAGAGUUGGUCUCCACCAUUUUUUAUUUUUUAUUCUAUUCCUUUACUCUUCAAUUGAAAGUCUAAAUGCUCGCUUUGGAUAAUGCAGGUGUAAUCUCACAAGGCAUCUUGAUAGCGUAUUGGAGGAAGCUGCAGCCGAGUUUCAUCCGCAUGUAAAAUUUAUGCGUGUAAGUUAUGUUUAAAUGAUGUCUUAACAAGCAUUAGUUAAGUUUUAGAAAAUAAAUACUACUGUCAAUUUCUAAUAAUAUAUCAUUUUGCUUAAAAUUAUGAAUGUUAAAAUAUGUUGAUGCACACUAGUAUGAUCCUUCUGCAAGCAUAUAUUAAGCAACAUAUAUGUGAAUUAAAAGCCAUGUCUUUACCCUUGGCACUAUAGCCCAUUUGCAUUAUUGGCAUUCUUCCUAAACAGGGAGGUCUUGUGUUUAAAGUGGCUAGCCCCUGUUGGUGCAGCUCAGCCACCCUUAAAAGAGCAAUGUCUUUGAUGAAUGCCUGAUUUCCUGAUUUUUGAGCCAACUUUCACAUAAUUUUAUGUUCAUCUUCCCUUAGAGCCCCCUAAUAUUCUAUGAUAUAAAUUUUUUUUCUUGCUCUGGCAUAUUUCAGGUUGAAUGCCCAAAAUAUCCUGGAUUCUGUAUUACGCGGCAGAGGAAGGAAUAUCCAUUUAUAGAAAUAUUUCAUAGUCCCCAACAAGUAAGACAGGAUCUUUUUCUUAUUCCAGUCAUGUUUUAACUGUAACCUGUGGAGCUUAUCAUAGUUGAAGUAGUUUGCAUUAUUUUUUAUGCGAACACCCGCACUUGAAAGAACCUACUACUUCUUAAUUUUGCUUGCACUUAGGAAAAUAUUUUCUGCAUUUUCUUUUCAACUAUUGUUGAUAAUGACUUUGACUGUCAGGCCUAAAGAUAGAAUCAGUUGUAGUGAGGCUUGGAUCCUUUACCUCUCUUACUCCAGUUAAAGCUUUAAAAUCCGGGUGGACAGUGGCUGCUGGGCAGCUCAUAUAUCAUGGUUUAUAUAGUUUCUGAGAAAGAAAAAGAAAAAAAAGGAAGAUAAUGGGAAAUGAAACAAUAUUUUCUCUCUCUCUUUUUUAUGUAUUUAUUUUGUUUUACAUUGAACUAGAAGCAAUUUGCCUUCAGCAUUUGAAACAAUUCUUGGUUUUUUCGAACAUUGAACUAGAAGCAAGUUGUCUUAGAAAUUUGAAACACUUCUUGGUUUUUUUGAACAUUGAACUAGAAGCAAGUUGCCUUAGAUUUUAAACAAUUCUUGGUGGAAUGUAAAAUGAUCAGAGUUGCGUGAUGACAUUUGGUUUUUCAUUGUAGUUUGUUAUGGUCAAUCUGCUUCAUCAUGUUACCAUUUUUAGGCUGAAUUUGUGCCCAGCAGGAAGAUUAGUGAAAUUAGUGAUUCUCUUUCCAUGACAUGCUUUGUAGACAGGCUGAUGGUUUUCUUUUGUCCUAGUUGAUAACUCCUUGAAAUUACGCCCCUUAGGCACUAUGCCACUGCUCAUCUUUUGGCUUAUUGAAAAUCUUUGUGGUGCAGACACUUAACCAGGGAAGGGUUGCUGAUCCAAAUAUUACAAAGUAUGCUGUGAAAGUUCUACCUGUAAGUUUCCAAGCUUGCUUGCAAAUUAUGAUGUUUAUUAUCCUAAGAGGUGGACCUUCUCUAUCAUAUUUUGACCUGAUUUGAUCACUCUAAUUUAGCGAGGUCCAUGAAUAGCCAUUUUCAUUCUUAUGUAUUCAUCCAGAGAUUCAGCAUCUUUUUUGUUCCCCCUCCUUUAUGGAAACUAUAGAUUCAGUGUCUGAGAAUUAUAAUUUCUCCAAACUAAUGUAUUGUCUGUUUUGUUGUAUCUGCACGUGUCCAGUUCAAUUACGACACUAGUGCCUAUGGAUUUAGAGAAUUUUUCAAGCGCCAUGGAAUACAGGUUUCAAAUCCACAGUGAAAUCUUGUGAGGAAUUUGUUCCAGUUUGCGAUUGAAUUAAAUUUGGUUUGUUGGAAGGUCAGAUUAUAAUUCUAUAUAAUGUAAGAGACCUGGGCCUAUUUGUAAUGGUUUGACAUCUUUGAACAAAGGCUAGUUUGUUCUAUUAUUCAACAAAUAUGUAAUGUCUGUUAGAUCUUCUCGUACCACAUGUAUUUGUCUCUUUGGGUUUGUUGCACAUUUUUUUUCUUUAUAAUUCCAUUCCGUUAGGUAGUUAAAAAAUAGUUUCAGUGUUAAUAGCAUGCUCAUAAAAUUAAAUGGAUAGUCUGGUUAUUUCUAACAAGAAAUCUCUAGCCUUAAUUCGACCUUUGGAGAGACACCUACUUAUGCUCAUCUCAUUACAUUAAACCUUGAAUCAUUACAUUGUCGUUUGAAUUGGUCAAGGCAGUGAGCCCGUACCCUUUGCACUCGAGUUCUAUCCCAUCCCCGUACAUUAGAGAAGUGUUUUGAAGGUGCUUGAUUGGUGCAUCCCAUUGACCUCAGUAUUAGGUCUCUUGAGCUUCCCUCGUUCUGGGCCUGCCCAUGUAGUUGUUUGCCUUUGGGCUCAAGGAACAUUCAUUCAGGUUAAACAUAAGGAAACAAAUUGAGAAGUCACAUUUGCGGUCAGCAAUUUUUUUCAUCAACUAAUCUACACAAAAAAAUAAUAAUAAUAAUAAUAAUAAUAAAUGAAAAUCUCCCUCUAGUAGAAUCCAGGAAAACACGUUUUUCUUUUGACCGAACCUUAAAGAAGAAUUGGAUCUAUUGUUUUAUGCAAGAAGAUUGUAGAUGUUUUGACCUUACGCUAAAUUUCCCAAUUCUUUUAUUUAGAGAAUGAUUUGGUAAGCUUGGCUUAAAAAGAAUUUCUUUCUAGGGAUGUGGAUGCGUUGAUGCUUCAUGUUGUUUGAAGCUCUAGACGUUUCUAUUGGCAACGACAAAUAAUUGCAGAAGUUUAGAAUAAAACAAAAGGUCUGAAAGAGCAUUGAAAGUGGUUUAGUUGAGAUGUUGAUUUUGCAACAAGACAACAAAUAGAAUAAAACAAUUUGACGUUAUCCAGAUUUCAUAUGAUCGAUUCAAUAUUAGGAGACUGACAUUUUGCUGGAUUUGGUGGCCUCAUAAGACGCAUUGCAUACCUAAAACGACAAUUUCUACACAAUGUAGUUGGGGAAGACAACUCCUUCCCGUCUCCUCUUUCAACAAUCAAAAGUUUUUUGUUUUGUUUUUGAUACAAACGAUAUUGGAGAAAGGGUAAUCGGACUUAGGACUUCGGAUGGAGGAGUAAAUGUUCUUAACUUAACGAUUUAAGCUACAAGCUCCUUGUUCAUAUGCAAUAUAUAAAAAGGGUGUUGUGGUAGGGACUUAUUCUAUGUACGACCAUCGGAUACGAAUAACUCUUUACAAUAAGACCAUCAUUCCACAAUAACUUUUUAAGCAGUCGUAUCGUGCACCACCUCGGGAUAUACAAUUCCUUCCAGUUUCAAGAUACCUCAAAUAACACUAUUUGAUCCAAAUAAUGUCCAAGCCUAUACAAAUUCACUUAAUGAGCUUCAAGAUAGACUUGAUCAUGCCUUAUAACUGAACUAUAAAGUUUUACCUAAAAAGGCCUCAAAAUUCUAACAAAAACAAGAAUGUUGUGAAAUAGACAGAAUGUGAGAGCACAACGAAAUAUGAGAGUGAAAGAUGCAAACAGAUGAAGAGAGUUUGCAUUCAAUAGCCUCCACAUUUGGUGUUGCGGGCCAUCCAUAUUUACAACAAAUUGCCAUGUUUUUCGUUUUUCACUCUCUAUGUCUCCGACUGUGACACCCGAUCCAAAUUUUAAUCAUUUAUUAAACUCAUUUAAAUUAUUUAAUUAUGAAAUUACAAUUUUAUAAUUUGGGAUAGGGUUAUUUUGGUUACUUUUUAAUCCGGUAGGAUUUUGGGGAAAUGAAUUGCACCGUUGCUUAGAGCACGUUGAUACGAGUGUUGAGUGAGUGAGUGACUAAUCCAGUGUUGAGUGAGUGAGAAAUUUUGUGUGUAAGCUUCGAAAUUUGGGUUGAUUGGGCGUACAAUUAAGGGCUAAGGUUUCAUUUUGGGGAUAUUUGAGUUUUUCAUCCUUUUGGCUUAUUGUGAUGGAAGAGUCUGACUUCCAUUGGGGUUGUGGUGCUCUUAAAUACAGUAAGUGAUUCUGCAUGUUUGAAAAUGGAUAAGUUGGUUUUGUUUUCAUCAGUGUGGUCCAUAUUAGCAAUUCCUUAUGCCUAGGUUUCUACACUAGCAAUUUCUUCCUAUAUCCUGCCCACACUACCAAUUCCUGUCCAUUUUCUAUCCAUUUCUACAUUACGCCCAUGUCAUCAAAAGCUUUUGAAGAGGAUAUAUAACAUUAUGCCCAUUUCCUGCCUAUUUUGACAUAUUCAGAUUCGUCCAUGAAGUCCGACGUUUGAUUUCCGACCCACACUCGUAGUAACAACGGUUGCAAUUUUUGUCUGUCGAACUCUCCGACAUUUUACCUUAGGGUGCGAUUUGGGAUACUCAGCACCCUUACGGUUGCUUCAUUUUGGGGAUUUCUCUUAUUGAGGGAUUAUUAAGCGAAGGAGACUCUUGGAACUGGAAAGGAUGCUUUUACCCCUUAUUUUGAUGGACAAAUUGACAAAGUUGGAUGAGAGGACCCAAUUAGAACUACUUCUCGAGUUAAAGGAUGUAAUUCCCAUUUCUCCAUUUAUGUUUUUCUAUAACAUUUUUUUCUUUUCUGUUCUUCGUCAAGCCAAUAUAGGUUUCAGUCGAACAAAUACCUGAAGAUAAAGCCUAACACGCUGAUGUUCCAUAUACCAAGCAAUUAGCAACAGUUGUUCCUUACAAUCAACAAUAACUACUUCUUUUCAUUGGGGUCUACCACACAUCAUGUGAUUUGAGAUCAAUCAAACUGGAAAUAAUUUAGUUAUUUAAUUAUCACCACAAACAUUUUAAUACUUUUAUUGAAAACAUUGUGCGCAAUCCGGUCAAAUAAUGGUAUUUGGAUAUUUAAGUAUGUUUAUUCAUCUCCUUGAGGAGGUAAACAUAAUUAGAUUACAGUGUGUAUAUAAUAAAAAUGAUAAUUAAUCCGUAAUAAGCAGAACAAGUCAAUCAUACAAAAUAAGAAUGUAAUCUCCUAAUUACCAACACAAUUCACGCAUACGCUUCUUCUCAAGUUGAUAUCUCGCAUACCCAACUUGUCAAAUAAGCUGUAAAACACUCCGCUAUGAAGAUUACCAUAUUAAGAAUAUCUGUGGGUUAUGGCUUAAUGGAAGUGUUAUGAGGAAUUAAUAUUGAUAAUAAGAGGAUGAAAGUUUGCUUCAAGGCAUGUAAUUUCACGCUAUCUUUCAAACUUUAAUUAAUCCCACAACUCGUAUGCAAAGGGAAAUGCAAUGAAGCCCGACCUAUAGCCUGUGUUUCUUUUCAAUGAGUUUCAUACCCGAGGACAAACCCCAAAUACACUUGCAAUUGACAAAGAUGCUCAAGAAUCCUCUUCUAUUUAUAGAGGAGUGUGUGUGUGUUUUUUUUUGAAUUCAUGCAUCUCUUGGAUUACAUAUCUUUAUCAAGAGGUACCACUUCAUGACACAUAUUUUGUGUAAGUAUGUGUCCUUUAGUUUAAAUUAAUGUAUCUGAAAUAUUACCCAGGUUCGUACAUGAAUUCAAGUGGUUUGGGAUCAAGACACCCCCUGCUAAAACUCAAAAGGUACGUGAAAAUUAUUUUUAGCGACAAACCGAUUUGGUCGUUUGUCACGACCGGCCAGUUGCUUUAUUUGAAUGAUCAAAUAUGAAACCCCUGUCUAUAUCCGACCAGUUGUUCAAUUGAUCGACCGGUAGUCUGCAUCUUUAUUUUGAAAAACCACCAAUAGAGCUCCGGUGGUGGUAGAUUGGUGUCAUUUUCCGUCCUUGAAUGGGAAUGGUACUAAUACUAAAUAAUGUGUACUUGAAAGUUAAAAUGACACAUUUCAUAAUAUGCCCUAGCUGAGCUGGGCACCAUUGAUAAAACCUUACUUUAUACAACUAGAAGUAUAUGGUAACGCAUGUGCAAUAACGUGGGAGCAUAUACGUCAUUGAGCCUGUCACAUUGAUUUGUUGCAAGCAUUAUCAUAACAUUAAUUAUAGUUAGAUAAGUGUGAGCUACUACAUACAUCUUAAACAUUAAAUUCAUCUAACGCCAUUUAAUUUAGUAUUAACGUUCACCACCAACUAAGGUAUAAUUAAGUUUUUUUUAAAAAAAAGAGAAAGUGAAAUGGAUAUAAAAAAAAAUUUGUAAAUGCCUAGCAAGCCCUUUGGUGUUCCUUUCUUUUUCUUGGUAUAUUGUUGUGUUAUUUGAAUAUUAUGAGAGGCGCAAAAACAAGAAGCCAUGUCUUAAUUUGGAACGUUAGUCGCAACAAGAGUUUUCAUUUCCUUUCAUGAACAGUGUGCCGAUGAAAGUGAAACAAAUGCGUCGGCAGCAGAACAAACAAAGCAGAACACGCUACGCUUUCCGUUUGGAUAGCAAUCCAAUGACCAACGAACAAUUAUUAACCGUAAUUAUUUAUUGUGAUUGGCUUCUUUUUAUUUUAUUUCCUUCUUCUUCUUCUUUUAAUUGGGAAAAUAAUAACAAAUUAAUCUCUCUUUUUAUAUAUUAAAAAAAAAAUCCUAAUAUUAGGAAAAACAAUUUGAGGUUUGUUUUUGUCUACUCAUAGUUUCCUGAAUUAACAUAACAAAAAUUAUUUAUUUAAACAAAUCACCACCAACUCCCCUUCUCGUUGUUCAAAACACCUAUAAAAACGCCUUUAUUUUUCCCCGUGACAGUCCAUCUCUCAGUUUCCGCCACUUCCUCUAUUUCUCUUCAUUCCAUCCUCUUUUACAAAACAAAACCAGCACCUCUCUCUCUCUCUCCACACCAUCUCUGCCUCUGCAAAAUCUAAAAUGGUAUGUAUCUCUCUCUCUCUCUCUCUGUUUUUCUCUGUUCCUCUCUUUAACACAGUGAGCCAGUGGCUCAAAUGGUAUUUAUUGGUAUUUAUCUAUUUUGGAAUGAUUUCCUAGUUGGUAUUUAUAUGCAUGUAUUUCUUGAUUGAUUUCAUAUUUCUGGGUGCCCAAUUGGGAGAAGUUCUUGCAGAUCAAAAAAUCAAACCCACUAAUGGGUUUGGUUUCCUCUUACUUAUUCUAAGUCACAGUACCUAUUUCAUCAUCUUCAUCAACCAUGGUAUUCAAAACAGUUUUCUAAAACUUCAGCUGUUUUCCCACUCAGGAAAAGCGGUAUUCAGAAGACAAAAAUCAGUUUUUGUUUUGAUUGCAGGCUUGCAGCAGAAGCUGCUAUUAAAUAUUUAAUUAUUAUAUCUGUUGGGCUGUUUCAUUGGAGCCUCAGCCAGCCUCUACUCCCAUUUGUUAAUUAUUAAUUAUAUAUAUUGUUUUGUUUUGGGUGCAAAGGGAAAUGGAAAUUGCUUUGGAAUGGUGGCAGGCAUGGCAUCUUUUUAUUUUCUUUCUCUUUCUUUUAAUGAUCAUUUCUUCAACGCUAAGUUAGCUUCUAUGCAAAUGUGGGUUAGGCCACUCGGCACUAUAGCGUGCUCGUUCCUUGCAUUCGAGUUUGAUCCUUUUGUUAUAUUAGAAUAAUUACAAUAGACAAAAAAAGAAAAAAAGAAAGAAGAAGAUAGCAUCUAUAACAUCCCCUGUUUCUAAAUUGGGCGAAUGCUAAGUUUCAAUUCAAUUCUUAUUUUUUAAUUUGAUGUGAUUUUUGCUCCUUUUUUUUUUUUUUUUUUUUUUUCUUUUCAAGUAAGCUACGCUUCUUCCUAUUAAAGUUCCGGUUAAAUUAGAAAAUGGUAUUCCCUAUAUUUUAAUAGAAAAAAAAAAAAAGACUUACUUCCCAAGCAACUUUGUGCUAGUUGUUGCAAACGUAGGGACAUAGUGCAACUUUAUUUAUUUAUUAUUAAUUUUGCAGUCAAACAUGAUACAAAACAGGAAGAAAAAAAUAAUUUCCGAUAAGAUUGAAUUAUCCUUUUGUAUUUUUUAACUUGAAUUAUCCUUGCCCAAGAUUUGAGAUUCUGUCUUUUUUGAAAUGGAAAUUUGUCAUUUGGCAAGGAAUCUCAAAUCUGAGGCCAAAAAUGGUCCCUUUUAAUUUUGUUUAUUUAAAUUUUGUUUAUUUGUUAUAAAUUUUAUAGUGUUCCUUUUGAAGUUUUGAAGUUGGAUUUGUGAGAAUAAUACCAAAUAUUGGGGAAUGAUUCGGUGCGGUGCAGGUCACGACGGAUGAGGAGGAGAAGACCGGAGUUAUUUUUUUGACGAAGCCAUUGUCAUUAGAUGGGGAUUCGGAGGUUGAUUAUAGAGCUCCUAAUCUAAUUAAGCGCGUCCUAAGUCUGUUUAAAAAUGUACGGCCAGGAUCAGAUCUCUCUCGUUUCCAGGCAAGUCUAGUGCUUCUUCUUUCAUAACCUUAGCUUUUAUCAUUUCUGUCGCAUCCUCAAAUUACAUUUUACAAACCUCAUCUUAGGCAAGGAUAGGACUCACUGGACCUACUGCUGUGGUAGGUCCCAUCUUUGUCGAAAAAUUAGAAAAAUUAUUAUACGGUAUUGAAAUAUGGUCACGUUAUAUAAGACGGUAUGGAUAAUAUUUUCAAUUUUAUACAACGUAGUCGUAUUUCAAUAUCAUAUUAUAAUUUUUUUAAAUCAAUGUAUUCGAAAAAAUUGUGGUUCAAAAGCAUCAGUUUCGAUCUCCUGAACUACAGGGAUCUAAGAGAUUUGUGGUCACUUACCGUUGGAUGUAAAUUCGACGGUUCACUCACUCUUGCACUCAUUUUAAGAAAUUUUUUUGAACUAUUGAAUUAAUAUCCAAUAAUAAAUGACCAUAAUCUAUUAGACUCUUAUGAUCCAAAAAAUCAGAACUGUAAAAAGCAUUACUCCAUACUUUUACAUUUUUGGGAGUUUCUUUUAUUUCCAUACUUUUAUAUGUUGACACCUGGUUUUUUAUGAAUAUCUGUGGUCAUUACAUAAAAAGACAAAAUGAACUAUCAUGCAUCAGCCGGCCGUACACAAAGCUUUUGUUUUUAUCGUCCAGUCCGGUCCUACUAUACGAGUGCUACUGUGAUUCACUUGUGUUUGGGAGUGCAUCCGAAAUGCUUUUGGUAGUGUUCGGCGGAAAGUCUUAUUAGUGCUUCUGCGUUACGAAAGUGCUUUUUAGAGAAGCACGUAGCAUGUGCUUUUUUAGGAAUUAUAUUUUUAAUAAAAAUUCUAACGCUUUUCUAGUAGAUGUAUUUCUAAAAAAAAUUGUUUAUGAGUAGAAGUGCUUUCUACAGAAGUAGUCCCAAAAGGAUUUCUGAAACAGGAUCACUUAUACAAAUGCUUUUUAUGACAUUUUACCUGUGAAAAUUAAUACAUUAAUACAAAAGGUAGUCCCAAUUAAAAAAUUUCCGUGUGGACGGACCAGAAUAAUUUUUCAAAAAGAUGUUUUUAUUUUUAUUUUCUACAAUGAAACUCCCAGGAUGAGUUUUCAACAUUUUCUAUAAAUUUUUAUGAGAAAUUCAUCUCUAAAAUAAAAUUACCUUAAAAACAAUGAUCUGCUUCCCAGUACACGUUCGAAUUCAGCAUGCUGCACAUAUGCAAUUAUAAACGGAAUAUUGUUGACAAUUGUUUUCAAUCGCCAACUAACAUAGGAAUUCCUGUAAUAUUUACAACAACUAAUUUAGAAUAAUCUUUCAAUUUGAAUUGCUUUGAAGCAAUCGAAACAAGCCACGUGGUGUAUCAGAUACAUACAAUAAUUUCUCCAACCGAGGGCCUUAAUAAAUUCCUAGGCGCAGUGUUAAGGAGAUCCAAGUAAAGAAACACAACUUUGGAAAGUCCUAAACCAAUUUUAUGUUCUCUUUGCUGUAUGGAACAAAACAACCUUGACAUAAAAAAACUAUAUAUGCAUACAAUUCUCUUCAAUCUUGCGUGUGCUUGCAUACAAUUUACAAAGAAUAACAUAUUUGCAUUUGUGAAUCUUCUUACAGUUCUGUUGAAAAACGAAAUAUCACACAGUAGUGUAGUCUUGAUUGUAUUUGGUGGUCAAUGGUAAUUGAUCUUGUUACUUGUUUUGCAAGUUCAGCUGUCACCUCUUUUUAACUUACCGAAGUCACACCUCCAGUGUUUCGGUGAAUCGGUGUAUUGCGUUGGUAAUGAUCUGUUAGGGAGGUGCAACAAAGGGGAAAGUCCCCAAGAGAGGUUCACAGCCGUCGUAUCAUGGAGCAUUUCUAUUUUGCGUCCUAUGAUCUUCGGAAUUGCUCCUUACAACCCCAUUCUUGGAGAAACUCAUCAUGUUUCAAGGGGGAAUCUCAAUGUUCUACUUGAGCAGGUACUUGUAUUUGUGUUUUCUGCUAAACCUUUGCUCGAAAAUGGUUGUCUUAUGAUUAUCUUAGCCUCCAAUUUAUGCUGCCAUGCUGGCCAAACUUGAACAUGAUCUCACUACUACCUGGCGAGUGGCGAGUUGGUGGAUCUUUUAUGCAUACAUUGCCUAAUGUGGUUGUUUUUUGGGUUGCAUACUUGCAGGUUUCACAUCACCCACCAGUUACUGCCCUUCAUGGAACUGAUGAAAAAGAAAACCUUGAAAUGAUAUGGUGUCAACAUCCUACUCCCCAAUUCUAUGGUACUCUACUUCUUACUUUUCAUAAUAACGAUUAAUCUAAUGGAAGAAAUACUGGUUUGCUGGUUACUAUAGCCGUUACAUAUUUAACAAACAAAAUGUAAAAUGUUACUAUAAAAAAGAUUGUAAAGCUUGAACCUUGGUUAAUUUUUUUGAACUGCGAAAAAAAGAAAACAAAUAGCUUUUACUCACAAUCAUCCAGAUUGUUUAUUUGUUUGUUUUUAUUUGAGAAAAAAUAGCAGUCACCAAUCAUAUGCAUCAAGUCUUUCCUCUCUGUCUCCAGUCUUGUUUUUGCGAUCUUUGUCGGAAAAUGAAAGUCAGAGAUCCUUCAAACACCUGAAAUUUUGUCAUAUCUAAGAAAUUUUAACCUUUUGACUCUAAUCCGCCAUCCAAUCUACAUAAGCAUUUGCUUUGCUAUUUCAUUAGUGUUGCAUUAUCUACCAAUCCUGACUGAUGGUUAACAUAGCAGUUAUCUGCCAGAGCCAGAUAAAAAUAAUUCGAAGACUUCAAUGUAGUAGACCUCUUACAAGGAACCUGUACUCUGUACCAAGUUCUUAGUUAAUGCUGACUGUUUAGAGACAGUUUCAAUGCUGCUGCUGCUGCUGCUUCUGAUGUUCCUAUAUCUUCCUUUUCCUUUCUGAUACUCUUUUGAAAAUGUGCUUCUCUUAUCUUGACUGUACAGUUCAGAUGAAAGUGCUAAUUGAUUUGAUCUGAAAACUAUUCUUAGGAACAAUACCUCAAAACAACAAAAUUUCAGUGUGAAAACCAGAGUAGAGGAUGUGAUUUCAGUUUCUAACUGUAAGAUUAACCGCACUAUCGAUCCGAAAGGUUCCUUUUAUCUUUGGCCCUCGACAUGUUAUUAGCCUUUAUAUAUUACUAUUAUCAGGUUUUCUGUGUUUUCAAGUCACUCUAAUCCUUUACUUUAAUACUCAUUAGAAGCUCAAAAUUCAUUUACUUUAAUGUUUGCAGGCUGUGUAUAUAUUCACUAGUUAAGAACUUCAAACUCACCAACAAUAUCAAAGAUUUCAUUCUUUUCAUAACUUUCACGCACUUUAAGUUCCUCCCUUUAAAUCUUCUACUGGGUUUAAAUGCCAUAUUUCUUAUCAAGAACCAUGCUGCAGGUACUUCAGUGGAAACCGAGGUGCAUGGAAAAAGGCAACUGAAGCUCCUGAAUCACCGAGAAACAUAUGAAAUGAACUCUCCGAAACUCUUGAUCAAAUUCUUGCCAUUACCUUGGGUUGAUUGGGUUGGUGAAAACAGAAUCCAGUGUCAUGAGACUGGCCUUGAAGCUGAGUUAUAUUAUGGAAGCAGCUCCUUUUUUGGGCUUAGGGGAAAUCCCAGAACAGUUAAGGGAAAGAUCUUUGACUCAACAUCGUUCGAGCUUCUUUAUGAGAUAGAUGGUCAGUGGGAUAGGUAAUUCAAGGGUCCAUGAAAGGAUUAUCUUCUUCUUCUUUAGACUGCUGCUAUGUGCAUAAAGAUUAACAGUGGUUUGAUUUCAUACAUUUGAAAAAGCAACAAAAAGAAAAAACGAAACCAUUGAUUACUUACAAGUUAGACCUUGAUGCUACAGGUACAAGGUUUCUUAACAAUCUUUAACAAAUAACAAGUAAAAUGGUUCUCUCAUAUUGUCUAACAACUUUUCUCCUGACCAUAUUCAUGUUUAGCCUUGAAAAAUUCUGUUGACGUUUCACACAUCCAUGUCUGUCUUGUUAUAAUGCUGCAUCCUAUAUUUCAUUGCAGAACUGUAAAAAUGAAGGACGUCAAUAGCGGGAAAGAAACAGUUAUAUACAAUGCGAAAGAAGCCAUUUCAGGACUGAAAGCUCCUAUGGUAACGGAUCAGAAGGUAACUAAUUUCUACCUCGAUCUCCAAAUCCUUUAACUUGCAUUUCAUUAAGUCAGUAUGCCCUACAGACACUAAUUUCUUCUUCAAAUUCAAACUGCACAUUGAUUUCUCUUCAUGCAUAUAAAGUCUUUGCAAUUUAUGUGGAGAAUUCUUUUCCAUUUUUGUUCUUCUAUCCCAACAUUCUUCAUGCUUUCCCUUGCUUCUUGGGAUCUUGAAGUUUCUCAUACUUAUGAAUGAUUAUAUGCAAUUAUACAAAAAUUAUGUAAAGAAUUCAUUGAACUUAAUUUAGAGAAAGUACUUUUUAUAUAGAAAAAAAAAAAAGUGAAAGGAGAUUCAUCUUCUAUGUUUAUGUUAUCAAUUACCUAUGAUGUAAUUUAUUUAAUUUGAAUUAGGGAGUGUGGCCAAGUGAAUCAGCUUUAAUUUGGGGCAUUCUGAGCCAAGCUAUUCUUGGGAAAGACUGGAGCAACGCAAGAGAAGCAAAGAAAGCUGUUGAGGAAAAACAGAGGGAGCUCUUGAGAGAAAGAGAAUCAAGAGGGGAAACUUGGGUUCCUAACCAUUUUACUGUGACACAUAGCAAAGAAGGUGGGUGGGAUUGCUCACCUAUUCAAAAGUGGGUCCCUUCAGCUCCUAUAUCUGUACCCUUAUAAUUAAUUUGCAUCUAUAACUCUGUCUCUCCAAAUUUAUAUAUGUUUUGGGUUAUAUGAUGUUGCUGUAACUGUUAUGUUAGUAGCUAGACCAACCUACCAGUAAUGGUUAAAUGUUCUUGCGUCUUGGUUGAGAAUUCAGAGUUACCAAAUACAAGUAGAUGAAGAAAUCCACCAAACUGCUUUUGUUGAAAAAAAUGUCUUAAACUUGUGGUGGCUGCAGUUAUGAUACUAGUUGAAAGUCCAGAAUAAACACAGCCAUUUAUUCUGUCUCCUACUUCCACCAGAAAGAAAAACUUACCUAUACCGGGGAUACCACUAUGGCGCUAUCCCAAGCCAAUUACUUAUUGCCAUCCAUUUUAUUUUUCCAACAAUGCGUGAUAGGCUUGGGAUACCACUACCGUAGCAUCCCACCGUUACAUGUAAGUUGUUCUCAUGCUUCCAUGAAAAGAAUUAAAUGAGUUUCCAAACUUUGGUGCCAUUUUAAAGAAAAUGCAGACCUUUUAAGAAGUUGUCACUUUCAACUUGCCAAUCUUAAAAUGUUUUAAUUUAUUGGCAGUGGACUUAAUGGGAUCCAUUGCUGUGCCAUGUACUGUAUGUGCUGGUACUGUUUUCAACUGAGAAACAUGGCAACAAAAAACAUAAACAUGUACCCAGUUGAAUAGUUUCCUUGAAAGGGAAAUGACCCCUAAUAAUGACAAAGGCCAUAGACCAUGUGUAUUGACUUUAAUAAUCUGAAGAAGUGUAAUUUCAGAACAAUGAUAAGGACUGAACCAAAUAUGAGACAUGCAUAGCAGCAUAAGGUGGAUUCAAUUCUGGAAUUUUCCUUUUGGAUCCAACUAAAUAAAAUUAGCACUGCAAAAGUUUGUAGUUUUUUUUAUACUGUGAUUUGUAACUUAUCUUCUCCAACAAACCAAAUGAAAACUUGCAAAUUCAAAGGAAAAUUUCUGAUGAGAAAAUUGUCAGAAGAAUCAUUGAUAUCUCAGGUUGGGAUGUUUCUUAUAUCACUCUUGGGCAAGAAGGAAACCAAAACCAAAACAAAAACAAAAGAAGAGAGAGAGAAGAAUGACCAGAAAUUCAUUUGAUUCACUUCAAAGUUAGAUGUCAGCUCACAAUGUAAUAACAGAAUUGAAAGAUUCAAAGUGGGGAAAAGAAGAUCAAUAUCUGAUGAUCUUCAGUUGCCAUCAUCUGCUGAUAUUUCCAAACCAGAAAAACUAAAAUCAACAGAGUUUUCCAUUUCAUUUUCCCACAAGAAAAUCCCCAUUACAUCCAUCCCAAUAUCCUCUAGCAAUAUCUACCACAAAAAAAAACCAAGCAUAGAGUUUUCUGUUUCUCUCUCUCUCUCUCUCUCUCUCUCUCUCUCUCUCUCUCUCUCUCUCUCUCUCUCUCUCUCCACUACAACAUAUACUACUGUACCUGAUCAAAUUCAAACCCAAUCUAUUUCACAGCCUCCACAUGCAUCUCUUGUAAAUCUGAUUCAGUCCUCCUGUUAAAUGAUUUCUCAGUAAUUGUAUCCAAAAGUGGCUUCCAUGACCUAGCUCUACAAGACCUUUGAGAGCCAUAAUCCAUCAGAGAGCCCAUGUUUUCCUGCUCCAUAGAAAACCUGCUAGGACUUCUACCUGGUGAAGAUGAUGAGCUCCACACAGGGCUUGAGCAAAACUGGCCCAUCAUCAAAGGACUAGAAGGAGCCAAAGGAGAAGAAUGAGAAGAAUUAUUGUUAGCCUCACAUGAAGACCUCCUGCUUUUUGCUGCUGCUGCAGUGAGCUUUCUGGAUAUGGAGGCCCAGUCCAGAGGAGAAACAUCACUCUGCAAUGCUGAGUAUGGAAGCAGAAAAUAGACCUGCCCUGGUUGCAGCAGGGUGUCCUGUUUUAAUGGCUUGGACCCAGUAGAGAGAAGCUGAGCUGGGGUGCAGACAAAGUGCUUUGCGGGCUUCCCUGUGACUUGACCUACAGAAAUUGGAUGCUCAUAGUCCUCCACAUAGCCAUUUAGAUGAACCACUCUCACAUUUUGAAGUGCAGGUUUUGGUUUGCAAGAAAAGCAAGCACCCAUCUUUUUGUGUUUAGAGAUGCAGAGAAGAAAGAGAGGGACCUUGAGUUUGAUACAUAUAUAUAUAAUGGGGAUUUAAAGAAGAGUAUAUAUAUGACUAAUGGGGAUUUAAAGAAGGGAAGACUUUUGGUUGUUUUUCGGCUUUAAAUUGGCAGCUUUUAGCAGCCCAACUGCAAAUUGGAUUUUAUUGAAAAAAUCUAGUGGGGGUGUACAAAUUGUAUUAUAAUCUUGCACAGUGGAAUGUUUCAAUUGGAUGGGGAAAUUACAUUAUUUUAAGUCAUCCACAUUGAUUUUUAACCCAACCGUGAGGAAGGGGCAACCAGCUCCCUACCGUGAGUUAUGGACCAUAUUUCAUUUUACUGGUACAAACGCUAGCUUUCACAUACAUACCCCCCCUAACAGUCAAGAAAAUUGGUAAAUUUACUGACCAAAUCAAAGGAAUUUUGGUUUUCCUGGAAGAUUUUCAGUUUUGAAAUUGAAAACUCUUCACUGCAGUCAAAUAAACUUCGAUUUCACAACCAAAAUCCCUUUGAGUCAAAUUCAAAGACUUCAAUUUGAUCUUUUAACAUUGAAAAUUUAAGAACAGUCUCACUAAAUCGAUUUGAGUUUGAUAUAAAAAGUUUUCAAUUUUAAAAAAUCAAUAAAUAUGACUUCUUCCCUAAAAGACUUCAAUCUGAUCCACAGAUUUGCACAUUUAUGGACCUCAUGCUUGGGAUAAUUCGAUGUGUGUGUGAGUUUUUGCUUUUGUAAUUCACGAUUAUUUGUGGUAGAUCCAUUGACUGAGUUGUUGACCCAGUCAACCAAAUGGAAAUCAUUGUCACCUGGUAUUCCAUGUAACUUUUGGUUGGGUCAUUGAAAGUUUCAAGAAGAGUUGUUUUUUUCUGAUGACACAUGUGACUUCCUUUUGAAAGUUACCAUCUUAAUCUGUAGCCGUGGGGCAUGGGCAUUGGCAGCCUAAAUCUUCCCAUUGACCAUGGAGGAAAGAGAGAGAGAAAAAUUGUAUAGAAUUAUAGUGGAGCAUUUGCCUUGAUUAGGAAUUUAGAAUUUAGAAUUUAGAAGGACCCCAUUUGCUUCUAUAUCUGCAUAAUGCGACGUGUUGCACACUCUCAUUUGACGUCACAUAAUUAAAGAUUAACUUGAUUAUUUUCCCCUAAUUAAUCAAACAAGCAUCAUUUACUUGAAAAGUCGGUGGAGCUGUCACGUCCAACUGGACUAGCACUACACGAAAAGAGAUUGGAUGAUCCAUAAACUCAUUUCUUAAUGUUGAAGAGGAGGACUUGCCACUAAACCCAAAGGUUCCAAAUUAACACAAUUAUUGGGAAAUAAUCUUUUUAUUAUUAUUAUUAAAAAAGCAGUUUAUGGACCAACGUGUCUACGGCAAAAAUUACUCCUCAAGAAAUUAUUCCACUAGCACUCUAAACCUGGGAAGUGGAGCUAUAAUUAAAAUAAAAAAACAUGUUUUUCCAAUUUUCUAUUCAUGAACACACAUAAAUGAAAUCAUGACAUUUAUGGGACUUCAUGGUCAAAACCUGCCAAGACAAACAUGUUCUAUGCCUUAUCCCUCACUACUAUGCCCAUGAUGAAGUGAUUGCGGAUCAUAAUGAAAAUCAUAGAACCUGGAAUUUAAAGCCGAAGACUCGAACUCCUAUAAAGGCCAAUUAAUCCAUCAACACAGAAGGAAAAAAGGCCAAUAUUAUUCUAAAUUCUACUGCAAUCUUCUUGUGUUCCUACUGACUUACGCGUCAAAGUAUUUUCUUGCAUGUACCUCCGUCCUCCCUCAUUGAUGGCAAGCGAAGACAGUGACAUGCUUCUCAACAUUGAUUACUUGUUGGAGGUCAUGAAAUUUUACGCUCCAACAAAUGUUCUUUCACAGAGUGCACGAAGAGAGGGAACUCAGACUUUUUUUGGGGUUGUGAAAAUUUGGGAAGAGAGAGAAAACACUAAGUGACAUUUUUCUGAAAACGUAUUUUAGAUGUACAAGGGUUCUUUCUUGACAAUUAUCGUGCCGUUUAAAAUCAACCCAACAGAAGUUACUUUUUAUAGUGCAUCUCCCUUCUAUCAUGAUCAAUGGUGAUAGAACACCCGUGGUGCUUUAAAACACCACGAUAAUUUUUAGAUGUUACGUCGUAUAAUUAUUAUUAUACUUUUACAUUGUUGUAGUAGUGUUUAGUGAUGAAAAGAGAUCCACGUGUGAGGGGAGUUUUACAAUAUAAAAUAAUUAGUGACUUGCAUCAGAUCAGAAACCAAGAUAUAAGGUUCAAUUUCAAACCAACCUUUUCUUGAUGUUGAUAAGGUCAUGUUGUGCUUUCCAUCUAUGAAGUGGCGCAAUUUCUUUGAUAUCAUAGUUUUAACUCAAAUUUCGUUCAACUGCCAAUUGGGAUAAUGUCACAAGUAAUUCUUUUUAAAUUAGGGUUGCACUGUGAUUAAUUUUCUGAAAUAGUCAAAAUAAUUGCAUUGUAGAUUGUGACUGAUUAUGGUUUGAGUGUCAGAUGGUGGGAGUCCCCUUGAGUGAUUGUAUGGGGCAACAUGUUGGUGAGACUUGAGUGGUUGAGUGAGUAUGAUAAAUGAUGACUUGGAAAAUAGGGCUGACUCCGCGCAUUUAUGAGUGAUUGUUAAUAGUUGAAAAAUUAUGAAUUUAAUGAUUUGCCAACCAUUAGCAUAUAUCAAAUAAGAAAGGAAGAAAUAAACGUUGGAAACACUUUGUGGUCAGGAGUAAGCCGAAUCCUGAGCGGGGAUUAAUCCCAUUCUUCGGAUGGUAGGGACACCUAGUGAUAUUUACCAAAAAAAAAACAAGAAAGGAAGAAGUAAAGACAUCUCAUUAUCAUCUGAGCAUCACAAAACUGAUCCAACUAAGUUGUUCGGAUUCGUUAAGCAAAACAGUUGCUGGCCAAAGUAAGAGUUUUGAUCACUUAUUUUCUCAUGGUUCAGUUUAGAUUGCUUGCUUUUCUGCAACUUUUUACUUGCACUCAAGGCUCAAAGGAAAAAAACAGGCAACAAAAGACGACCAAACAAAGCCAACUCAUAAAAACAACCAAACACAUAGAAGAAAACACAACCAAAGCCCAUAUUCCUAUGGGCCGAGUAAUAUUUGGUAUUCCUAUAUCUAGAAGCUGCAAAUGUCUUCCUAUCUGCUUCUUGUAUUGGAGACAUUCACAUAUUUCAUAUGCCUUUUUACGAUCAUUUUACCAGACAUUUGCUUCAUAAAAGUUUAUAUUUGCUUCAAAUGGCUUAUUCUUUUACUGUAGUUAGCAUUUCAGGGAAGAAUUAUGCACUUGUUCUCAUGCUAAUCUUGUAUGAAUCCCAAGAGAGCCAAUUGACAAUCUACGAAACUAAUGCCUGUUUCGAAAUUUCAAAUGCAUCAGCAAAAACAUAUUGAGCGAAAAAAGCUGCCUUAUAAUAAAAAGUUCAAUUCUUUACAAAGCUGCACAUACGCUUUUACCUCCGGGUUUCUUCUUCUUCUUCUAUUUUUAGUUUUCUAUUUGUUUGUUGCGAGAGCUCCUAUACAGGCUCUAUCUUUUAUCGCUUACCUUUAAAUUUGUUUGCAAUAGCUCCGAUCCAGGCUUUAUCUUUAUCACUAUAUGCAUACCUCAUGCUUGAAGCCAACAUGACAAAUCCUUCACUUUUUUGAAUCUCAUUGUCACUUGAGGGCAGAACUUGCACAAUUGGUUGUACAAGGAGAGAACGAGUCCCUUGUGGUAGCAUCUCCCAAAGUCCAGAAUCUGAAACAGAGACAAUCAAAAAUUUCAUACUAUUCCAAGUAAAGGCAAUCAUUUUCAGAAACAGAGCUGAAGACAUCAAGUUAUAGCUACCUUCAAUCUGAGAAAGGUAUAGGGUUUCCUUCACGUCAGAAAGACCAAUGCUUUCAAUCUGUUUCUCAAACCAAGCAAGUACAUUGGUUUUUGAUACAUCAUCUGGUAUGUUCCAGUAGCCGCGCACACAUAAUUCAUUUCGAAUUGAUAUUAUCUGAAAUAUUAGCAACAACCACUUUUGAAAAGCUUAUAACAAAAUAUCCAAAAUAUAAGAACAUAACUUCUUUUUUUCAAUUGGAUUCUGACCUAACAAAACAAAAUUUGCAUUGUCAUCCAAAUUAAAAUGGAUUUUUCUUCUCACUCUCAUCGCCAGCAAAAAAUUUCAACUGUCUAGUGCCAAUAUGUAAUAAAAACCUGCUAGUACCACGGCUAUGGUGUUUGUAUUGCGCAACAAGAUGUACGUAGCCCAAGCCAAGUCCUCCUUCUGAGUAUUUGAGACAUUUUGUGAUAUCACAAAUAUUUGCUCACACCCUCGUGGGAUGCUAGUUUGAUCCAUUGGAGUAGCACCCUGCAAUAUAAUUCCACAUAAUCAGGCUUACAAAAAUGCUGAGCAGACAGUUAUACCUGCCUGCCACCCUAUCUAAUAUCAAUGUCAUUGACAGUGAAGGGUUCUUGGUAGUUUAUAUUUUUUGCACCACAGAAGAGGCUUACAAUUCAAACUUCACCUUCAUGGGGUCACGAAUUUAAGCUGCACUUUGCAUUUUUAUGAGUUUUUUCAGAUUGAAAAACAAUGCCAUUGACUCUAAUUAAUCUAUUGGAGUUUUUUAAGUGCCUUGAAAAUUACCUUGAGAAAUCUUCCCAGAUAGGGAAGUGCUAUGGAAAAUGCAGCCAAAGAUAGACCCAAAGCCUCUGUUCUCUAAUUGAGAAAGCAGAAAACCAAACGAACCCACAAAAAUUAACACAAAGCCAACAAGAAGUGAAGCAAAUAUAACACAGUAGAAGAUGGUUUUGGUCGCUUACAAGCUGAGCCGGGGUUGUGCUGGCGGGUGAAAUGGAACCAGCAAAAUGGUUCAAAAUCAAAAGCGAACCAAACCCAUAUCCAAUCCAUCUGGGUAAGUAGGAUUCGUCAAGCCCAGGUAUUCCUGCACCGUCCAAUAACCCAUCAUUCAAAAUCUCAAUCUCAGAGAGAGAGAGAGAGAGAGAGAGAGAUACCUAGUGUGAAGCGGAGGACGGAGAGAUUGAGUUGUGGUUCUGCUGAGCUGCUUUUGGAAUUGUCAAGACGAGCUGAGACUGCUGAGAAAUUCGUGCGGCAAUUUCUGGCGCGAAAUUUGGGUGGGAUUUUCAACUGAAUUAACGAAUUUGGGGACAGACCAAGGCUUCUGUUACUCAUAUUUUUGUUCUUUUUUUUUCUUCCAAUUUCUGGGGUUUGGGAGGAGCUGGGAAAACAGUGGGAAAUGGUGGUGGUGGGAUAAAAUGUAACUUUGAAGAGCGAGUCUACGGCCCUAGCUGGCUGUUACCCAAGUUGAGAUUGGGCCUAACUUUAAAAAUUUAGAGAUUUCGUCUCACAAAAAAAAAAAAAAAAAAAAGAAAUUUCCGAUUCUAUCCCAUGUUUCAUACAUAUUUCUUUUUAUCUCUAUCAUUACAUAACUCAUGUCACACGUGUUGUAAUCAUAUAUUUAUGAGUUGUGCGGCUACUGUUCACUGCAAAAAUUACAAAGUAAAAAAAAUUUCAAAGUGUAUUUAUAUGUUGCAUGUGUCAUGAUUCAUGAAGCUAAAAAAAAUUUCACACCAAAUCCUACAUUUUUCCUCCUCAAAAUUAUCAACUAUUAAGAAAUUUAGAAGGUAAGACAUAUCCUUCUAAAAGGAAUUAGAUGGAUAGGUACUGGUCAAAAUAUUUAUUUUUGGACUUCUAAUUGAGUCUAUAGUUUUUCUUGAGUUAAUAUCGUACCGAUUCGAUUCGUUCAAUCAAUUUAAACAUAUACAAAUCUAUGAUAUAUUAAAUAAAAAUCAUUCAACUCAGUGUACUAAUUUCACAAAUGAAUAAAAUUGUCAUGUGUGUGACGAAACUAGUUUGUAAAUAAAAAUCAUUCAGCUCAGUGUAGUAAUUUUGCAAAUGAGUAUAAAUAUAAUUUUACUAAAGGAAAAUUUUGAUGGGUGUUGAGGGAGAAAAACUUAGUUAUAAGGGGAAUAACACUAUUUUGCUAUCUCCAGUCCAUAAUGCUCUAUCACAUAGAAGUGUUAUCACGCAUAUCAUAGCGUUAUUGAUUAAAAAUAACAAAAUAAUACUAGUGUGGAAGUCUUUCACGAGAACAUGAAUUGGGUGUAAUGAAAAAGGAAAUGCCAUUUUGGCCCAAAGACAGACCGUACCAAUGCCUGCCCUGGCAUAUUCACCUGAUGAAUUAUACCAACGCCUGCACAUUUGGUCUGCGUUUAAAAAGAAACUCCCACUCAACAUUUGAGGGGAGUAGCAGAAGCAGCAGCCACAACGUUCCCCAAAUUUAAAAAAAAAUCCACUAAACUAUGAUAAUGUUGUUAUCUACUCUCUUCCACACUAAACUCAGCCGAUGCUUCUCUUCUUCUUCUUCGUCGUCUUCUUCUUCUUAUCGUAACAGUCUUCCCGAACUCCCACCUAUUCAAACUUUACUCAAAAGCGGCUUCACUCCCACACUCAAAUCCAUCAUCCAAUUCCUUCUCUUCCUUUCUCAAACCCGCAGGUUCAACACAGUCAUCCAUUUGUUCUCUCAAAUGGACUCCAACCGAAUUAAAGGCAACUCCCAGACUCGCUCAAUUCUCACAUGGGCUCUCCUAAAAUUGCACAAAUAUGAAGAGGCGGAGCAUUUCAUGAGGACCCAGAUGGCCGAAACUUCAAAAUUUCAGAGUAAUCGCAUUUGGGACUCUCUAAUUCAAGGCCUAUGUAUAAACCGGAAAGACCCGGAGAAAGCUUUAUUGGUAUUACGGGAUUGCUUGAUCAACUAUGGUAUUUUUCCUUCUUCUUUCACUUUUUUCUCAUUAAUUCAUAGACUUAGCUAUCAAGGUGAUAUGAGCAAGGCAAUUGAGGUCCUGGAGUUGAUGACUGAUGAUAAAGUUAAGUACCCCUUUGAUAAUUUUGUUUGUAGUUCAGUAAUUUCUGGGUUUUGUAAGAUUGGGAAGCCAGAAAUUGCGGUUAAAUUUUUCGAGAAUGCUGUAAAUUCGGGAGCUUUACAGCCUAAUAUUGUGACUUAUACAGCACUUGUGGGUGCUCUUUGUAAAUUGGGAAGAGUUAAUGAAGUUUGUGAUUUGGUUUGUAGGAUAGAGAAGGAAGAAUUGGCAUUUGAUGUUGUUUUCUAUAGUAGUUGGAUUUGUGGUUAUAUUUCAGAAGGUGCUCUAAUGGAGGUAUUUCAGAAGAAUAGACAGAUGGUGGAUAAAGGCAUAAGAUCAGAUACAAUUAGCUAUACUAUAAUGAUAGAUGGGUUUUCCAAGCUAGGAGAUGUAGAAAAGGCACUUGGUUUUCUGAUAAAGAUGAGGAAAGGUGGAUUAGAACCCAAUUUGAUUACAUAUACUGCCAUCAUGUUGGGAUUUUGCAAAAAAGGAAAAUUGGAGGAGGCAUUUGCUAUUUUCAAGAUGGUUGAAGAUUUGGGAAUUGAAGUUGAUGAAUUUAUGUAUGCAACUUUAAUUAACGGGUCUUGCAUGAGAGGGGAUCUUGAUGGUGUUUUUCAUCUCCUACAUAAUAUGGAAAAGAGGGAGAUUAAUCCGAGCAUUGUCACAUACAACACUGUAAUUAAUGGAUUAUGCAAAUUUGGGAGGACAUCGGAGGCUGAUAAGAUCUCAAAGGGAAUACUUGGAGAUACAAUUACAUAUAGUACAUUGCUACAUGGCUAUAUUGAGGAAGAAAAUAUCACAGGGAUUAUGGAAACAAAGAGGAGAUUGGAGGAAGCUGGAGUCUGCAUGGAUGUUGUUAUGUGUAACAUAGUUAUUAAAUCACUGUUCAUGGUGGGGGCAUUUGAGGAUGCUUAUAUGCUGUACAAGGGAAUGCCAGAAAAGGAGUUGGUUGCGGAUUCCAUUACAUAUUGUACAAUGAUUGAUGGGUACUGUAAAGUAGGUAGAAUGGAUGAGGCACUGGAGAUAUUUGACGAGUUCAGAAGGACACCAGUUUCCUCAGUUGCAUGUUAUAAUUGUAUUAUCAGUUGGCUCUGUAAGCAGGGAAUGGUAGAUAUGGCCACCGAGGUAUUUAUUGAACUCAAUGGGAAAGAUUUAGGUUUGGAUUUAGGUAUCUACAAAAUUCUGUUGAAGGCAAUUCUUGAAGAAAAAAGUGCAGCUGGAGUUUUAUGUUUGGUUCAAAGAACAGAGAAUUUGAGGACAGAAGUAUAUGACGUUAUAAGCAAUGAUGCUAUCAGUUUCUUGUGCAAGAGAGGUUUUCCUGAGGCUGCAUGCGAAGUGUUUUUGGCGAUGAGGAGGAAAGGGUCAGUUGCCACAAGCAAAACUUACUAUUCAAUUUUAAAAGGUCUAAUUAGUGAUGGGAAAGAGUGGCUAACUCAGUCUUUUUUUAACAUCUUUGUGAAAGAAUAUGGCCUAGUUGAACCUAAGGUAAGUAAGAUUCUAGCUUACUACAUAUGUCUGAAGGGUGUCGAUGAUGCUCUCCGGUUUCUAAACAAAAUGAAGGACAAGCCUGCAACGGCCACUUUGCCUGUUUCUCUUUUUAAGACACUUAUAAAGAAUGGUAGAGUUUUCGAUGCAUAUAAACUUGUCAUGGUGGCUGAAGAUGGCGUACCUGUUCUGGAUGCGUUUCACUAUUCGCUUAUGGUUGAUGGCCUUUGUAAAGUAGGAUAUAUCAGUGAGGCAUUAGAUCUAUGUUGUUUUGCUAAAAAUAAAGGGGUUACCCUUAAUAUCAUCUGCUAUAAUUCAGUUUUAAACGGAUUGUGCCGCCAAGGCCACCUUGUAGAAGCGUUUCGGCUAUUUGAUUCAUUGGAGAAAAUUAAUUUGGUUCCCUCAGAAAUCACAUAUGCUACAUUGAUUGAUGCUUUACAUAGAGAGGGCUUUCUUCUGGAUGCCAAGCAGUUAUUUGAGAGGAUGGUCCUCAAAGGCUUGAAACCAAAUACACAUAUAUAUAACUCAAUUAUUGAUGGUUAUUGCAAAACUGGACAUAUGGAGGAUGCGUUGAAGCUUCUUUAUGAAUUUGACUUAAAAACCCUCAGGCCUGAUGAAUUCACUGUUAGUAUUAUAAUCAAUGGGUUUUGUCUAAAGGGUGAUAUGGAAGGUGCUCUUGAAUUCUUUAUUGAGCUCAAGAGUAAAGGUACAUCACCUGAUUUUUUGGGUUUCUUAUAUUUGAUAAGAGGUUUAUGUGCCAAGGGAAGGAUGGAAGAAGCCAGAACCAUCUUGAGGGAAAUGCUUCAGUCACAAUCUGUUGUGGAGCUAAUAAAUAGAGUUGAUGUGGAGGUUGAAACAGAUUCAUUGGAAGGUUUGCUUGUUUCAUUAUGCGAGCAAGGCAGUGUCCAAGAAUCACUUACUCUCCUCAACGAAAUUGGGUCCAUAUUUUUUCCUGUUCGGAGUUCACCUAAUGCCUGCAAUCAAUCUCAUAAACAACACAAUCCUUAUGACAGGGAGGCUUAUGGUACAGUUGCUUUAACGUCUGUAACCUCUACCGAUGCGGAUAUGGAUAUCCAAUUUUCUGGUAUGAGGGAUGUAAAGAAUGUGGCAGAAAAUUACGAUGAUAAAGGGAAAAGGCCUAAAUUUGAUGACUUUGACUAUUGCUAUAAGCAAAUUGCUACACUCUGUUCAAGAGGGGAAAUACGAGAAGCUAGUCAAUUAGCAAAGGAAAUAGUUUCCAAUUUUGGCAGGGCCAAUUAGUAGAACUCAGAACACUGGCCACCUAAGUGAUGUAGGUGCUUUCUUCCCUGUCAAUGAGGGACCAGGCAAGGCAUCAUGCAUGCAGAUGCAGGUAUAUUUUUAGGCUCUUUGAAAGUUUUCCUAUCCUUUCAAUUUAGAUAAUUGUUUAUCACUUGGGUGGUAUGUAUGUGUGCUCUGUUUAUUUAUUAUCUCUUUGUGUCAUGCCAUUCGAUUUGCAAGUUUUGGAAAGGCAUUAUAUUGUUUUGCAGCAAUCUUUCUGUGAAUAUACCCAAUCCAUAAUAUGAAUGACAUUAUAUUAGUCUUCCGCUUUUUUUAGCACCCAUAAAUAUGUUUCAUGUGUCUAUGUAGUGUUUUCUGGUAACUAUGCCUUCCUUUAAGCUGUGCAAUUUAACACAUUCUGGCAUCAGCUGCAAAGUUUUAGUCAGAAGAAAAAUGCACAAAAACCAGAAAGUUCUCAAUUAGUUGCCGAAAAUAGAAAACAAUGAAAUUUAGGACAAUACUAUAGUUCAAACCUACCCCUCCUCCUUUGUACCCAACCAAAAAAAAAAAAUGAUUAUCAGUUUGUUGGCAGGCAACACUUUUACAUGAAUUGUUUUUUUUACCUCUCUGGACAAUUAUGCCAUAAGUAUAAAUUUUGGCUUGCAACAGAAUACCGUCAAACACAAAGAGUUCAGCUGGUGGAAGUUGAAGCAUGAAAAUUGGAAGCAAUGUUAAUGGUGGUUUUCUGCCAUUUAAUUUUUUUCAUUUUUCUGGCGUAAUGAAGAUGAAAAGGUAACCCUCUAUAUUGUUUCAGUUCUUUAUUUGUUUAUUUAUGUCUUUUGUCCUCUCAAUUGGAGUUUAUGUGCUUAGCUACAGAAGCCUGCUGCACAGUGUGGCUUUCAACCAUGAUAUCGCCGCUGUUGAAGGAUGUAUUGGAAAAACUGGAUGGAUGUUUGUGCCUCAGGUAAUUUACCAGCUCAUGAUGCAUGUGCAUUUAUGUUCAACUUUCACUUUCUAUCUUUUCCACUGUGAACCAAACCUGUGUUUGACAGUAUUGUCAGACUGGACAUGAUUUUGGGGCUUUUGCAAGUAAAAUGCAUUCCCGAAAGAAGAAAAAAAAAGUGUUGCGUGGAUGACAUCUUGAACGAAACAAGUACUGCACCAUGUGUCUAAGCAAAGAAGUGUGAAAGACCACGAAGUCCGCAUUGUUUAAAGAUCUACUUGGCAUCACUUGCUUUGACAAAAGCUCGCAAAAUCAAACACAUCUCUCGGGUGAGCAAGCUUAAUUGCAGAGUCUAAAUAGAUUAUUGCGUAUGAUAACACCCUUUUUCUUCUCUCGGUGCUACAGUCCUCUUAAUUUUACAUUUGCUGAUGAAUGAGUGUUUGAUCAUAUUGCCUGUAAGAAGGGCUUUGGUGGAUACAGAUUGAGCUAACAAUUUUUCUCUCUCCCUUUAAUCUCAGAUGAGGAACUUAGUGCAACCUGGUGACACUAGUUGGAUUUAGUAUUCUCCGAACUUUGAAAUCCUGUGUUACUUAACAACUGAUGUCUAGUGAAACCUGUUGUCAAUCUUGCUUCUCUCAAUGGUAUAUCUUUAUGCUGUCAAGCAGCCUUAUUAAAAGGGUAGUUCUAGAAUCAUGCCAAUUGUCAGUCAGGUUCCUUGGAUGCACAUGAUGAUUUGUUUCAUUACUUCAAAUUACUUUGCUGCCAACUUGAUCGGGAUGGUUUGGCCUUGAUUAAUCUACCACAUUUCGUUCGAAAAAAUAUCAGUGAAUUCCUUGCUGUAAAUGUAGAACUGGGGAGUAAUUUCAGCAUGCUUUGGCAAGGGGUGUAAACUGUAGAGCUGCUGGAUGGAAUAUUCAGUUUCUUCUCUGAGUACGUGCGUCUGCAGACAAUGGAAUAUAUCUUGUACUUCUUGGUUAUGAUGUUGGGGGUUAUGUGGUUUCAGCUGUUGUUAUUUGCAAUUCGUUUUCAUUAGAGUUUCUGUAUCAGUGUUUCUGUCAUGUUCAAGUGUUUCCAUAAUGCCCUUUAUUUAUUGAGGCCAGUUUGGUGGGUUUAGUUUGUGCAAGGUAUGGCCCCUCCCUGCUUUUGUGUUGUGAUUUUUCUGCUUGUUUUGGAACACACGCACAUAUGAAGUCUGCUUAUAUGAGUUUCGUACUGUUGGCAUCUGUUUCAUUCGAAUGGCGUCCAAUUUUUCUCCAAAACAUGCCCCAAAAUCGGCACUCAAAAAUCCUUAACAAGGAGGCAUGCAGGGUUUUCCGUUGCCGCUGGAAUGAUCCCAAAAUCAAGAGCUAAAAAUCCUUAACGGUUUCUACACUUUUUUUAGAGCCUAGAGAUAAAUCAUAAACCCUCAACAGGUUGUACGCUCUUAAAGUCGGCAACCUGUCAGUGGAAAUGAGCAAAAAUUGACUUGCUGUUCCGAACGGCGUUGAAUUGAAUCGUUCACACCUCACACUUGAAGCUUGUAUGAACACUCGGAGUACUGCUAUAGUGAGCUCUGCAUGUGAAGCAUAACCCUGCAAAGUUGGCCAAUUUGAGGCAUAUCAAAAAGAGUACCAACUCUAUUCCAUCAUUUUGCUCCAAUGCAAACACUUGCUCAACCUUCCAUUGAUCCAGAUAGAGUAUAGUAACCACAGACAACUCAAAUACACUCCAUCAAAUUUCGGCAACUGAUUAACAAGUAAUAUCAUAGUGCAAUCUUUGAACUUUACAAGCGUUGCCUGCUCAAUAAAGGAGCUGUAAUUUGGAUGGCAGGCUGCCUCUUAAAAUAUUCAGAUUCAAACUUCUUUGGUAAAAUUGAUACAAAUAACGGGAUUUAUGGUACGAAUCACAAAUUUUUUGAUAAUCCACCAUUGAUUCAAAAUAAAGUUGAUGACUUGUUCAAUGCAUUAACUGCUCAUACUGUUCUUGGACUGUCAUACGCUCAAGGAAUUCGAAAAGUGAUAAAUAAGACUAAGAUCUUUAAUAUGCUGGAAUGCACUCAAGACCUUUCUGACGCAGAUUGUAGAAAGUGUCUUCAGACUGCAAGAAGAGAACUUCUAGUUCAUAGUGAAUGGAAAAGUAAAUUGAUGUGCUAUUUAUAAUAGUUGUUACGUCAGAAUUGAAAUUUACGCCUACUAUGCCUAAACUCAUUCGAGAUGGGAACGAAUGCCUCUCAUCCAUGUUGAAUUACUAAUUAUUAUAAUAAAAAAAUAGUUUCCAUUAUUGCUCCCAUGUUUGAGUUGUGUAAUAAUAGGAAUCAUGUAAUAGGCUAAAGCGCUAAAACACCCCCUUAAACUUGUAGCAUACUUUCAAUUUGCAUCCUGACUUUUUUUUUUCCUUAAGAAAAUCAAAGAUCUCAACUAUAUCCAAAAAAUAUAAAAUUAGUGUUUAGGUUGAGCCUUAUUGGACUGGGUCAUAACGGGUUGACACUAUAGUAACAUGAUCAUUAACAAGUCGGGAUAGAUUCAUGAAAUACAAUACUCAAUAAUGACCCGUUAUCUUUGUAAAACAUACUUUUAGUUAUUUUUUCUUUCUGAAAAAACUUUGAACAUAUAUACCUUCUUUCUUUUGUAUAUUUGAUUUUUAGUAAUUUUCUAGGCAUUUGCUAUGUGAUGCAUAACCUUUUUAUGAUAAGAUGUUUUCUUUGUGUUAUGCUUGAUAUUAUUUGGUAGUAUUUUAGAUUUUGAACUAAAAUUUUAUAUAUAUAUAGAAAGUAUUCCCUAGUAUAUCACACAUAAUGCAAUUAAUGUGUUCCGCGCAUAUCCAUCGUUCACCAAAGAAAAACACAAAUGAACAACUCGUUUACCUGUUUCUUCUUUUUGCUAACGAAUAUUAACAGUUUGAAAAUCAAACAGUCAAUUAAUAAACUAAUUUGUUGGAAAUAAGAGUUUGACAAUCUGUUCAAAAAAGAAUAAGAAAAUCUAUAAGAUUAAGACACAUGGGAGGCAAGAGGGAAAAAGAAGAAGAAGAAAUUGGUCCUUUAUAUUCCUAAAAUGGUCCUUAUCUGGUCUGGAGGAUGCCUUGCCAGUGACUUAGGAUCUGAGUAGCCAUUCUUGGGAUCCAUAAUCGCCUGGUAUGUAAGAUCAUAUGCUUCGGCCAACGAUCUAGCCACUUGAAUACACGCUUCAGAACGCAACUUUGGAACCUGCAUCUGCUCAAAUUCAGGCAGGGAACUCUCACUUCCCAAAACAAGCCCAAAGAAAGCCUUCAAACACUCAGAGAGAGAGGCGGGAGAAGUGUCCUCUAUCUCUACCAAUGGGGUAUUGCCAGUCUCCUUGUUGAGUGACUUGCGGAAGUAGGGAAUUUUCUGUGACAAGCCGCAUCUUCUAAGGAUGGCAUCAACUUCAUUUUCUACAAGUGCUUGCAUGUGUCUAUCUAUCAUCAUCCCGAGGUUCUUCACAUAUUCCGCUGCAACCUCAUGCCCAGACAAUGGUUGUUGGAUGGCACACAAGCAAUUGAUAAGGAAAAUCUUAGAGGAUGUUCCACUAGACUGCACCAAUCCAUUAAAAAGGCAUUAGUACCAAAGCAAUGAAGAAGACUAUGCAUGAGAAUCACAAGAUCAAAGUUAUUAAUUUUUAAAUACAGGGGCCUUUUAUUUUCAAAAAUCACACCAAUUUCCCUUGUCAUAGCUGGUAGUACCGAGGACUUGUUUUUCUGCAUACCAAAUCCUGUGGAAAGUCAUAAUAAUACCUGUAGAAUCAAACUUACAAACUCUAGUUUUCUUUUUCCCCUUUUGAUAAGUUUUUUAAGAACAGUAAGGCAGAAUGAUAAGCUCAAACAUUUUAGUUUUAAUAAGCCUUAAACUUAGUUACGCAACUAAAGAAUAAGGGAAUUGGCCAGAAUAUUAAAGUGGGUCACAAAAAUCUUUGAAACUAGCUUGACAUUUGUCAUAAUUUGGCACCAGGAAUAAUUCUAUGCGCUAGAGUUGAUGAGAAUUACAACAAAAUGAAACAGCAAGCCACGAGAAUUACAACAAAAUGCAACAGAAAGACCCGAUAUCCUCUGAUUGAGUGAAGAUACUUUGAAAUCAGACGCUUGGAAAUAAAUGAGAAAAGAAAACCUGAGAUGACGGGGCAGAACUGCUGUUGGACAAAAGUGCGUCAACUGGUGAUUUACUAAAUUGACCUAAGUCAGAACUCAACCUACUUCUUCUUGAAGAGUGGCCAGCUCCCUUGGACUUGUGUGCCUCUGCUGCUUGCUCACAAAUCUGCAAUGGUUGAAGUAAUGGAAUUUAUUCAACAUUUAAAUAAACUGAAGACUACCUCUGUUCUCAAACUGAAGUUAAAUAUUAAUUUUCACAUGGAAUGCAUCAACACAGUUUUAAGUCCCAUUAAAUCUGUAACAUGAAUUCUGGAAGAGGUACAAUGAAAUAAUGUCCUCAGUAUGAUGUUUCCAGAUAUGAUUUCACAGUCUGACUCUGCAACAAGUUUAACUUAAAUUGCUACUAAUAUAGAGAGCAUCUGGUUGUGGGAUUAUAUGGACUCACAACAAUAGGCGCAACAGCACUCAAAGUGAAGUUCUUUGUAGUUUGUCCUUAAUUAAUGGGAAUCUGACAUAGUGUUGAAACUUCAAUCAUGCUUAAAAACUAAUUUCAAUGUUGUUUUGACCAUCAUGAAACUAGAAGCAAGCUUACCAAGCAUGCCGUUUACAUAACCAAAUGCCCAGCACAACACACCUUAAUAAUUGGAUCGAGUAAAGCAGAUAUGACUGGACCAAACGCAGGAUUUUUUCCUAAAGUAGGAAGCAUCAUGCUGUUAUGCGUCUCCACUAUUUCAAGCAGCAGAGAGACUCCUUCCCUUACUGCUGGUGGAGGGGAAAGAUCAACAGCAACAAGGGGAGGAUACCUCAAAAGCUUUUCCCCUCGGGUUUUCAGAAUGUCAAAGAAAGUUUUCUGAGCGGCAUCCUUCAGUGUCCACAAUGUAUCAGAUAAAGCUGUUUCUCUCCCAAGAAAAUCUGAUAUCUGCAAGUAAACACAGCCAUAGAUCAGGGGAAAGGAAAAAGAAAAGCAAAUAACAUGUGGGACAAUUUGUUCCAUUGAUGAAUUAGGAAAGGCAUCACUUACAGUGUGGCUGUAGAACUCCAGGGUAUUACUUAGUUUGUAUGAAAUUAUGAGACUCGAUUGAGACUGCAAAACUUGUUCAACUCUUACUUUAAAUGGCCGGCAAACUCCUUCAAAAAUUCUAUCCAUAACAAAUGUCAAAUCAGAUUCUGUCUUUCGAGAAUCACUUUCAGGGCUCCUGGAGAAUUGGCUUGUGGCUGGAACAGUAUCUACCGCUGCAUCUGGAUCCAGUAAUAGAAAGACAAGUUCCCGUUCAGAUGCCAAGGCCUGCAAGGGGAGCAAGAAAUUACGAUGGCCAGAUGAUGAAUUAUACUUCACAAAUGGAAGUGGAACACAACCAAUAGGCCUUUGUUUUCACACCUGAUGCAACCAACCUAGCAUGUCCCCAACGUAUCGUAAGGGAUCAUGAGCAUGAACUUCAAUGGGUCGAGGCAUUCCACCAGGUCCUCCACGUGUAAGAGCACUGAUGAACCGCCUAAACAAUGCAUUAUGCCUCAUAUUUGCUACCUAGAAAUUGGUCAGGAAAAUCAAUAAACAAGGUAGUAGAAAGUGAAUCAGGUGAAAUGGUUAGCAUAGAGAAUCACCUCUUCUGCACAAUACUUGAAAAGGACAGGUCUUUCCUUGAGGCAACGAACUGCUGUUUUCAAAAGAUCACUAACUUCAGGAUUAUCAGAGUCGCCAAGUCUUCUACAUUCCGCCUGAACCCACCUAGAAGACGGGGUUAAUUAAAGACCCAAUAUACCAUAUUUUAUUUAUCCUAGUAGAAUACUAGUGUCAACAAAUUGAAACAACCACUAUACAUAGUGGUAAUGAUCUCUUGCCAGAUCAAAGCAUAUUAUAUUGUCAGUCUGUAAAUCUGGGUCACACAUAUAAACAAGAAUUCACCUAAUAAAUGGUAAAUAUUGACACUUUGCCAACAAUGACAUGUCAAGCUGUUUGACAAGAGAAAAUUUCCUUAUACAUAUGCAUAUUAAGGAAGAUGGUAGACGAGAAAAACCUGCAGAGGCGCUCGUAGGCUCCUUCUUGGUAGACAGCCAUCAUAUCCAUGAGCUCGAGACCUGCACGCUGCAAGUGAAUGGUAAAUUGGGUUGUUAGUAUACUAUCACCUUUUAAGUUUCCUAGAUUCAGAAAAAUUUCAGGUGAGAGAGAGAGAGAGAGAGAGUGAGAGAGAGAAGAGAGUACCUGGUGAUGUGUUCUUAAGAGCAAUUUACAGUUGGCAUGAAUUUCUUGAACAUGAGAAAGCGCCUUGAAGAAGUUCUCAUUCAGUUCUAAUUCCCUCAAUGCACUUAUCUACAGAAACUCACAUAAACAAACAAAUCAAAUUGAUGUAAAUCUCAACACAGAUGAAUUAUCCACACAUAUGGCUUGAUGGGUACCUCUUGAUUCGAGAGUUGGUAAUCCCGGAGGAAGCAAGACACGAUCUGCUGCCUCUGGGUGGUCACGUUGAGCUCCUGCUUCAGCCUUUCGGUGGUGGCGAUAAUGUCACCGGUGGUAGCAGUGCAGCUGCUGAGAGCCACGGCGAUCUUGUCGCAGCUACUGGCCAGGGCACCAACCUCGUCCUCCACGCGAUCCAAGGCCUCUUGGGCCGCCUGGGAGGCCUCCAGGAACUCGAGGUUGAUGGAGAGGCCUCGCUUCUCGAUGGUGGAUCGGAGAUUGCGCCGCGACUGAGGGGUAUUUUCGGAAUAGAAAGAAGAGAGGGUGUUGAGUGAGGCGAGCACAUCGGGAGUGUCUGUGCGACAUUCCAGUACCUUCUUCAGCUUCCGGGACAGUCCCGGCGCCAGCGUCGUCGUCCCCAUUUCUGAUUUUCUCAGGUCUUGUCUGUCGUAGGUAAUGAGAUGGCGGGAGAUUGGCUAGAGAUUGGGAGCUGGGAGUUGGGAAAGGCGUCUAAUUUAUCACAGAUUUGAUCAAAGCUGAAUUUACCCAAUUGAUAAAAUAAAUAAAAAAUAAUAAAAAAUAAAAAAUUUAAGAAAAAUAAUAAUUAAUUUGGGAAAUUCAAAUAAUUCCUGUCAAUACUCAAUUUAUGAUGGCAUUUUGGUUUCUAGUGUCAUGUUAUGUAUUACACUAAUUCGAUCCACAAUAAAACAACAUGAUUAUUAAUCCUCAAAUUGAAUUAAAAUUUUCUCAAAGAAAAUGAUAGGAUUUUCACGACAUUUAUCGUGAGAUGACACUUUAUACGAUUUUACUCAACACAAAUACAAUUAUUUUAUGUCAUCAUUGAAUCAUGUAACGAUGUCGUGUCUAAAAUUGUCACCCCUACUCCCCAUUGCUCAUUAUACACCUUCCAAGAGAAAAUGACCAUUAACAACAAUAGAUGCUCAUAAGCUCUAACGUUGACCCAAACAAAGUUAAUCUUGACAAAUCAAGACUCAAAUAGUCCUUUGGCAGCGUUCAAAUGAGGAAGUAUAUUGUAUAAAAUAUCCUUCACAUUGUAUUCUUCAUUUUGAACUCGGCUUCUCUUCUUCUGGUUCCAUCCAACACCUGUUGAGAGCAUCACCUUUACAAUCUUUUCCUUUAAUUGCAGAAAAAUGAAAAGGCAUUACUGAAACUUGCAACAGUGUAUUUCAUUGGCAUAAAACUCUUUAUUGUCUUUACAAAAUACUAUUUACACUGAUAUAAACACACCAUAGAUGUAGAUAGAACAAUUCCUCCAAUUUUAUGCAUAUUAUUGCAAAUCCCUUAGCUCCAAGAGUCUAGACCACCUCUUAUCAAUAGAAGCAGUGCUUUGUCCACCAAUAUCUGCAAAUCGGAAUUGUAUUAGGAAUUGAACUUGCUUAAAUUAAUUGCUAAUCUUCUAGUUCUGAAGUUGUCACAGAAAACUUACACUCUACAGUUGGGUAAGAUUUCUCACACAGCUCUGAACAAGUAUCCUGCAAAGUAAAAUUUCCCGCAUUCGUUUGUCGAUCAUUUAGUAUAGGAAAAAGUAUUGCAUCAUGUUGGUUUUACAUUCAAAAGUAUUGCAUUAGUAGUUCUUACUUUUAUGGAGGUGGCAAGCCGUAUCGUGUCCUGUAUCAGUGAAUCGAGUUCAGCUUCAUUUCCAGGCUUCACAUAGAUUACCUGUUGAAGCAGCUGUGUUAAGGCACUAUCUUGGGGAGUGACAGAGAGCAAGAGGGAGAGAGUUUAGAGACUUAAUGAUGGAUCGUCACCACCGAUCUCAGGCUGUUGAAUUGUGUGCUCGUCUCUGCUUGAUGACAGAACCCAUACAUUAAAUUGUGUGUUGAUCUGUUACAAUGCACGUGUAUAAAAUCAGCUGGAUUGAAUUUAUGAUUGGAUAAAGCAUCAAAGUUUCAAACUUCUGCAAAGACAAAGUACCUUUCUGCAGUAUGGAGAAGAGCAGUUGCUACAUUUUCUGGUGAAUGAUGUCAUGAUCUUUCCAUCAACAGAGAAGCCAAAGCUAGCAUGCUGGUAAUUAUCACAGGGGAAAAUUAGGGUUGUUGAGUAUAUAUACCUAACAUUAAUCUCUGCUAAUUAAUACCGCUUUUAUCUUCCUUACUACCAUAAUCUGCACAAAGAAACUCAACUGCAUUUAGGAAAUUCAGUUCGUUUCAGAGUUUGGUUUCGCUUAUAUAACGAUCCGUAUACAUGACAGCCAAAAAGAGAGGGAAAAAAUCCCUAAUGUACUUACAUGCUCUAAACCGUUGCCCUAUUAAUCAACCGCAUCAAAAGACUUAGAACAUGGUACGAUACGUUAUAAAUUAACUACUCAGCGAUACGAAUCUGAAGAUUCUUGAUGACAUUAACUUAAACUUAUUUCAUUAAAAAAAAAAAAAAAAAUCCAACUUCUAUAACGAUGAAAUAAUGUGAUCUGAGGAAGUUGUAACUAGAAGUAAUCAACUAAAAGGUCAUAUAAAAUAGGAGUGACCUUCUGGACGCAGAGAUUAACUGAAACUUGUGCAUCCUUUUCAUUUUCAUCUUCAAUCAAAUCUUCCAAACGCAGGUCAUGGAGGGAGAGAAGGUAAUCACAGCACCAAUUCCCGUGCCAUCUCCCAUCUGCUGUUGAUAUUUUGAUCAGACUUCUGCUGUUCUUUUUGUUGCUCUGCAUUAAUUUGUGGGCCCAAGUAGAAAAAUAUCAUGUACAUUACGUGGCCAACACACGUACACAAAAGGAGAUGAAGUUGUAGAUAAUAUUGUAGGCAAGAAAAUCAUGAAGGAAAUCACAGUAAAAUACCAAGAAGAAAGAAAAGAAUGGAGUUUCAGAAUUACAUAUAUUUGUUGGUCAUAUUACCAGAGAGAAAGAGUUUCUUUUUGAAGCAGCUCUGAUUUUGAAUAAAUGAGGCACCAAUUUAGAGGGUUUGGGGUUUGCUGGCUUUACAGUAGGAAGCGUAAUAAGUCUUGCUGAUACCAAAUGACCAACUUCUGCCAUCUCUCGUUUGCUCUCUCAACAAAUACGAAAGGAGGAAAUGCUGGACAUGUUUUCCUUUAGAACCUUAUCAUCAUUGGCACUUGGCACUGGGACUUGAGAUCGUGAUAGGGUGUAUAAAGGGAAUUUGGAAUACUUAAAAAUGCAGAAUUACAAUUUUGCCCUGUUUGUUACUAACUCUUUUUUUAUACAAAUUCGAACUAAAAUUUUAUUUUUUGGACUUGAAAAUUAACAAAUGAGUCAAUUUUAUACAAAAAGAAAUAUUUGGCCUAGAAAAGAGAGAUGUUUUGAAGUUGGGCUUGGGGAAAUAUUAGUUAUGAGAUUAAAAAUAUAGCAUUGGAUUUAAAUAAUUUUGUAAAAAUAAAAUAAAAUAAUACACAACCAGUAUGAUCCAGUCUGAUUUGGUUUGGUAAGAUGUGAAAUUGGAACAAGAAUCGGUUCGUUCCUAUUUGGUGCCAGUUUGUUGACUUUUUAGUCAACCAAUUUUUUUUUUCAGUUUUUUCCACCCGGUCUGGUUCAGUGUUCCGGUUUUCAGGCCCCAAUGCCCACCCCUAAUGAGUUAUAGGCCAAAUGUAAGCCCCAAAAUGUGUAAAACUCAUCUCUAGUUAUGAGCUAAAUUUUAAGGGCCACAUUUAACCCUUUAGCCCUUCUACCAGGCCACACAUAACCCAACCGUAGCCCAGGCCAAAUUUUUUUUGUGGGCCCUACUCAUGUGUUGCCUAACAGGAGGAAGAAUCACGCAUGGGCGUGAUCAUGAGAUUAGUUCGUGCAAUUGGAAAUUAACAGACAGAUUCAUCCAAGGGCUGCUAUUAAGCUGACGUCAGCUAGCUGUUACUUUUUUUUUUUCUUUUAACGCUUUUAAUGUAUUAAAAUUUGUCGUUAAAAAAAAAACUUUUUGGAAAGUGUGUCAAUUUUUAAAAAAAAAAUAGCCAUUGUUGGCCUUAAAUAAAUAAAAUAUGUCUAUAAAUACCUCCAAAUUUCUUCAAAAAAUUUAACACUUAUUUCAUUCCACAUUUCUUACAAAUUUUAUCACAUAUUCACAACUUUCCAUAUUAUUUUUUUGGUCAAAUAUUUUCCACACUCUUAUCAUAAAUCUAGUUAAAUGCUUAUCAACGUACACAUGUCAUAUUUGGAAUAUUGUCUCUAAAUAGUAGUUUAAUUAAUUUAAAAAAUACAUAGUAGUGGAUUGUAUGAGUGCUGCACCAUAGUUUUUCUCAAAAUAAUAAAAUAUAAAGGGCCUUAAAAUAUAGCCAAGCAUGACUGGAGAUGGAAAAAUUUAGCCAUACAUUAUUUUUUUAUAAAUUAAUAUUUUGGAGAGCUAAAUUGUAGUCCAGUACUGCAUUUAGCCCUCAUGAAUGGAGAUGGCCUUAAGAUUAGUUAAAACCAUUUAGACUUAGUUGCAAAUCAUACUCCUACUCUAGUUAAAGCACAAACAUUGUGGAACCAAAUUUAUCACUCACAUAUUAGUCUCAUUUUAUUGUCAGAGAUCAGUAAUUUAAAUCUUAUGGAUGAAAAUAUAUAUAUUUUUGGUUUUAGGUCUAAUGGUCCUUAAAUUUUGACCCGAUUCGCAUUUUGGUCCCUCAAUUUUCAAAAUCAUUCUCGUUGUCCUUCAACUUCAGUUUCGUUAUGACAAAUGGUCAUGCUGUCAAUUUUGUUAUCUUUUUCGUUAAAUGCAGGGGCAAAAUGAUCUUUUUUUUUUAUUUUUAAUUUCCACCAUCUGAAUAUUCAUUUCACCCAAAAAAAAAAACUAAAAACUAAAAAACCUUAUGAAUAUUCCUUUUACCAUCUAAAUAUUUUUAAUUUAUCCCUGGAGUGAAGCAAUUUCUGAUUUUGACCCUCAAUAAUACACUAUGUGUCAUGCACAUGCUCAAAUUUAAUAGAAAAAGUUAACAAAAUUGACGGCAGAACCAUUUGUCCUAACGAAACUGAAGUUGAAGGAUCAUGGGAACGAUUUUAGAAAUUGAGAGACUAAAAUGCGAAUCGAGUCGCGAAUCGAGUCAAAGCUCAGGAACCAUUGAAUCUAAAUAUUUUAAAAAAUAUAUAUAAACGAUAGUCUAAACUAUAAACUAAAAGCCUUUUUUUCACUCCAUGUUGGCGUUUAAUAUAUAUUUUUGAAUGAAGAGGAAACUAUAAUAAUAAAUAAAAAUUUCAUUUAAAAACCCUUAAAUUUCGCUCUACAAAAGAACGGCAAAUAAGAAAUUCAGAGACGGUAUUUUCUUCCAGAAAAUUGGGGUCGUGACGGUGUAUGUAAUGUAUGUUAGUUAAAUAAAUACAUCACACAAUCUCUCUCCUUCUCUCUGCGCAGUGGGGGGAACUUUGAAACCCUAGAAGAAGUGCAAUCAUCUGAUUACAGCCCUAAGGUUCUCUCUCUCUCUCUUUCUCUCUCUCUCUCUCUCUGCGUUAAACCCUAAUAUUUCGUUACUCUUAAAACUACGAGGAUCUCGAUUCGCACCUUUAUUUAUCGUGCGAAUAUCUCUUGAACUAGGCUUUUGUACUAAUGUUUGUUUUGUUUUGAAAGAUGAGUUUUUAUUUCUUUUUCGUUUCUGGUGUUUGGAUUCUAUCUGGGUUUGAGGUUCUCUUUCAAUUGGUACUAUAAUUUUUAGAUUCAGAAAAAAAAGUAUUGACUUUUCCGUCGAUUUGCUUAGAAAAUUGAAGAUUUGUAUAUAUUUCCAUGUAGAGGUAGAGCUUGUGGUGAAAUUAUGUCCUUAGAAUGCUGGAAAGCUGGUUUUUGGGAGUCGUGUUAAUCAAUUUGGCUGACUUGCUUUCAGUAGGACUGUUAGUGUUCUCGUCUUUAUCACAUUCAUCUUUGAAAUUGUUGCUGGUCGGCCUGAAUUGAUUUUUCUCUACUUAAUAGUAGCUCAAUACUUUUAUAAGUUGUCUUAUGUAUUUGUAUAUGUGCAGGUUGUGGAUGAGCAAAAAGCUGUUUUUUUUUUAUGCCCUUUAGUUUGCGAAUUGUUACGUAAGUGUCUGUUUUUGUAAAAGGAAAAUGAUAGGUUCCAUUUUGCCCUUACCGGCUCCUCCUUCUGAUGGAGACCUUGGGCCUCUUCCAGAAUCCCAAGUGACUGAACUUAAUAACGAUGAGAAACAAUUGAAUGAGGAGCAGAACAAAGCCAACUCCGUUGCAACACAUACUAGGGCUAUUGGUAUCAUUUAUCCUCCUCAAGACAUCAGAAAUAUUGUUGACAAAACUUCCCAAUUCGUGGCAAAGAACGGACCGGAGUUUGAGAAAAGGAUCAUAGCUAAUAAUACCGGAAAUGCAAAGUUCAGCUUUUUGAUUUCCUCAGAUCCCUACCAUGCGUAUUAUCAGCAUCGAUUGUCUGAGUUCCGUGCCCAGAAUCAGUCUUCUGGACAGCAACCUUCUUCGCAGCCUGAAGAUUCUGCAAUACCUGAGUCAUCCCCACCAGCUCCAGCUGCAGAUGGUGAAACAGGAGCACCAAAGCUGGAUCCCUCUGCUCAGUUUAAAUCGGUGCGCAAAGUGCCCGAACCACCAGAAAAACCAGAAGCUGAGCAGUAUACUGUUCGGCUUCCUGAAGGGAUUACUGGGGAAGAGUUGGAUAUUAUAAAGCUCACAGCCCAGUUUGUAGCUCGAAAUGGGAAAUCAUUUUUGUUAGGAUUGACAAACAGGGAAACGAAUAACCCCCAGUUCCAUUUUUUAAAACCUAACCAUAGUAUGUUUACACUUUUCACUUCUCUGGCUGAUGCUUACUCAAAGGUGUUGAUGCCUCCGACGGGGUUGACAGAGAAGCUUAAGAAAAGUAUUGCAGACAUGACAACUGUGCUUGAACGGUGUGUGCAUCGGCUGGAGUGGGAGCGUUCACAAGAGCAGGCAAGGCAGAAGGAAGAAGAUGAGAUUGAGCUGGAAAGGAUGCAAAUGGCUAUGAUUGAUUGGCAUGAUUUUGUUGUGGUUGAAUCAAUAGACUUUGCAGAUGAUGAGGAUGAGGAUUUACCUCCUCCAAUGACCCUUGAGGAGGUUAUAAGGAGAAGCAAGGUCACAGAUAUGGAAGAAGAUAUUGUUGAGCCUGGUAAGGAGGUGGAAAUGGAAAUGGAUGUAGAAGAGAUGCAGCUUGUUGAAGAGGGCUUGAGGACAGCCAGAAUUGAAGAGAAUGGUGAUGAAAAGAAGAAUGAGAGUAAGGUGACAGAUGAUCCAGAACCACCAAUGAGAAUUGUGAAGAACUGGAAGAGACCUGAAGACAGGAUCCCUGCUGAAAGAGACCCAACAAAGUAUGUCAUUUCACCAAUCACUGGAGAGCUUAUCCCUAUCAAUGAGAUGUCUGAACACAUGAGGAUUUCUCUCAUUGAUCCAAAAUACAAAGAGCAAAAAGAACGGAUGUUUGCCAAGAUUCGGGAGACUACUCUCGCUCAGGAUGACGAAAUCUCAAGAAACAUUGUGGGCCUUGCACGAACCCGUCCUGAUAUUUUUGGUACCACAGAGGAAGAAGUUUCUAACGCUGUCAAGGCUGAGAUUGAAAAAAAGAAAGAUGAGCAACCAAAGCAGGUCAUAUGGGAUGGUCACACCGGAAGCAUUGGUCGCACAGCAAAUCAAGCCAUGUCACAGAAUAUCAACGGAGAGGAUCAGAAUGAUGUUCUUAACAAUGAUGCAAGGAAUCUUCCUGGUCCUGCAGCUCCUCCUCCAAGACCUGGUGUGCCGUCUGUUCGCCCUCUACCCCCACCACCAGGUCUUGCCUUGAAUCUACCCCGUGUUCCUCCAAAUACAGCCCAGUAUUCUGCUCCAUCUAGUGGUGGCCUCCCUGUACCUCCACUGAGGCCAUCAGUUGUCCAAUAUCAAUCAGUUCGACCACCUGGACCUCCAAUGCCCAUGAGUUCAGGACAGCAAUCCCUUUUGGUGAAUCGGCCACCUCCUAUGCCACCAUCAAUGUCUAUGAAUCCAUCUGUCCCACCUCCCCCUGGUUCGCAGUUUACACCCAUGCAAGUUCCCCGAGCUUAUAUGCCUCUUCCUGUUCCUCCACCUACAAUGCAAAUGAUGCCACCACCACCUUUGCCUCAGGGGAUGCCCCCACCACCACCACCUGAGGAAGCUCCUCCACCGCUUCCAGAAGAACCCGAGCCAAAGCGGCAGAAGCUUGAUGAUUCUAUGCUUAUUUCAGAAGAUCAGUUUCUGGCACAGCAUCCGGUAUGGAUUCCCUGCAUAUCCUUGUCUUUCCACUGUAAAUUCUUUAGUAAUUGAAAUCUGAUUGUAUAAUUAUUGUUGGUAGCCUGACAGAAAUUAUUCCUUUUUAUUUAUUAUCUUUUUGGUUGCAGGGACCUGUUCGCAUCACAGUAUCUGUCCCCAAUGUUGAUGAAGGUAAUCUGAAGGGACAACUUUUGGAGAUUACGGUGCAGUCCUUAUCUGAAACUGUUGGGAGUCUGAAAGAAAAAAUUUCUGGGGAGAUCCAGCUUCCUGCAAACAAACAGAAAUUGAGUGGAAAACCUGGUUUUCUCAAGGACAAUAUGUCGCUUGCAUAUUAUAAUGUUGGAGCAGGAGAAGCACUUAGUCUUUCAUUAAGAGAGCGUGGUGGAAGAAAGAGAUGAGCAGAUUAUUUGACCAGGCUGAUUAAGGUUCUUGCUGGAAUUUUCGUGUUACCAUGAGAAUAUUCAAUAUAUCAUGUGGGACUUUUGCUAUUCUACUUUCUUUGAUGUUAUAUGGGAGAUUAUAUGUUGGUUGUGUAUUAAUAGGAUGAUUUUUCUUGAACAUAUAAUUGUUGUCUUUAAACUGAUGGUAAGUGUCGUAUCUACUACAGAUUGGGUGCCUCGGCGAGUGUCUCUUAAGGACAAUGGGAAGUAGAUCAGUUCCUUUUACUUAGCCAGCGCAAGUCAUGCUUAUAUGUCUAAUAACUGCUCCUUUUUGCAAUGCAGUUUUUUCUCUGGAAAGUAUGUGCCCAUGGUCGUAUUAUGGUUUUCAUAUCCCUAGAAGCAUGCUUGGUGUCAAGUUAUUUUCAGUGUUCACUUCCAAUUUUUGUUGGUGAAAGAUUUUUCUAUUGGUGAAUGUUGGUAUUUUGGGUUUUUUGUUUUCCUUCUAGUAUUUAAUUUUAUAGGGUGAAGCUAUACUGCGCCUUUAGCAAAGGGUGCCACAGAAGCUUGUAUUAUUUGCACUCAUGUGUUUCUUUAACCAGCCAAUAGCAAGCAGUGGCUGGUAGAGUUGGUAUUUUCUGAUGAUGGUUGUUAACUACAGGAUAGAGGCUUUAGCUACUUGUUGGGACUCAUAAAUGGUCUGUGCAACCAGUUAGAUGUUCUUCUUUAAGCAUCUAAGCCAGGUAAGAUGCUAUUUUAUCUUUACCAUUUUCAUGUAGAAUUCCUUGUCCUGUUUCCAACUCUGAUGGCAAUCCUUAUGCAUGCCAUUUCUUUUUGCAGCAUGGAACCACAGGGUUUGAUUACCAUGUUAAAGGAACAAGCAAGUUUUUAUAUCUUUGUAUUUUUUCUAGGAUUAUUAGAGCAGGUUGGGGUUACAUAGCUUCCCUAAGGUUAUGCAUGAGAUUGGAUUUGAUAUUAAAAGUUUACAGCUAGUAUAGAAAUGCAGAAUGCCCUAAUCUGUUGAAAAGAGUCGUCAUUAACUGUUCAGUUAUGGUAAUUUGGUGCUGGCAGCACAAUACUGUAGAGAAUUUGGUUGGCUGAUGUACUAGUCUAAAAUAUUUGCUCAACACUGGCCUUCACUAUGGGGUGUCAACAUGGUCCAUGCGUAAUUACGGGUCGACUCAGUAUGUCGUUCCGGGGUUGAAGACUCCAGCUCUUCUCGGUGAUGUGUCCUGUUGUGCGGAUAUAAACAAUUGUGUCUCCAAUAUUGUGCACGCUAGGAAUGUGUAUGUAGUAAAAGCCACUGUCAGCUGUUUCAAAAGGCGUUGAGUUGCCUGUAUAAAGUCUGCCUCAUUUCCCAAUAUCAAUUGGUUGUACUUGUUGAGAGUAUCACUUAUGCAGCCAAUUGCCAAUUAAGUUGUGUAGCCAACAAUGUGGGUUGUUUUCAUGCCUUAAUUAGAUGUUUCAAAGAUGAGUUUCCCAAAAGCAAGAGUCCCUUUUGCUUUUGAUGUGCAAUGUUUGUCCGAUCAAACCAAAACCACAAUGCUUGACCUAGUUGCAACUUACAAGAAUGAAUGGUAUAUGUUCAGGACCUUGGUGGGGGCAUGUCUGGUCAGGACUGUGCCCUGUAUCAGAGAUCCACUCCACCCCUGAGGAUGGGGCUUGUUUAUUCCAAUAUAUAUUGUAUUGUUGUCCAAUUGAACGAGUCUAGUCCGUCUUACAUGACACCGCCCGAUUUUAAUUAGAAUAGUCCUGUGAUGCACGUAAAUAUUGAUAUCUUAGGAAAUAUCGACGAAUAUUUCAAUAUUGGUGUCUGUUGAUGGAAAUGUCAAAGCAUCAUCGCUCUCAGUAGUCAGUUCUAAGUUAACCAAAGUGUCCAAGCAACCUUUUCAUGUCACUUUGAGCACCAUCUCUCGUAGCUAGUUGUAAUUUCGAUUAUGGUGUGGAAUUUGGAUGCGAGGUGUGAGUGGUGAAUUGAGUACGACUACCAGUUUAGUGUUUUUGGGCAACAAUGUGAGUGGUGGUAGCGUCAACAGGUAUCAAGGAAAAGGUUGCAGACGUCAAGAAAAAGAAAAAAGUGAAUUGCAAUGUAAGACCUGCCAAAUAUAGGAAAGCAUGCUUUAAAUUACAACUUUCACUCAGUUUGGCAUUGCUAUGCUGUAAAAAUAAUUGUUGUCAGAUUUGCUGUGAGAGAAAUCAACUGUGAGAGAAAGCAGUUCGGUGUGUGGUAAAUUUUUUGUUAAAAGUGGUGUUAGUACUGAUUCCCGCAUAAUAAAAAAAAUGAUUCCUGCAUAAUCAUUAAUCUCAGUGCCUCUUCAAAACUGAUUCUUGCAUAAUCAGAAAAUAAAAGCACCUCAUUAGAUGUUUUCCCUUAUAGCUUUCUUUCACAGCAAUUUUUAAUAAUAAGUUAUUUUCUUAUAGUUUAUCAAACGGGUUAGGUUUCUCAAAUUUUUUUUAAAAUCACUUAUCACCCCAAAUAAACAAUGUCAAACGGGCACUUAAAGCUUAUUUCCCAAUUCUGAUUUUGUUGAUGAAUGCCCUUCCUAGGAAUUUUGAUGCCCAUCUCUUAAGAGGCAAUUUUGAAAUGGAAAAAGACAAUGAUAUUCUAGUAAGUGAAAUUGAAGAAAUUUGAUUCAAUGAAAGGCGGCUUUUCAAAAGGGAACUUUAGUUGAGUGGAACUGUCACAACGUUAGAAGGGAUGAGGGCUGCAUCUGUUGUCAAUAUAUCUUUCAAACGCCCCUCAUCAUCCUUCCAAUAUGCAUACAAAUAUGAGGCUACCAGCCCAUCCUCCAUUCCUAAAAGAUGGUUCUCAUAGCAAAACCCAAGAUAAAUCUUUGGACUCAGCAGAAUUUCCUUGUGGUAAUUUGACUUCAAGUGCUGCUCAUCAAGAUCUUUGGCGCUAUUGUACAACUGAUCAAUGCAUCCUUUGAAAAAGGCAUCCCUCAAAUGCUUUUAUAUGAAACCAGGUGGAACAGUCAAAAAACCAAGUGGUUUCUGACCUGUUUGCUCAUCAUUGUCAAUUCUCAGUUUGAGGUUUUUGCAAUGAGAUUCAGCCCUAUUGUGGGGACAUAGCAACAUCUUUCUACAUGCCUCAGUCUGGAAAUGCCGAACAUCGAUGCUGGUGUACAAAUUAUUCAUGCAACCUAUUUCCAGAAGUACUGAAUGUUUACGGGCACGCCUGACAAUGGUUCCCAUUGGUAUUGUCAAGAAACUCAAGUGAACAUCAAUAAAAUCUUUAUCAGACUCUACGAAGAUAAUUUUGUUGCUCCCCUUGUCCACCACAGCCUUCAAGCUUAUAAUAUAUUCUUCACAGUUGUAUCAGCCAUUGAUACUGUAAGAAAGUACGAAGCUGUAAGUUGUUUUCCUGCUUAAACAUGAAAGGACUUCAAAAUACAAGUCAAGUACUGGGAAAGAGAGACAAAAUUUUGGAGAAUUAAUAGCUUGAAAAACAGGUCAGAGCUUGAACAGAUAACAAAAUCAAUGAUUAACUACAAAGACAUAAUAAACCAUCACUCCAUCAUACCAUCUUGAGUACUAAACUAUUCAAUUAUAAAAUUACUAAGCUAUUCCAAAAAUGAUUCAACCUGUUCAUAUAAUUGAAGAAGUGCUAGCAGUGGACUAACCCGAGAGAAGAUGAAAUCCAUUCCUUACGGAUUCAAGCAUUCAACAUAGUUUCAGCUGUUGUAAAGGUCUUUGAAACUACCACAACUGCAAAUAUCAAAAAGAAUAUGAAUGAACAAUAAGAAACCCCACAUAGAGCUGGACAAUGAAAAUUAUGUCCGCAACAUGGGCCUGGGCAAUGAAAAUUAUCCGCAUUUAGAACAGAGAUGGGAAAAUUUUCAUAUAUACUGCACAUUGCAAAGAGGUACUGUCUCAAUUACCUUCCAAGGCUCGGUAUCAGAGAUCAUAACAGAUGAAGCCAUGUAAAGUGGUGUUUGAAAAGUGAAGCAAUUACCAAGUCCACCCCAACUCAGGAUGCAAUUCUCUGCGACAAAUAAUGUGUGCAGUAACAUAAUUUAGUAGCACUCGAGAAAACGAGAUAGAUCAAAGGGUUACCAAGACCACUCCAACACAAGAUGCAAUUCCCUCGAAAAAAGAGAGAAAAAAUUGAACUCUCAGAUUGAAGAUAGAUUUGUGGAUGGAAAGAGGCCUUGGGAUCACGCUAGGGAAAAGAGAAGAUUCGGGCGCCUAAUCCUUAGGUAGAGGUACCUUUUUAAAUUUUUAAAAAAAUAAUAAAUACUAUAGCUGCGUGGCAAUACCGGUUGUCCUUUUUUAAUUUUUUUUAAGAGAUAGUAUAGCAGCGCGGCUAUACUAUUUAAAUUUAAUAUUUCAUGGGAAUAUUCGUACGCCUAAGCAGGUCCUUUUUUUUUUCCAAUUUAAUUUUUAUAAAUAGCAAGCUACGCAGCUAAACUAUUUAAAUUUAAUAUUUGAAGAGUGUAGCCGCGCGUCAUUAUUAUGAUAUUUUUUAAGAACAAAUAGUAUAGCCGAGCGGCUAUACUUGUUUUGACACCUCAUCUAAUGCUAAGUGGGUCCCUUUUUUUAGCCGGCUAUACUCACUGAUAUUUUUCAAAAUAGUAUAGCCGCCUGGCCUUACCACAGUAUUUUGUUUUAUAAAACAAAUAGUAUAGCUGUGCCUAUAUAGCCCCGAUUUUCUUUUAUCGAUAAGAGUAGUUUAGAGCAUUAUCCAUUACUAUAAGGUCAUUACUCGAGUCUAUAUUGUCCCUUUCUUCAACGACGGAGACGUUGAGAUCUUAUGUUGUAUGCUGAAUCCUCCACGGCCCAAUGGGAAAGAGAUUUCAUCCCCAUACGUUUCAUACUUCAAAACUCAUAGUUUUUUACAACUUCACUCCUUUCUUUUUUCUUUUUCUUUUUUUCUCUCUAGAAGAAAAACAAAGCCUGCAUUAUUAUUACAUACAACAGGUCAUUCAUGAAACAAACGGUCAUUAAAUAUUCUGCAUAAAGAAAUCUCUACUAGCAAUUGAACCCGUGACUAUGAGUCUGCUACGAGUAUCAUUAUCCAUAAGGAAGUGCACACACAGUAUCAUCCAUACUGGAGUUCCAGUUUGUAUAAAGGAGAAGCAUCAUCAUCAUUCAAUAGAUAAGCAAGCUCUCUUUAUAGACUUUUCUUGAUUCAGCCGCCUAAUGAAGACAUCGGUUAGAGCAGAGUCGCUAAGAAAAGUAGCCACCAAAAGACGCAAAGCCUACGAUAAGUAACAACACAAGAAUCAUCAACAAUUAAAAAGGGAGAAGGGUGCAGUGAAAAGGGCAACAUGAAAACUGUAAACAAUUAACUCACCUCCUUCUUGCCAACCUCAACAGUUUCCUCCUUUAUGUCAGUGAAAGGUACCUUCAAUUCAUUUAUAAUCAGCUUGUCAGUUACCAUGAAUGCCGUUGAUGCUUUCAAAUACCCUUGAGUACUUUUAUCAUGCUUCAAUUUGAGUGGAAGUGUCACUGCGUUAGAAGGGAUGAGUGUUUUAUCAGUAGCCAAUAUAUCCUGCAAACCUCCAUCCUCCGGCCAAUAUAUGAGGCCACCAGGCCAUCCUCAAUUCCUAACAGACAGUUCUCGUGGCAAAAACCAGGAGAAAUCUUAGGACUCAAGUGCUGCUCAUCAAGAUCUUCGACACAUUUGCACAACUGAUCAAUGCACCCUUUGAAAGAGGCAUCCCUCAUAUGCUUUACUAUGAAACCAAGUGGAACAGUCAAAAAACUGAAGAGCAAAUUAACAAAAUCCUCCCCUGCUUCUGCAUAACAAACAAUAUUCUUCGAUACGCUAAUUGUCAGCUUAACAACAAUCUUUUCUUCUUCUUCUCCCUCAGUCAUCGUGUCUCCAAGCAGUAGAGAUUCAAUACGUGUCAAUAUUAGUUGAUCCAGAUUUAAAAUGCUCAAAUUCGGAUUUGGUACAGGAUUAUGCUUCAGUAUAGUUUCAGACAGAGGUUUCUUUGAUACUAACGAGCUCAGAAGCAAGUUCAAAACCUGGAAAAAAGCCCAUGAGAUCAGAAACCACAAACGCUACAGUUGUAUUAGAAGAAAAAUAAAACAAUUGGCAAACAGCAUUCAAUUCCCUCAUGAGCUCUUAUAUUCAAAUUCUGUUGUUCAGUUGUGCUAUUCUCAUUCAUGGCUCCAAGCUUUGUAAAUACAGGAUUGCUUGCCACCGAUAAUGGGGACAUCAUACAUAAAUCAUUCACGGCUCCAAGCAACACAUUCCGACCAAAUUUUGUUGGGAGAUGUCUAAUCCGACAAAUAUUUGCCGGCAUACACCUGUGCUGACGAAACUUCGUCGGGAGUUUUCCUAGUUUGCUAUUUACAGGAAAACUGUUAAAAAUGGCAAUUCCUGGCGAAUUACUUGAGUGUUGGCAAAGCAAUUAACAUUUUUAAACCACGACUUGUGAUCCUUUGGCCACCUAAUUGAUAUUUUGAGUAAUUGAAGAACAAUAGCAAUCGCUGCAUACAAAUAUUAUGUGUAUUUUAGUUCUACAUGGCAAUGUGACAUGUGAUUUUUCAUCUUCAUGUACGUGGAAACAAAUAUAUGUGUGGUGCACCAAAGCUGCUCCUGUCGCUUCGUUAUUAAUGUGUGAAUUUAAUGAAGAGAGACUGUCAAAUCCACAUGUCAAUGUCCCCAACCACAAUUUCUUCACCCCACCCUCUGAACCAGAAUUCAGAGCAGGAAGAAGACGACAUCUCUCAACCAUUCUUCACACUUCAAACAGUAGGUAGACAUGGAUAUACAUACGGUUCUUGGGGGCAAAGAUAUAUUCAUAUUGGUUCCUGAUUGGCUAAACACAGAAUUUUAAUCUGAUGGCUCUGGCUUUUUAAUAGAGAAACCACAACAAUUGGCCCAUGAAUAUGACAUUGAUGCAUUAGUAAAAAAUUCUGAACCACAGAAAUAUGAGACAAUCCAAUUAGAAAAUAUCAUUCUAAUAAAAUAUGCAAUUGAAUGAGGACAUUUGAUAUUUUUAGUAGGAAAUCCAGUUUCUCUCCUAAUCCAUCCUCUCUUAAGCUUCUUAAGCUUUUAAUUAAAUACUUUUAGUAGUUUAAUUAUCCCGUAGUUUAUGCUAAUUAUGUUUGAAGUCAGAUUUACUAUACUCCGGCAUACACCGCGCGGCUAUACUGUUAGGAUAUUAUAUUUUAGGUUAUAGCCGCCCGGCGGUACUUAAAAAAUAUUCUAAAUAUUCUACUUUGGAGUAUAGCUAUACCGUUUACAUUUAUAUUUAUGGAGUAUAGCCAGCCGGCUAUGCGAUUUAAAGGUAUAGAAUAGUAAAUGGAAUAUUUUAAAGGUAUAGCCACCCGGCUAUACGCUUUGAAUAUAUUAUGUUUUAAUUACUUCUAUUUAUUUAAUGAAGUAUUAGUAUUUAAAUAUUUUAAUUAAUUGAAUAAAAAUUACUUAAUAAAUACUAUUUAAUUAUAUUUAAUUAUCUUAAAUAAUUUUGUGGAAUUUAAAAUUAUUUUUAAAAUAGUUUCAAUUAUUUAAAAAUUCUAGAAAAUUAUUUUAGUAUUCUAAAACUGGAAUUUUAGUCUCCAAACCCUAAAUCCAAGUGUCGAACUUAUCCGAACUUGUUCCAUAACCGUUUGCAAGUUGUAAACCUACUGUUGGGCACUUAGGACUCAAUUAGGCUUGGAUAAUCACGUAACUCGACCUAGGGCUUUACGAUUUAAGUUUCGCUCUCAGUCUUGUGAUCAAAAUAUAUUGCAUGUUAUAUAUCAGAUCAAAUACUGCAAAUUUAGUCAUAGCUAGCUUAGUGGAAUUUGUAAUUUUUACUUCACGACCAUAGUUCAUUCCAUGUUAUUCUUCAAUAAGAUCGGAGAAUGAUUAGAACAAAAUACAAGCAAUGAUUCAUAACUACAGAUUAACGAAAUCCCCCCCUACUUGUGCAUAACAAACAAUCUUCUUUGAUUUGCUAGCUAUAAGCUUGACAGAAAAUGUUUUCUUCAUCCUCAUUCAUUGUGUCUCCAAACAAAUGGGAUUCAGUCUUACAACUUACAACUGGUCGAUGAAAUAAAGAAGGCACCACAUGCCAACAAAGUCCUAUUUUAAUACAAGCUUUUAGAAGAGAAGAUGAAAAGAACUAAAGAUAGAUCCUCAUAUGGAUCUUAUAUUAACCAAGCUCUCAUUAUUCUUGCUUCGACUGCCAAUGCAGGUAUUGAUUAGAGAAGAGGCACAAAACAAAAGAUGCAAAGCCUGCAAAUAAGCAAGAAAACCACUAGUCAUCAGAAAAAUCCUCUUUGGUAGAUAUCCACUAAAUCAGAUGACCUGAAGCUUCAGAAUUAGAGACGCAUAUACUCUAUGUACAGUCAAGUUGAUGUGGCAUUCACAAAAACACAAACAAUAUCUGUAGAUUGAUUCAAAUCAUCGACCGUAAUGAGCAUAGCCACUUAAAACACAAUAUAGUUUACUAAUUUGGAAGAUAGGAAUACAAUUUCAUCUUAAUUAGCAUAAAGCCAAAGACCAAAAUGUAGUAACUAAUUUUACAAAAAUAUUAUUAAAAAAUAUAUCAAAAUUACACACAAUGCCACUCCUUCUAAGGCAAGCAUACUAUGUCAUAUUUCCAUAUCCAGCCAACCGCCACAGCCGGCCAGCCACCCGCAGCCGGCCACCACCGCAGGCCAGCCAAUCCUUGAAUUUUCAAUAUAGAAAAACACUAAGGAGAUUUUUAUUAUUUUUAAUUGAAAAUAAAUAAAAAUGAUAAUAAUAACAUGAGUUAUAACAUCCAUGGUUUUUCCUUGGUAGUUCAUAGAACUUUUAUUUUGAAUACAAGCGAUAAUCUAAAUUACAAGAGGAGAGGGGUUUCUCACACACACAACCAAGAUGUCAUGGGUUCAAACCUGAGACCUUGUUUUUUUUCCUUUUCUUUUUCUUCGCUACAAAAGAGUCUAAGAGAAUGACAACUAGAAUCUACCUUCAUGUAAUGGCCAAUAUGGGAGCAAGAAUAAAUACAUGAAUUAUAUCCCAUAUUUAAAACCCACCAAUAGUAAAUAAAUACAAGAAUAAAUAAGAAAAAAAUUGAUAUUAAAAAAAAAAAAAAAAGGCUGUAUAAUAUAUUGAAAUCCCUAUAUUAUGGAUGCCCAUCAGUCAUCAAGAAGUUCACAAUCAAUCCUCUGAAAAUAAACCUUGUUUGCAGCAAGAUCAUAGGCAACAUUAUAAAAUUGCUGAGCCAUAAUUCCAACAAAAUUCAAGUCAUUGCCAACAGGAGACUCUUGCAAAGCCAUACAAAACUCAUUCUGGCCAUACUCUUGGAAAAGGCUCUCAAUGUCCAAACCCAACUCAGCCCCAUCUGCAAAGUUCAAGACAACAUCUGGAAACCCAACAAGGUCUUGGCUUAUAAUCCCCUUGUAGCAUAAAGCCGAAGGAAUAUCAGGCUCUUCUACUGUUUCCAACUUUCCAUCCAUCAACUUUGCACUUCAGCACUAAGCACAUCAUAUGCACCUUUGGCUAGGAAGCUUAAUGUUGUCCCAGAAUCAAAGACUGUUCCACCAGUGCCUGAUGGUGUUCUUUUGAAAAUUUCUGGAUCAAUUUCGAGCCGCCUUUCAGAGAGGCUGAUGCCCUCUAAGGUCAAAUAGUAGAGGUCAUUGUAGACUUCAAGUGGAGUUGAAAGGCCUUCUAUCUUUGCACCAUCGCCUAAGAUUAGUUGGUUAUGAGGGUACUUAGGAUCCUUUAUGCUACCAAUGCAAUAAGAGAAUUUUGACCCCAAUUGGGUUGCCAAAGAUAUGCUUGAAGGUCCAAGACCAAGUAUUUCCACUAGGUUGGCCAUUGUAACCAUCAUUGUCAUCGGCACAACCAAAAACCACAUUUGCGACAGGGCUAAUGCCUUCGUCGGACGUGUCCAAGGUGAACUUUUCGGUCCCAAGAAGUCCGGCUACAUCAGUGCCAUCAAGGUACUUGUGAGAGAACUUGCAAUUGUUUGAGGGGUCACAUUUGUCACUAGGGGAAAUGGUGCAAUAGGGAGAGUUGCAUUGUAAUGUGGUGUAUGUUGAGGACUUGGAAGGGUCAAAAAGUGGAGUGGCUUGUUCAAAACACUUGGUGCAAGGAAGGCAUUGAACCCACAAUAAGUUGCUGCCUGUGUCUACGGUCAAGAGCUGUGGAACUGGUGGCUCACCGAUUGAGAAACUUGCCAUGAAUUGUGCUCCAUUGUCCUCACCAACAAGCCCGGCACGAGUAUCGUCUGUCACAAAAACAAUAGACUUUGCUCCCAAGUAUGCUAAGCGUGCCAUGGAGGUUUUCAACGUGUGCAUAGCAUGGUCUUUGAUGGUUGCAUUAGGGUUGUAGUAAGGAGACAAAGCCGAAUCGCGAUGAAUGAGUUUUGUUGCAAAACUCCUUGGUCUUUCGAUGGUGGAAGCUGUGGCGGUUAAGCAUAACAAAUUUAAGAAAAUAACAAAAUUAGUAAGCGAGAGCCUAACAGGUUUUGCAAACUGGGCUGCCAUGGCUACUGGUUAAAAGAACACAGAAUUGUUUAAGGCAGACGAGGCAUGAUAGCUGUGCUUCUUUAUAACUAUGCGUAUGUAGAAAUAUACAUAUAUGGAAAUAUCCUCCAGACUGUAGACUUGCCUUAUAUGCUUGCUCUUAUCAAAAGCAUCCUCCUAAGAAAAAUACUAUAUGCAAUAAAGGGAAAAAUAACUAGAUAAUCUUGUGUGUAGGGUUCUUUAACAAGGCAGUCUUUCCAUUUAGUUUUCACACGCAUAAGUCAUGGCAUUAGGUUUUCCAUUAAGUUUUCAUCUUCCUUUUUAAGGUAGUCUCAUAACUGCUAUCUUAUUCUUGUCCAAGACCAUACAAAACAUAAUGGAAAUUUGGUACAUUUGUAUCAGUAAUGAAAACACAGCAGUAAUGACUAAUAAAAAUUAGAAAACAUUUAAAGCCAUGUAAAAUAUGUGAAAGUUUGAUUAAGGGUCAUGGAUUACCAUUUAAAAUAUGGGUAAUAUAUACAGUAGUGCUCAAGCGCUUAUUAGUUAGUAAGUUUUGGGAGUGAUUUUGGACUUUUGGAGAGAAGAACCUCGCAUGCUUCUUCAUAUAAUCACUUUUAGUGAUUCUAAGGCAUGUGCUUCUCCAUAAAAUCACUUAAAACCACGGGCUAGUUUGGCAUUGCUGUGCUGUCAAAAUAAUCGCUGUCAGAUUUGCUGUGAGAGAAAUCAGCUGUGAUAGAAAGCAGUUUGGCGUUUGGUAAAUUUUUUGUUAAAAGCGUUGUUGUUACUAAUUCCCACAUAAUCAGAAAAUGAUUGCCGCAUAAUCAUUAAACCCAGCGCCUCUUUGAAACUGAUUCCUGCACAAUCAGAAAAUGAAAGCACCUCAUUAGCUUCUUUUCCUUAUAGCUUUCUCUCAUAGCAAUUUUUAAAAAUAAGUGAUUUUCUCAUAGUUUACCAAACGGGCUGUGCUUCCCAAAUUUUUUUAAAAAUCACUUAUCACCCCAAAUAAGCAAUGCCAAAUUGGCACUUAAAGUGAUUAUAUAGAGAAGUGAUUUUCCAUAAAAGUGAAUAUUGAGUUAUUUAGGCCUCGUUUGGGAUGCCUUUUUUUGGCCAAAAACCUACUUAACUUUAAAGUUAAACAGUUUAAGGUGUCUGGUAAAAAUAAAAUAUCCUGCUUAUUUUAAAAGCAAUGCUCUUUUGACAGCAACUUUUAAAAGCAACAUUGGGGUUGCUUUUUAAAGCUACUUUCAAUUGAAGCAGCGCUCUCCCUUUAUUGAUUUUUUUGCAAUUCCACAAAUACCUUAUUAGGUUAGAAAUGUAUACGUUUGGUAUUUCCUGUAGCCUCCCAAGUUUGCAGAGGAUUCGCUCAAUCUCUUUUCAAAGGUAGAUUAUCAAUCUCUUCAAAGCUAUUGAUUAUAGUUUUUAGGGAUAUAUGUAUUCUUCAAUCUCUGGUGUAUGAUAGUUUUUAGGGAUGGAAUCCAUAUGGUCCAAAAGGUCCUUCAAUGGCAGGGCGACCUUGCUUUCCUUCAACUCUAAUUCUUCCAAGUUGAAAGCUUUCUUACCCCUCGUUGGUUAUAUUUGGUCCUAGAAAAUAAAUGAUAUAUUUUGUUCGAAAAAUUGAAUUUUUAUUUUUCUUUAAGCAACGAUUAAUAUAAUUUUUAGGAAGAAAAGUAUAACAACACUUUCAAGGUUUAUUUUUUACAAAACAAACUAGUAAAAAAACACUUUCAGCAUCAUGUUUAUUUUAGUCAUUACAAAUAGUUACAGCACCUUUACAAACACUCUGUUUUUCAUACUCACAGCACUUGCUUUAUUUUAAAGCGACAGCAAUCCCAAACUGGAUCUUAGAAUCACUCCCAAACAAUAUUGUGCUAACCACUCAUUUGGGUCUACUCUACUCUACAAAUAAACUCCUGACCAUGGUUGGUAUGUGUUUAAUUAUACUGUAAUCUUGGUCAUUGUGUGGAUGCAUCUGGUGUGUAAAUUCCCAAGGCAGCCAGGGCAUAGAAUCAUUCAAUGCUUACUUUAGUGUUUCCAACUCUUCUUCUCUCAAGACAAGAUAACGUACGAGAAAAAAAUUUAACUUUUCCAAUUCAAUCAUUAUAUGUUUCUAAUUCUCUCUGAAUUUCCACACAUGCACAAAAUAAUUUUUAAAGCGUGAAUUUCACGGCUAUUGUGUGUUGUAUAUUUGCCACUUGAGAGUUCAAACUUCAUCUUUUACAAAGACUAACCACAAAAUGCAGUGAAAGAGUUCCCCGAAAAAGAAAAAUUAUGUUCUAGAAAUUUAACACUGAUAGCGCAAAAUGAAGGGUUUGUAGAGAUCAACAUAUCCUCAUACCCACGGAAGCAACACUAGCUUGUUAGCCUCCUGCCAGACUCCACCCUAACUGCUCUGCCAGUUGCCCUUGCACUCAAGAAAUGUGGUCGGGGGGAACGAACAAUCAAGCCUCUAUAAUUUGGCAAUUUACAACUUCGUCAGCUAUACUGGAAAUAAGUGGGAGUGAAAGGGUCGAAAACGAUCCAACCAAAGAAUAUGGAAUCAAAAAUAUCUGGCUCAAAUUGUUGUAUAAUUGGCAAAAAGGUGCAACAAGUUAUUGAGAGUCUCUGGAUGGAACUUCCUUGCAAACAAGUAACACGGCCGUUGUAUACCAUUCCAUAAGCAAGGCCAUUUCUGUACUACCCUCUGAAAAAUGAAAAAAAAAAAAAAUGGGAUUAAAUUAUAAUGAGUUAUUUCCAAGCCAUCCAAUAUUCAAAUUCCAGAAGCAUGAAUUAGCGAUCUUUUAGAUGCAUACCUUCUCAUCACUGGUUACAUGCACGCUCACAUCAACUGACUGCAGAGACAAGACAACAAAAGUCUCCGUCAGAAAUUAUGAACAAUUUGUAUUUGAAUUGAUACUACUCUCUAUAGUAUUAUAUAUGUUGGAACUGAUGGUGUAACAAAGAUUGCAAUGGCACAUCCAAAGCAACUAUAAUGAGACACUCCAACUGGUACAUCCACCAGGUCAUUUCAAGCCACCAAUCAAUUCAGGCCACAUCUUCAUUAAAAGGCCGAGUAUUAAAAACUGAAAUUCAAUAGCAGGAAGCAUUUUUUUGUUUUUUUGGUUGGGUGGAGAGAGAGAAGUGAGGGAUGGUAUUGAUCAGAUGACAAUAUUGGCUCAGUGCCAACCAUCCAACCAAACAAAUAAAAAAAUUGCAGAGUUUUUAGAAGCAAUAUGUGAAGUUGCAUUACGCAAACUUCUUAAGAAAUCGCAGUCAGUGUCCAGCAGCACACAUUCUCCACAUAGGUACCUUACACAGACAGGUAGAAGAAAUAUUGCACAGUUGCAUAAUGCGAACUUCAAGAAAUUGCAGAGUCAGUGUCUAGCAGCACAUAUCCAAACAAGAUAAACAUGCAUGCAUGAUGGGGCUCUUACUUAUAAAUACCACAAACACACACACACAUAUAUAUAAAAGCUUAUAGCAUAACUGUACCGUAAUAUUCUUCAGAAGGUCAGAAGUAAUAUCAUGACCCUUGUAUAACUUUGGAUGCCACUUUCUUUCAGACCAAUCAACAUGUGUUACGGACCAGUUUGCAAUUCCACCAGGAUCAAUUAUCUGAAAAUAAGUGCAAAAGAAACUUCAUUCAGACAGAGAUGCUAAAUACAAGGAAACACAGAAGGGGAAAUUCUUAGAGAGGAGAUUCUCACAUUGAAAAAGGUAGGCAAGUAAUGUUCAUCAGCAAUGCAAUUGCGCCCGUCCAAACCGGGCUGUAAUAACCAAGAACAUCCACAUCAAGAAAUUGGGCUAGGGAACAUAGGGUUUCAUAGUUUUAAAUAUCACAAAAACCUAUCAAAUACUUGCAGGUCAGCUGUAUAGUGGCCCAAGCAUGAGAAGGAGGAAAGGCAUAUGUUGAAAUCGAGCAAAUGUUUUACAUAUCAACAACAAAAUUUUGAGCCUUAAAAGAGCUUACGUCAUCAGAAAAAACCAAAUAAAGAGCAACCUAGAAUUUAAUUACACCCGUAAUAGGAGAAAGCAAGGACGAAGGUAUCGUACAUGCAGAUAUGCUAUAUCUACUUGGUAAAUAAAUUAGAGGCAAAAACAUAUAACAUAUGAAAAUAUUAAGAACUACAAACAAGGCAGAUGUAGAAAUGAACACAAAAAAAGAAGAAAAGAACUUGCCCUGCAGUAGUCCCGGAAUUUCGAGUAGUAAAGACCAUCAGCCAUUACUAUCACAGCAUGCUGACGCUUCAUAGUGAACCACUGCAUAUAAUUCAGAAUAUAAACUUAAUAAAGGGAAGAUACUUGAAUUUCAAAUAUUUGAAUACUAAUACAUCUCAAAAAUCGAUCCCUUUGUCACCACCAACCCUGGCCAAAAAAAUGGGGAUCAAAAUGAAAAAUAAUUCCUACAUCUGGAUAGUUAAACUGCACUACCUCUGACCUAUGCACAACCUCACAGGCAAGAAUCUAUUACACAGCCAACAAGCCUUCAAUUUUCUAACACCUUGGAAUCAAGAAUUACUUUUUGGGUGGGUGGUCAUAUUGCUCUACUGUCAAAAUGUGUUGAUAUUACCUACUGACAAUGCAUGUUCAUAAGACCAAUCAAAAUGGCCAUCAAGAGAUGGAGAACUCCAUUUAGCAAAUAUCAAAUUUCCCGAGAUUAGAAAAACUACAUUUGCAGCAACAACCUAAUGAAAAAUACCUGUGCACCCUUUCUGAAGUCUUUCUUUUCAAUUUCAGGUAACAUGUGCUCAGAAUACCUCCCAUUUCCAUGUGGACCAGGAUCCUCAAAGCUGAAAAGCGAAAACAAAAUAAGAUAUAAAAAUAAAUAAAAAUAAAACCCUACUACGGAAGCAACCGUCAUAACUGUACCUAUUCAUCAAAACAAAAAUGCAUUCGCAAAAUGAUGAGCUACCCACACAUUUAAACUAAAACAGUAGCUCAUAGAAGAAGAUUUCACUUACCAGUCAACAUAGCUUAUAUUUGUAUUCAUCAGAUAGUCAUAGAUAUAGUCAAAUGUAUACAGUGGCACACAACUGCAUAACAGAAAGAAUUAAUAAGAAAUUAAUAAUUGCAGAACUAAUCAGAACUCAACAGAAAAAGGAUGACUAAAGGUACCUAGAAUUUGAUCACCUUUCAGAAAGUAAGACAAAAUGCUGGUUAUCAGGAUCUUGAAGAGCAUGUACCAAUAAUCUUCUCUCUGCAUCUACCAUGGAAAUUUUCCCCCAAAUCACCUGAAAACAUGAUCAAAUUGUCGAUCUGAUUAAUCUACUUGAUCACUAGUUAAAACAUGAAGACGAUAAACCACCAUCACCACUACUGAUAUAAUGACCAUGAGUAUGAUAUAAUAUUAAUCCGGCCAACAAGGAAUAAGAAUUCUACCAACAAUUUUAGUUGUAGUUAUAUUGGCUUCAAAAGUUUUGCUCUAAGUAGAUCUGGUUUAAGAAAAGAAAACAUGUGAAAGAUAUGUCACAUUGUGUUAUCCUCAUUUUCUUCUACCUGUCUGUGUAACAUCAUCUACACAACUCUAACCCCUUCCAUGAUAGCCUGCUAGCUUAAAAUUGUUCAAGAUUUACACAGGUCAGAAUAAAGAAACAAUCAGACAUUUUCUACAAUUUGAGUUAUUGUGAAAGAUUAUGCUCAGCUUCAUUAGGAGAGACUAUUAUACUGUAUGGAUUAAAUAAUCAAUCACCCCCUCCGCAACAAAAUAUUCCCCCGCCAUCCACUUAAUAUCUGACAUUAACAAUUAACAAUUAAGUGGCCGAACUGGCAUGUUUUAACUCAAUUAAAUGAGAUAUAAGGCUGCCUGAUACAUACAUCAAUUAAGCAAGUAGGAGGUCUAUGGUAAUAUAUGAGACGGGAUACGUUGUUUUUAACAUCUUCUACAUGUUUGUUUGUUAUUUACUAGCUUUAAUAUUCACUGUAUAUCAUGUCCCUUGUUUCGUAUGAUGGAGGGUUUCAUCAACUGUAACAAAUUUUGUUUUGUAUAGCAGUAGACAAGGAGUCUGUUAAUUCUCAUUUCUAUUUCAAAUAACAUUGAAAAGUAUGAAACAUUAAUCUUGUAAAGUAAUGCAAUCCAAUCAUGAAUGACUAUGACAAUAAAAUCAGGUAUACCGGGUCACUGCGUAUCUCGCGAUUAAAAAAGUAACGGCUCAAAUGAAUUGCCUUUUCUUUAGAAGCAUGGACAUAAACAGAGAACCUUCCUUCAUGACCCUGUCAAAUAAAAAAUUGAAAGAUUUAAGGUAAGCAUAUGAAUUCAUAAUUACUUUAGCAGGCUUCAUCAACACUGGAAUACUGAGUGAGCAAGAUCAGAAAUUCUGUCCUUCGACAUUUAUUUCCACAUAUUACCAUGGAAAAGCCCUAAUUUGACAUAAACAGAUGUCUGUUGUAUAACAUCCUACCAUAAUCAGUCACUAAUUUUUUUAAUAAGAAAACAGCCACCGGAAAGGGCAUCAAGGGACACAAAAAUCCAUACAUACAGAUUACACUAAAAACACCAAAAGUAACAGAGAUCAUCAUAUGUAACUUUACAUUUUUCAAGCAGGUUACAACUCAUAAGAAAGCUUAGCACCAACUCAUCUCAUCAGCCACAAAGACAACAAAAGUUUACAAAUUGGAUGCAUGAGUGCCACUUUGGUAUAGAACCUUGUUCAAUGAAUUAUUGCCCUCAUCCAUAUGAGAAGCUUCUCCUAUUAGGCUUGUUAUUUCGCUCCAAAUACAACCAAAAAUUUAGCAUUAGUCAACCCUUAUACUGUAUUGUCAAACUUGAAUAUUUGAUAGCUUGAUGAAAUUAAGCACACAUGAUGAUUAUUAGUCCAACAUAGUGCUAAACUGUUGACCAGUAAUCACAAUAUAAAUCAUGUAUGAAAGACUCGCUUGUAUGGGAACGCUCCAACUAUCCUUGUGAAAGAUUAUAGGAAACCACAACAUGAGUUAAUCACUUCAUAUUCUUAAUGUGCUAAUUUGAAAGCAUUGUCUGAAAAGUUAGAUUUUGUUUGAAUAUGCUUAAACUAAUUAAGCAGGACAGGCAUAUUAGGACAAAAUUUCCAAGGAAACAAACAAAAAGGAGAUUUUUUUUUUCUAGGGCCAAUAAAUCAUAACAGAUGAAACCUUACAUGGAAAAACUUAUCCCACAGCUUCUCAAAAGGCAACGCACUGGGUGUAAGGAACAUGAAAGCAAUUUUUGGAUUCUUGGAUUGAAUAGGAGGUGCGCUCAAAAUCUCUCUAAUCACAAUACGGGAUGCAAUCUCAGCAUCAGUAUAUUCCCUUGCAGGAGCAGGUGGAAGCCAAUCGGUAAUAGCCUUGCAACCUCUCGAAGAAAAUAUGUAACAAGCGGCGCUGCUUUGAGGUGGGUAGAGAAAAGCACAAAUCACAAAGAUGCUGACCAAAGAAACCAAGACAAUAAUCCACAAUGGCCUCUUCAGAGGUGGGCGAUGGCGAGCCCCGGGCACGAUCUGCAUGUCACCCAUGCCUAGUCGCCACUGACCCGUCUUCAUCUAGAAUAAAUGCAUCACAAUUUCAUCACCUAAUGAUCUCAUUCCUGUCUAUUGUCCCCAUCCACCAUGGUACUAUUUGAUAUGGAUUUAGCAUCAACAGUCUAGCAGAGAACCUUCAAUUGAUUGGUGUGGGGAUUUCUGCAAUCUGCAAGUAAAAUAAUAAGCAGACUAAUUCAUACAAAUUUAUUCUGAAAAUAAACAGGAUAUCCUAAGCAGGUACAAGACUGUUGACAAAUUGGUAAUACCAUUCCUAAUAAGAAAAAUAUGCCUAGAUCACUACUAAUCCUAAUAGUAAACAGUAACAGGUACAGCAAGCAUGACAUAUGGACAUAAAAAUCAUUAGAAAGAAUGUUAGAUUAACUCAGUCCCAAAAAAAAAAAAAAUGUUAGAUUAACACUCUCAUGUAUGAGAAUGCUAAUAUGCCUCACACAGAAACGCAAUGCAACCUUUCAAAAAGUAAGCGGCUUCAGAAAUCAAAUCAAAUUGAUAACAAUCAAGCAAUUAAUUCCAAAGGUAAUUGUUAUUGCUUAGAAUCGUUUGCCGAAAUUGCAUUUGAAAAGAAAACGAAAAAAAGAAAUCCUAGUCUUCGAAGAAAGUAUCAUGCUCAGAUGGGUCGUACUGUACGGUUUACAAAUUACUAAAACAAAACUUCAACUCUUUGUUUCUCUUCCCCUUCUUCUGCUUACCUUUUGUCAGCAACCAAACGUAAGGUCCAGAAAAAGAUCGGAAUUUGAUAAGCGAACCCUAUUUUCAGAAUUCAAAGCUCAGAACCAGCCCAACAACUAAAACCAAACGCCUGAAUAUGUAUGUAGGUAUUAAAAAAAAAAAAAAUUGCCAACGAUCGUAGUAAAGAAAAGUCAAACCAACCCACAGAUUCCAAUCUAAACCCGAAAAUUAAAACCCAACUGCAAGACGCAAGCUCUAGUGCCUCUUUAGUCAACUCAACCAUUCACAACCCCCAAAAUUUUCCACCAUUUCCUUCUGCCCCGUAUGGUUUCCAAGAAACCAAGCAAAAUCCGAACAACCACUUCCCAAUAACGUAGCUACACCAACAAAAACGAAAAUCAAAAGCAAAGUCUUAUCUCACUCUCACUCUGAAAACUUGGAGAGCAUGGAAAGAGGUACCUGAUGCAAUGAGCUGAAAGGAGCUUCGAAUCAAGAAUUGAAGAUCUGGAAUCUGAAACUUCUUCUGCGUAGUGAUUUAUCGUUGACUCUCUCUCUCAAGAUCUAGGGCACACACACAAGAAGGAGCAGAGAAGACGACCAACAGUCUGGCCUCGCAUAGAGAGAGAGCUGGAUGAGUAGAAAAAUGGAAAUGAAAAUAAUUAAAAUUGGAAAAAAAAAAUAAAAUGGAUUUUAAUUGGGAUGUGUUUGAUUUUUUGAUUUUUUGAUUCCUUAAAGACGAUUCUUUUGUGUGUCUCCUUCCCAAAAUUCUCUCUCUCUCUCUCUCUGUAGUCGAAACAGUCGUUUGCCUUUCUUCCAAACACAAACACAGCCGGCGAUUUAUUCUCCUUUUUUUAUUUUUGCGCUUAUUAUUAUAUUUUUUAUUUGGACUGCUGCCUACCCUUCCUCGCACUCAUGGCGCGUGUUUCUCUUCACUCUUUUCCCACUAAAAAUGUCACUGUUUUCCCCUUUUUACUGUUGUUUAUAAAUUUAAAAGAAAGUGAAAAUUCAGUUGUUCCUCCAAAAUUAGUUUCGUCUUGCCCUCUAGCUUCAUUUGGUUCAUGGAACGAAUUUAAAGAGAAAUUAUUUUCCAUGUCAUUUCUCAAGAGAUGGGAAAUGAAAGAUUCAUUUUUCACGUUUGAUAAUGCUGGGAAAGUAACUGGGAGAUAUCACAUUAUUUCUUUUUCCAUGUCAUUUUCCAAGAUAUGAAAAAUGGAAGAUUCAUUUUUCAUGUUUGGUAAUGCUAGGAAAGUAAUUGGGAGAUAUCACCUUAUUUCAUUUUCCAUGUUUGUUUUGAGUAGGAAUGGAAAACAAAAUUAUAUAAAAUUUCAAUUAUACCCAUAUUAAAUCAAAUGAAAAAAGAAUACAUUUAAUGAUAUAUUGUAAUUCUAAAUUGUUAAUGGGGACAAAAUGCUCAUAAAAAAUAUUUAUUUAAUUUUGGCUCAUUUUCUCAAACUUUCCCAUGAUAAGGGAAAACAAAACUCAAGUUGGGAGAAUGGCUUCACUUUCUCUCCUACUUUUUCAUAGGCCAGACAAUGAUUUCUCAUACCUGGAUUUACCAAACAUGAGAAAGUAAUUGAUUUCUCAUUCCCAAGUCUCAUUUCUCAUACCUGUACUUACAAUAACUCGGGAUUCAGUUAAAAGUCAAUAAUUAAAUAGGAGAAAUUGAUAUUUUCAUUGUUUGGCAACUUAAGCAUGGAACUUAUUCCAAAGGACCCAAUAUUGUAGUGGUUUGGAGCAAUUGCUCCCCCAGCCAGGAAAUGUCAUGUGUUCAAGUCCUAGCAUUUGUGGAGUGUGUGUGAGUUUAGUAUAUUAUCGCCCCUCUCAAUAGAAAAUAUCUUUUUAAAAAAAAGCAUGGAACUUAUUAAAUGACAUGCGGAAAAAAUUGUGAAAAUUGGGAAUCAAGAUUCAUGAGUUUAAUUUAUGCUAAAAGAAGCCUCAUUUUGCACUUUCUAUUGAGCAUGAAAUCGUUUUUACUGUAAGUUCUAUCAUUUACAAAAUUCGACAUACAUAAAUCCAAACAAAAGUGCAAGUUAGAUUGGAAAUUCAAAUUACAGCCAAUUUAGAUUCGAAAAUUUUCAAUUUUGAAUCAAUUUCAACAUCUAAAAGUUCCAACAUUUAACGGUGUAAGUUGGAUUGAACUAAUUUCGAAAUGUUCCAAAAAACAAAUAUUCCGAGUUCCGAAAUUCCCAAACAAUUAUGAGUUUUUCGAAUAAUAUUUUUUGAAACAUAAUUGGAAGAUAAUUUUCAUUCCAAAUUUUUUUGAAUUAUAAUUGAAAUCCCCUGAUUUCGAUAUGAUCCUUCCGAAAAUUAAGCCUAACUCCAUCCAAUUUAUUAUUAAAUAUUGUCACAGUGAAAUGUAAUUAGUUAAGAAAAAUAAAUACAUUUAAAUUACAAACACAUUCAUUGUUAUCAUGAUCAUGUUUUUUUUAUAAAAAAAAAACUAAUUAUUGUCAUGUUGGAAGGAGAACUUAUGUUAUUGAAAAAGUAAUAUCCAUAUGAUAAGGGCUAGUUUUCAGCUACCAACAAGUUGAUAUAAUAGACAAAAAAAAGUAACAGGUUUGAACCCCUAUGACAUCAUUUGUAUGUGCGAGAGAAAUUCUCAUUCCCUCUAAUUUAAACUAUCGCAUGUAUUAAAAAAAUAUGCCAAAAAAGUUGUUUGGGCUUCGGCCCCCUCUUUACCUAACAAAAAUAGACCAAAAAAAUAGAUUUAUUGGAUGAAUUAUUUAUACUACUUAAUGGAGUUAUUAUUAACACUACAUAUAGUCAUUCUAUGCUAAUAACAUUUCACCUACUCAUAACUCUUUACUCCUAAAUUUGGUUAACAGCAAACAGAUUUUGCCAGAAGGACCAAAGUUGCAUGCAAUUCAAUAUUAAAGGGCUAUAGAGUUCAAAAACUUAAUUUGGAGAGCAUUUAUUAACAUAAGCAAAACAUUAUAAGAAAUGGAAAAGGCAGGAAAGAGUACAAGCCCUGAAAACGCGUGACCUACACAUGAGGUAGGCGCGUAGAAUUAGCGUUACAGAGUGCCAGGCCUGCUUGUGGCUUAGAUACGGCGUAUAUACGGUUUUAGCGUAUCAUCAGACCAUUGACUACUAAAAGAAACGAGAUGACUAUUAUACCCUGCCGGGUUGGGGGGGUACAGGUCAAGUUGUGGUCAAUUUGUCAUUUCCGGUGUGCGCGCUGGUUACCGAGAAGCACGUAAAGGAGGAAGGAAAAAAAAAAAAAUUAAAGGAGGAAAGAGAAAAUGACAUGGCAUGUUGCCGUAAAUUACCAAAACGCCCAUUUAGCUUCUUCUUGAACUUGACCCAAAUGCGCACGAAAUCACAAAUGUCAAUUCGCUGAUCAUUGCUGUGAAGAAAUAUUUUUAUGCUUAAUCAUCUGAUUUGCCAUCUUUGAUUAUUUUUUUUAUUAUAAUCAUUUUCUAAAUUAAUUAUUUCUGAAUAGAAAAAUAGAGGUAGAAUUACCCUUGAAUGAUGGUAAAAGAUGUUUUUACUUUUUUUAUUUUUUAUUUUUUAAUAAUCAGAGGCUUAUGGGUAGUACGAAUAGACGUUUAAUUAAUGAAAAGUCAAGGUGUUGGGGUGUCCUGUUGCAUAAUUAAUUCAAAUGGAUAGUAAUUCAUUUAUUGAUUCAGUUUGAACUGAAUUGGAGGCGAGUCUUAGUCAUAUAUUGAAUUGGAUGGUUGUCUAAUAUUGACAUUUAUAAGUGUUUUUAAAAAAAUAAAAUUAGAAAGGGGGUGUCAUGAACGUUUGAACAUAUAAGACCAUUAGUCUGCAAGUCAAAAUCAUUUUCUAUUAAAUUAAAUCUCGUUAGCAUUUAUAAAUUCACUAUAUAGUAGUAAUAUAUGUGUAAUUAAUUGAAAUAGUUCAGUUUAGCCCGAGCGACUAAACCCGGCCGGAUAUUACAAGUUAGAAGGUUUGAUGUGGCAAUUUUGUACUGGAUAAUUUGGUGUAGAUUGGAUUGGAUCCAUGGAUCCAUAGAACAUAUGGUUAUUAAUAAUAAUAAUAAGGCAGCCACGUUGGUUCACGUGAAAGGUGAGCUGUUGACCAGGUGAAACCACAACAACCUAAUCAUUUUUGGGACUAAUGGCCGCUGCCUGCUGCUGUGUUUGUGUUGCUCAGGGAAUGGUCUCUCUGCCUGGAGCACUGCCACUCGCAGCAUAGGAGGCAAUCGCCAAUUACAUUUUUUUACAUUAAAUCUUCAAUAAAUUUUAUCAAUUUGUCAUUUUCUUCUUCUUCUUCCGUCUCUGAACUAGUCAAAUCUCCAGUUUUUGUGAAUUUAAGCCAGAGGAGCGCGGUCAUUAUAUGCCUAGUUUGCCUAAUAUCAAUUCAUGAAUGCCUCGUUAGACGAAAUUUGAUGAUUCAACUAAGAUUCGUAAAGGAUAUAAGAUCACAAUGGUAUUCUUAAUGAAACCACAUUAAUUUUUUGACAUAUGGAGUAAAACAUAUGAAUCCUUUGUAAUUUGGAACAUUUUCUUUUUUCUUUUCUAAGAUAAGGUGUUUUAAGCAAAAGCGAGGAUGAAUUUGUUUCGUUUCGUAGACUUUUUUAGAAUUUUCUUUUUCAAGUGCUCUAGUUUCUCAAAUAUUACCUAUUUACGACUUACUUAUUUCACAAAUUUUUGUGGGUUUUACAAAUUUUUCAAGUUCCAUAAAAUUGAGUGACUUUUUAAUAUAUUAUCUCGAUGAAUAUUAUUUAUUCAUGUGUUGGUAAUAAGAAUGAGAAAGAUGAUCAAACUACUAAAGUCUUAAGGUUGUGUUUGGUGGGCUGGAUUGGAUGAGAUAUUUUUAAUUAAAAUGGACAUGGAUCCUGACCAUUGUUUAGUGAGCUUAAAUGUGUCUCAGACUGGAUAUGGGCCUUCGGAUUCAAGUCUCAAAUAACUAGGGAUAUGAAACCCAACCCGAGACGUGGGUUUCAAACGAAGAAAGGGGUGUCAUAAUUUCUUUUAGCCUUAGCCUCUGUCAUCAUUGUCUCUUUUAUCCUCAUCCUCUGUCAUCAUUGUCUGUUUUAACCUCGGCCUCUGUCGUCGUCGUGUCUCCUUCCUAUCCCAUCUGGUUUGCCUUCUUCGCUAUUCAUCUCUCCUCUCCUUUCUCCUACACUUUUAUCUCUCUCUCUCCCUCUCUCUGUCUCUCUCUCAUGUCAGGGAAGACUUAUUUGGCUUCUGAUAUUGUGGUUCUGAUUUUGUGGGUUAGAUGUUGAAUGCUAUGUUUGUUUUUUCUUGGUUAGAUUCUCUCCUUUUAUUUCGAUUUUGACCUGAUUUUGAGUUUGAUGUUAUGAGUUCUCUCCAUUGUUUAUUUUUGCGAGUUUCUCGAUUUGAAUUUAUUUAUUCUAAUUAAAAUAAAUAUAUUACUUUUUAUCAAAAUAUAUUAGUCAUUGAGUCAGGUUCGAGGACUAUCCCCAGCUCAUCUCUUAUCGGGGAUUUUUAAAAUUUGGGGAUCCCCGUACCCGCCUUAAAUUUCUCCAAAAUCUCCCCCGUUUGGGCCUGGGACCUAACCUGACGAGGAUUUCUCCCAUCACUCCCACGGCCAAGUUCUGUCAAAUUGUCAUUUAUCAAAAAUAAAAACAAAAGCAAAAAAACUUUAUAUCCCAUCUCUUUGAAGUCCCUUAAAAAAAACUCACCACACACGUAGGAGCCAAUCAGUGUUCUAAUCUAUUCAGAUUUAUUUUACACCACCAAACCCAACACAUGUGCUUAAAGCCUAGUUUUCAUAAAUGAGAAUCCGAUCCUCUAGACUCUAGAUAUGUCUAAACUCUUAAUCAAUUAAACUCGCGUUAGACAUUGUAGCUAUUGAUAUCUAUAUAUACUGCAUCACCCAUUAAAGCAGGCACAGUAAAAAUUGCAAUAAAGCUUCAAAAGCAAAAAAGAAUGGUGAAACUUGUUUCUCUCUCAACCCAUUUCCUUCCCACCUGAAGGGGUUUGCCAUCCGGAACUACCACCUGGACUUUGCAUGUGCUCUUACUUCUGCGGUCCACCGCCGGCAGCGAAGCCAUCCAGAAGAUCGUGGACCAAAGCCACCCAAAAGAUUGUGCACGGCGGGGCUAGGUUUGUGGACCUAAGAGUGCAACACUGACUGUUGUAACGCAAAAUGUGCUAGUCAAUAUAAUGAUGGGGUUGGUAUUUGUGAUCAUAUUGUUGGACCCUCAGUGUGUAUGUGCAACUAUGACUGCGAUUGACUCAUGGUAGCUCCAAUUUGUGAAGCCAUCCAUCCAUCCAUCCAUCCAUCCAUCCAUCCAUGUUGGAAAAUAUAUAAAUAUAAUGUGAGAUGUGUGGGCAAAUUGUGAGAUGUGUUUGAAAGAAACAAAAUUCUAAGAGGGCCUUCUAAUGUUAUAUUAUCAAUAGUGACUAAUUAAAUGAAAGUUUAUCCUUUAAGAAGAUAUAUAAAAUAAUAAACUACCUGUUAAAAAAAAAAAAAUUACUCCAGGAUAAGUUUUGGAUAUAAGAUUAAGGCCCCAUUUGGGAUUGCUUUUUUUUGCCAAAAACCUAUUUCACUUUAAAGUUAAGCUGUUUAAAGUGUUUGGUAAAAAUAAAAUAUCCAGAUUAUUUUAAAAGCAGUGACCUUUUGACAGUAGUUUUUAAAAGCUGGCUUUGGAUUGCUUUUCAAAGCUGCUUUCAAAAAGAGCAGAGAUGAACCUUUAAUGAAUUUUUUUAAUUACCAAAAUACUAUCAUUCAUUUUAAAAAAUGACACCACCUCCACUUCCACAUCCAACUCCACCACUUGCACCACCACAUUCACUACCUCCACAACCACUGUCACUGCCACCACAUCCUCCUCCUCCUCAUCCUCCGCACCAUCACCAUCACCACCACCACCACCACCUCCAAAAUCUCCACAUCCACCACCACCUCCACAACCAACACCACCACCACCUCCACAACCAACAUCACCACCACCAUCAUGCGGCCACUGCCACCACCACCACCACUACCUCCUCCACAACAGCCAUCCCCACCACCACUACUACCACAACCACCAACUCCACCUUCAUCACCAACACCACCUCCACUCCAUCACCACCACCACCUCUUCCACAACAUCCAUCCCCACCACCACCACUACCACAACAACCAACUCCACCUUCACUCCAUCACCACCACUACCACCACAUGAUUAGUACAUAACACUUUCAACAUCAUGUCUAUUUUAGUCAUUAUUCACAGUUACAACAAUUUUAUAUUAAAAUUUACCAAAUAGUUUUCGCACUGCUUUUUGCACUAACAGCACUUUAAAAAUAUUGUUUACCAAACAUGGAGCUGCUUUACUUUACAGCUAAUUAUUUUUAAAGCACAGCAUAAUCAACUUUUUAAAAAAGUGACAGCAAUCCCAAACUGGGCCUAAGUGCCUGUUUGACAUCAUUUAUUUUGGGUGAUAAGUGAUUUUUUUUAAAAUUUUGGGAAACCCACCCUGUUUGGUAAACUAUGAGAAAAUUACUUAUUGCUAAAAAUUGCUUUAAGAGAAAGCUAUAAGGGAAAGCAGCUAAUAAGGUGCUUUCAUUUUCUGAUUAUGCGGGAAUCAGUUUCAAAGAAGCACUGAGUUUAAUGAUUAUGCGGGAAUCAUUUUCUCAUUAUGCGGGAAUCAGUACCAAUAACACUUUUAACAGAAAGUUUACCACACGCGCUCACAACUGAUUUCUCUCCUGAAAAAUCUGACAACGAUCAUUUUUACAGCACAACAAUGUCAAACUGGCCCUAAAUGCACUCAUACUCAAACCAACAAAUUUUCUCCUAUACGGACAUCUGGACAUUAUUAUUGUGCGGACACCAUGUAUUUUCCACUACCCCUCCUUACUUUCCUCCCUAUAUACGUACGUUAAUAACGUGCAAACGUCCGAUUGAGAGAAAAACUGCUUAAACAAAAUUCUUUUUUCCUUCAACAUUUAUUUAACUGAUGAUGCUAAAAGCAUGUAUAGUGGUGAGGCAAGGGAUUAGGAGUUUGGCCUCCUAAUCAAAUCUAGCCUCUCAAACUAUUAGAUUUUUGGGUUUUGUUGGUGAGAGGCUAGGGGUUAAAAGCUAAAAUUUAUUAUUUAUUAUAUAAUUUUUGUAGCAUUGGGGAGAAUUUAAAAUGUGAGAAGUGAUGGAACAAAUAAAAAUUCCGUGGAGCCUGGCCCCCGAAUGGCUUAGGCCAAAAUUCCCCAUUAGAAGUACAUUUUUGUGAUUUGGAGUUGGAAAACACAAAAUCAGACCCAAAAAAAAAAAAAGAGUUGGAAAAAAAAACAAAAACAUUAAGGUCUAUUUUUGUGCAAAUGAGUUGCACAAGGAUCUUAAUCAUGAUUACGAGUAAUCACAACUCCCUUAGAGCACUUCCAUCCAUUUGCCAUGGUAAAGAGUAAGGGCAAGGAAAGGGUUGUUACUUUGUCCAAAAAAAAAGAAAAGAAAGGAAAGGGCUGUUAUUAUUCACGUGAAUAGUGACAGCUAUUGCAAAAGGUUGUGGUGUUUUCACCCAUUGUCAUGGCAAUCAUUAUUCACAUAAGAUAUGAGGAGAGGAAUUUGUAUAGAGUUUUGAUGUGGGAAGUGAAGAAUAUGACUAAGUUUUUAUUUUAAAAAAAAUUCUAAAAAUGUAAGUAUUUUUUUAGGUUGUUGAUGUCAGCAAACCCAGGCUAGAGGUCAGGCUGGUUUGGCCUGCGGGCUGGCCCAGUUGCGUGGGUCCCAUAGCUUGCCCUGGCAAGCAUGGCCCGCUGGAAGCACUUCCCUGGACUUAGGCCGUGUCCUGCCCAGGCUGCAGUUCACCAUCGGAACUGCUCUUAGGCCUUUUCCAACUCAUUUGGUUAUAAACCCAACUUUUCCUCCUCCAAAAAGUAACUAUUUGGGUUUUGACCGGACUCGAACCGUUUUUUCCCCAACCCUUUAGACUCAAAUUUUAAGUCCGCAACUUUAUUAAAUUACUUAAGAAUAGUUGAAGUCUAAUUUUUCUUCAUUUAAUCUUUUAAAAUAACUUCAUAAUUUAAUUUUUUGAACUAUUUGACCUUAAAAAAAUUGAAAUUUCAUAAAUAUAAUUUUAUUUGAGAAAUAUGUGGGUAUUUAUAGAGUUUGGAGUGAGUUUUGGGGUUGUAUAUGAUUUAGAUUAAUUUAAAGUAUUAUUUUAACCAUUGGAUUUAAAUUUCAGCCGUUGAUUUUUUUUUUUUACCAUUAAAAUAACUUGGAUUUAAUAUGGAUCGUUGACUUGGGUUAUUGUUGGAAUAAAAAAGAAAAAAGAAAAAAAGUGUUGAGACACUUAGAGCGCGACAUUUUAUGCAGCACCAACAACAAGACACAUGGCGCCCCUUUGAUUCCUUCUUGCACAUGGGCUACGUCAACUUUGAGUGGACUCUAUCAAAAAAUUUUCCAGUCCAGGCAAUAGCUGGUAUUUGGCCUCAGGUUUGGAUUUUUCCAAAUUUUAGUCCCUUACUUUUUUUAGAUUGAGAGAAAAAUUGAGCUAAAAUUUGGGAUAUUUUGAAUUUGACCUCAUAGGUUGGAGAUGACCUUAUUAUCGAGUCUGAGUCUCAUUCUUGAAAAAUCAAGAGCUAAUACUGAAGCUCAGCAGUUAAAACUUAAAACUACGAGGAUGGUUGUGUACAUUUAUCAAGUGUAACAGAUAAUUUUCAUCUCCGCUUUUGGUAAAUCUUUUGUGGGUUUUGGUUCAUACUUUCUGCUAAAAUUCAAACAAAACCUUCACUUAAGCCCAAAUAGCCGAAGAGAAGCGAUCAGAACUAGCCCAUUUAACAUAAGCCCCACCCCCCCCCCCCCCCCCAAACAAAACCUUCAUUUUAGCUCAAAUAGACUAAAUGUAUCAAACAGAUCUAGUUCAUAUUUCAUAAGCUCAAAACCACUCCCCUCCUAUACCAGNNNNNNNNNNNNNNNNNNNNNNNNNNNNNNNNNNNNNNNNNNNNNNNNNNNNNNNNNNNNNNNNNNNNNNNNNNNNNNNNNNNNNNNNNNNNNNNNNNNNCAAUCAAACCCUAACUUCCACGUUUACACUAUAAAAAACAACACAAAACCCUAGCUGCCCCUUCAGUCCAGAGUUCGUAUAUCCCACCUCCCCUUCCCUUAAUUUUCUGAGAGCCCAAAUGGCCGCCGCCGCCGCAGCUGCGCGUCUCCUGGUCACAGUCCAGUCCUUGGAAGGCGACAUGGCCACGGACCAGACCCAAACCGUUGCCCUACCCGACGUCAUGAAGGCCUCGAUCCGGCCCGACAUUGUCACCUUCGUCCACUCCAAUAUUUCGAAGAACUCCCGCCAGCCCUAUGCCGUCUCCAAGAAGGCCGGCCACCAGACCUCAGCCGAGUCCUGGGGUACGGGCCGAGCCGUCUCACGUAUCCCUCGUGUCCCCGGAGGCGGGACCCACCGGGCUGGCCAGGGAGCUUUCGGAAACAUGUGCCGAGGUGGCCGUAUGUUCGCGCCCACCAAGAUCUGGCGCCGCUGGCACCGGAAGAUCAACGUCAACCAGAAGCGGUACGCCGUCGUUUCGGCGAUCGCCGCCUCGGCGGUGCCGUCUCUUGUUUUGGCCCGCGGGCACAAGAUUGAGACUGUUCCUGAAUUGCCCCUGGUUGUUAGCGACUCCAUUGAAGGUGUUGAGAAGACCUCCGCGGCUUUGAAGGUUUUGAAGCAGAUCGGGGCUUACUCCGAUGCCGAGAAGGCGAAGGACAGCCACUCGAUCCGACCUGGAAAGGGUAAGAUGAGGAACAGGCGGUAUAUUAACCGAAAGGGGCCGUUGAUUGUGUACGGGACUGAGGGGGCCAAGCUCGUGAAGGCGUUUAGGAACAUUCCUGGUAUUGAUAUCAUCAAUGUGGAGAGGCUUAAUCUGUUGAAGCUUGCUCCCGGUGGGCAUUUGGGUCGGUUUGUCGUCUGGACCAAGUCGGCCUUCGAGAAAUUGGAUUCGAUCUAUGGCUCAUUUGAUAAGGUUUCUGAGAAGAAGAAUGGGUAUGUGUUGCCGAGGUCGAAGAUGGUAAAUGCUGAUUUGGCGAGGAUUAUUAACUCCGAUGAGGUUCAGAGUGUUGUUAGGCCGAUCAAGAAGGAAGUGAAGAGGGCUCCAUUGAAAAAGAAUCCUCUGAAGAAUCUGAAUACCCUGCUUAAGUUGAAUCCUUAUGCAAAGACAGCUAGGAGAAUGUCUUUGUUGGCCGAGGCGGAGAGGGUCAAGGCUAAGAAGGAGAAGCUUGACAAGAAGAGGAAGCCCAUUUCUAAGGUAAUCAACUCACCCCAACUUCUGAGAUUAUAUGUUUCUGUUUGUGGUCAAUUGAUUCUGUUGAUUAUUUACAUGGUGGUUAAGAUUGUUCGAUUGGGAGUAUGUUUUUGUUGUAGAAAAUUUGGGGUUUUCGUUUUUAAUUGGUGUUGUAUUUCUACUAGUGCUAUGAAUCGAAGCUUGAUUGUUGUAUGCUUAAUUGCAUUAUUGUUUUUAUUCCAAAAUUUGAAUUGUUUGAAUGCACAUGUUAGUCUCUGUAAGUGCAUCUUAAUACUUUUGUUUUUUUGGUUGCUUAUCAUUCUAAGGUUAGUGAAUGCAUGUUGCUUUAUACAUGUUAUAUAUAUAAUUUUAUGUUCAAUUGCUUUUGAUUGUAAGGCAGAUAAUUUUCGUGAUUGAUUGUAUCGAUGUAGAGUCUGUUUUGGAGUAUGAUUGACAUAUUCAUAAAUCAGUCCCGAUUCUUAAUAGAAUGCUGCCUUCAUGUUAUCGAGCCAGAUAUCCACUCACGGUCAUUGUUUUUAAUGUGGAGGAAUUUCAUUAGUACUGUUCUUAAUCUUUUGCACUGUUUUAUGUGAUCUGGGCUUGUGUAAUAAUGUAUUUCUUUGUUGUCUUUUUCUCUUUAUCCAGGAGGAAGCUUCAACCAUCAAGGCAGCUGGCAAGGCAUGGUACCAAACGAUGAUCUCAGACAGCGACUACACAGAGUUUGACAACUUCACAAAGUGGCUUGGAGUAUCCCAGUAAUUUACUUCUUUAAAAUUCUAAAGACGUUUUCAUAGUCUAUUUUGUUUUUUUUUGGUUUACCAAUGUCUUUUGUUUCCUUGAGUUGGGGAUGAGGAGGAAAAUUGGUGUAGCAAGAGAGAAUAUUAUGAUGUGUUUUUCCUGCUGGGUUUUGUCUGGUAGACUAUUUUUGUCAUUCGUAACUGGAAUUAUAUUAGUUUAGUUUGUCAAUUUUGUUCCAUGACAAUGUCAGUCGUAUUUCUGUUUGAAUAUCUUUGAUUUAUAUAUAUGUUACCCAGCUUCAAAAUAAAAUUUAACUACAUAUUCGUUAAGUUUGAUACUUUACAAAUAUAAACUUAUCCUCUUCACUUUUCUUUUGUACUCUCUGAAAACGUCGAAGGCGACCUGGUUUUCAAAGUUUUCGAACCAUGAAGUUAUUGAAUUGAGAAACAGUAGUUGUGUUUUUUGGAGCUUCAAAAACUAGCUGAGUUCAGAAAGAUUGUCCUCCUCUGUGUUGUAUUUGUUUUGUUCGUGUAGCAUUUGGCCCCCGAUUGAAAUUGCUUUUCUUCGCCAAAAAUAUCCUUAACUUUAAAAUUAAGCACUUUAAGAUGUUUGGUAAAAAUAAAAUCUCUUGAUUAUUUUGAAAGUAGUGGUCUUUUGACAGCAGUUUUUAAAAGCCCAUUAAAUUUGAUUAUUUUACUUAUUUAUCCGUUCAAAGCUGCUUUCAAAAAAAGAAGAGAUGAACAUUUAAGGAAUUUUUUUAAUUCCCAAAAUAUCAUCAUUUUUUUUUUAAAAAAAUGACACCAUCUUCACUUUCACAUUGAACUCCACCAUUUGAACUACCACAUUCACUACCUCCGCAACCACUGCCACCACCACCUCCACCACCACCACCAUCACCAUUACCACCACCAUCACCACCACCACAAUUGCCAUCCCCACCACCAACCCACCUUCAUCACCACCAUCACCUCCACUCCAUCACUACUACUACCACCACAUGAUUAGUACAUAACACUUUCAACAUCAUGUCUAUUUUAGUCAUUAUUUACAGUUACAAUAAUUUUAUAUUAAAAUUUACCAAACGGUUUUGACACUACUUUUUGUACUAACAGCACUUUAAAAAUAUUGUUUACCAAAUAUGGAGCUGCUUUACUUUACAGCUAAUUAUUUUCAAAGCAUAUCAGAAACAACUUUUUUAAAAAGUAACAACAAUCCCAAACUAGGCCUUGGAGUUGCUUAAAUAGGUUUUCUUUUUCCUUCAAACUAAACAGUUUCUUUCAAAAAAAAAAUUUGAAAAAAUUCAACAUCAGUAUUUCACUACCAAACGUAUUUUCUGACUUUAAAAAACUCAACCCUAACGUUUGGAAUGAUCAGAAUACCGAUUGCGGUACUGUUUUUAAACCUGCAUUUCACUCUGUGCAAAACUAGCAGCAGGCAGUUCUAGAAAAUGAGGCUAAAAACUUCCAAGAACAAAAUUGUGUAUUUGAAAACCAAGUAAUUUCAUAUUCUAAUAAAGUUUUUACAUUGGCAUAACAACAGAGUGACAACAAAAUUUGGAGAAAAUAAUAAAAGGUCCAACAAGUUAUCAGGACCUAUAAAGCAACAAAUAAAACUAACCAAAACUAAAAAUUGAAAGUAAAAUUACACCCGCUGAUGCAAAAGCCGAACCAACCACAAGGAAGAAAUACCAGCCUCCUAAAUCAAAGAGAGGAGAUAUCUGAACCCUAAACCCUGAAUUUUCGACGUGGGACUUUGUUCUCGAAGAUCAAAUAAACUCUCUAUUGAGUAACGAUAUGAAAAGGUAGAGGAUCUAGACAUACUUUUGCUCACCAUCCAUUAGGUAAAAAUCAUAGAAUGAACUAAUCCGAAAAUUAAACACAACAUUGCUACAAAGGUCAUCCCAAGGAAGGAUAACAUGACGAGGGCAUGGAUGCUUCUUAGUCUCUGCCGUGUUGUCAUUCUUCUUCUUCUAGGAGCAAGUGUUUCUCGAUGAUCAAACAUGGUUAAUUCUCUUUGCUAGGACAAAAGUAAUUGCUAUUGCGUAAUUAUGAUUGAAGAAACAACAUGGUUCUCAUGUUAUAUAUAUAAUCAUUAGAAUCCUUUUACAAAAAGAUUUAGGAUUUUACUCCAAUCAAAUUAGGGGAUUUUGUUGGCGAGUCAUUACUUAGUUAGGAUUUUAGUUCCUUACCAUGUUAGAAUUUUGGUUACUUACCCAUUUAUCUAGUCCUAUCAUAAUUGAGAUUUAUUUCAUAUUGUAAUUUAUAUUUAUGAGUAAUGCUACACUUACCACAUUUUUAUCCCACAUUUCUAUAUCACAUGAUGUGACAUGUCCAUAUUAUAUGCCACAUCAAUUAAAUCAAUGAAGUGUAUUUUAAUUAAGACAAUUAGAAAAACAAAUACUAGAAUAAAUCAUAAAAGAAAAGAAAAUAUUAAAUAAUUUUAAUUGAUGUGGCUGUCCACCUCAGCUCCCACAUAAGAUAGUAUAAAGAUGUGGUAAGAGAAGCAUUUUUAUGGGGGUGUAAAUGCAUUUCUUGGUAUUUUGAAAAUGCAUUCUCCAUGCAGUAGGCCGCUAAAAAUAUUGGAAAGGCAACAAUCACCAUGAUGUAAUGUCUCGCACUUACAAAGGGUUGCGCUAACUUUUGAUUGAAGGAGAUUUGAAGCUUAUUAUAGACUGUGUUUUACGCAAGGCAACAAUUUUUUAGAGCAUUCGACUGUUAAUUUAAUAGAUUCUCAUUUUGAACUCAUUUUGUUAAGAAGUGCAGUUUAAACGUGUUUAGGGAGGCAAAUUUAACAGUUGAUGCUUUUGCAAACCUGAGUCAUGGGCUUAACAACUUGUUUGUACCAUAUUUGGAAAAUGGGCCAAAACUGAUUUUCUUCUUGAAAAAGAUUAAUUAAGACCAGGCCCAAUAUCUGUCCUUUAGAAACAACAAAAAGAACUUUUUGAUUUUGGGGCAACGGUGGGUAAAAACUUCGUAGAGUCCCACAGUGCUAUGGGACCCCAACUUUGGUCCACACUAAAAGUUAAGAAAAUUGGUAACCGUUACACAUCGACCUACGUGAGGGUCUGAAGAAGGAUUGUCACUAUUAAUGGCAACUUAACCGCCUUAUCUCCCAACAAGAAAAGAGAGCUGGAUAAAAGACACCAGAGUCGGAAGAAAUCAAUUACCAGCUAUAAAAAGACACAGGUCAGAAAAGCAUCCCUUGAGACCAGUAGUUUUGUUCGAGAUAUUUAGUCCUCUCACCUAUAGACCGACUCAGAAAGACAGAUCAACAACUGACUUUGGAUAACAGCCAAAUAUCCUCUUUCAACCUUCAUCAUUAAGAAUUCUUGCCUAUAAAUACAGAGGCUCCGCAACAGCAAAAGGGGAUUCUCUCUCCAAAAAUCAAACGCAACGUCUUGAAAACACUUGAAAAAAAAAGACCUCAAGAUCUUUUCAAAUAGCUUACUUAAUGUGUAGAUAACCAGUUGAGUAUUCUUGCGUUUAUCUUUUGUCGCUCUGCCAUCCUUAUGGUAUGAUUUCUUUUAAACAAUUAGUUUGAAUUGUUGUAAACAUACUUGCUACUCAAACUGGAUAGAGAAAUCUCCAGACUUUAAAAAAAAUAAAAUUUUGUGACUAGUGUUUGAAAUUAGCUAAAUGGAGAUUUCUUUGGCUCUUAUUUUUAUUUGCUAUCAAGCUAGAAUUGGAUAGAGGAAUCUCUAACAUUUGAAACCUCUCCAUUUUUUGAAAUUAGUUUUAGCUGUCUCUUUAAAUAUAUGCUAUUUUGUUGCUUUAUAUACUCUUGUAGAAUAAUUUAUUUUCCCUAUUUUGUAUUAUUCAAGCUUAUUAUCUGGACCCAAGACAAGGGUCUAGGACCGAAUAGGGCUUUAUUAGUCUGAAAAUAAAGGCUCGUUCGGACCCGAACUACAUUGUUGAGUUCGAAUCAGCUGAACUCUUGACCCAAUUUAGGGUCUCCUCGGGUGUAAGUUAGGUUUUUGGACCCAAAUAGGUUAACAUUAACCACAACAUUGGUUUCUUCUUAUUUGUUCAAGUAAUGUUCAUAUCUAUCAAACUAACAACGCACAAAUGAAAGAAUAUUGAAGUCUUCUGGAUUGAGGCAUAGAAAAGAACUUAUCCAAGCUAGUACCCUCAUUGGAGCAUAAUGGUUUGUGCAGAAGUCCAGAACAAGUGCGAAUCCAACAAACCGAUAUCCUACAUUGCAUAUACCAGAUAUAUUGGGCUAGUCUCAUAUCCAAUAGUGGCAUGCCUACGCAAUCCGCAAUCAGGGCAUGAGAAACAAGUCAUCACGGCCCAACCCGAGCUCGCUCGUUCUUGUCAACCUAAUCCAACUUUCAAUUUUGUUCAAAAGUUGAAAGAAUCCUCUCACAGGCCAAAAAUCCAAUCGGGGCAUUAGUGUUGACUCGACAACCUUUAAACUCUCCAGAGCAGUUCGACCCGGAAUACUCAGAGUGUCAAAAAAAGGGACCAACACAACUCCAUGUUGUGGGAGCCGGGCUGCCUUUAUUCUGUUCUUUUGCUUUUAACUUUGAUCUCUUUGGGCCUCCUUAUCCUAGAGGCCUUUUCUUGUAGUUGUUGGCUCUGUAUAAAAAAAAAAAAAAAAUUAUAGUAGGCAUGGUUACUUCGGUUUGGUAGAUGACCUAACCUGUUAAUCAAAUCGAACUUUUGGUAGGCCAAAAUAUCUUCCGUUAACUAUUUAUCGUGGGCCUUUAACCGAUCGUGACGAUUUGGUAGGAUACUUUUAUGGUUAAAAAUAAACCUACUAAGUAAGUAGUAAAAAUACAAUUAAUGUUCAUUUCACAUAAUUAUUGACGAUCUUGAGCAAGGGCAGGAAGUGCACCCAUCCUGGGCCCCACAUUAAGGACAUCCCCCAAAUUCUAUUUUCCUUAUGAGGCUAUACUCCAGAGUUGUAAAUAAUAAAGCUGCAAAAAUUUUACAAUAAAUUCUUUGUAGUAGGAUUGGUAUGUGACUUUGUUCGAUCUUUAAAGAGCCAGCGUUCGAGCCCAAGAUUUACCUUUUAUUUGUUGUCGCCCUAGGCCUUGAAAAAUUGAGAGUCGACUCUGCACAUAACAUAAGUUCCUAAAAGGCAAUAGUCCAAAAUAUCCAAGUAAGAAAUAAAAAACCAAUAGUCCAAUUCAUCUAAUUAAAAAAUAAAAUGAAUUAAUUUUAAAGUUACAAACCAACAUCAAAAUAACAAUAAAUGAACAAAUAAUGCAACAAUCCAUUUGUAGUGUUAUGCGAUCCACUAAUAUUUUGUCAUGUGUAAUAAAUUAAUUUUAAAUAUCAAUAUUUUCAGUUCGGAUCAUAUAUUAAAAAAAUAAUAUAAUCAAACCUAACCAAACGAUAUCAAGAGAAGAAGACGAAUACAUGAGUAAAUACUCUUAACUACUGGAGCUAUAAAUCCCCUUAGAGCACUUCCACCCUUAUGGACUAGGGCAAUGUCAAUUAUUAUUCACAUAAGAUAUAAAGAGAUGAAUUCGUAUAGAAUUUUGGUGCGGGAAGUAAAGAAUAUGGCUAGGUAUUUAUAAUAAAAAAAAUUUCUGAAAUUUUUUGUUAUUUAAAUUGACGUCAACAGUGCAUCACUUUGCCUAUGCAACAGCACAGGCUGGAUUUGCCAAGGUUGGUGAGUCCCAUACCUUGCCCAGGCUUGCCCUUGCUCGCUAGAGCCGUUCGCGGGCCUAGACCCUAUCUUGUCCAGGCAAAAGGCCUUGCGGUAGACUUGCUCUUAUGUAUGAUAUAUAUAGUAUUGCUGUAGGACAACUUUUUUAAAAUUAUUUUUUCCAGAACUUCAGGGACAACUCUCUUUAAUUUAUGAAAAAAUUACUUUAGGCCGGCGCAAAUUGGAGUCGAGGGUUUUCUUAAAAUCAAUGGCCCUUGCUAAGCCGCGUGGCCGACUUGUUAGCACAUCCGAAAAAAUGUCAGAUGGUAGCUAAAAGUAAAUUGAUGGAAUCAAAUAGAAUCACAAAAGUUCGGAAAAAGGCAAAAGCUCUCUGAGCCCUAGACCAACCUCCCACGUGGCACCACCUAACCCUCAUUUAUUGAGUGUGCCUGACAGGCCCAAUAGCAGACGAAAUGGGCCCAAAGAGUGAACGCCAAGGCCCAAUAAAAGCAAACGGACAGAUAAAAAAAGGCGAUAACAAGAAAGUUCUACCGUUUUCUUCUCGUCUCUUUUCUUCCCCUCUUAUCUCCUUACACUUCACACUUCGCCGCUCUACCGGUCUCAAAGCUAAGCUCCCACCCAACUCCCUCUCUCUCUCUCUCUGUCCUCUAUCUUCGCCUCCUCCCAAUUUCUAGGGUAGUUUUAGGGUUUCUAUACAGAUUGUAAAAACCCUAAUUCACCUUAAAAACCUUUCAGCAAUGGCUUCCUCCACUGCUCAAAUCAACGUCCUCGGCACUGCGUCUGGCUCUUCAUUCAAGAGGCCCAAUUUCACAACCCCGAGGACGGUGUUUUUGGGCCAGAGGCUCGGCCAAACGACGCCGUUGAAGGGCUUUAUGAGCCUGAGAUCCAGUGGCGUUCGAAGGGUCGGGCCGCUCCGCAUAGUCAACGAGAAAGUUGUGGGUAUCGAUUUGGGGACGACUAACUCGGCUGUUGGGGCUAUGGAGGGUGGGAAGCCCACCAUAGUGACUAACGCUGAGGGUCAGAGGACGACGCCGUCCGUGGUGGCGUAUACGAAGAACGGAGAUAGGCUUGUGGGGCAGAUUGCCAAACGACAAGCCGUUGUGAACCCGGAGAACACCUUCUUCUCGGUGAAGAGGUUCAUUGGGAGGAAGAUGUCUGAGGUGGACGAGGAGUCUAAGCAGGUGUCGUACAAAGUUGUUAGGGAUGAAAAUGGGAAUGUUAAGCUUGAUUGUCCUGCUAUUGGGAAACAGUUUGCCGCUGAAGAAAUUUCAGCUCAGGUAUAAUUUUGUGGGGUAUUUGUGUUUGGGUUUUGUUUGCUUCUGUGUUUUUGGUGAUUGUUUGUUCAAAUUUUACUUAUUUGGGUCUCUUUAGGUAUUGGAAAAAGUAAGAGAAUAGAAAUGGGGUGAAUUUUUGGAGUAAUCUGUUGCCUUAUGCUGUUUUGAUUUAUAGAAAAUAAGAUUUUGAAGUCAUUUCUUGGUAGUCAAUGAUUUUGGUGAUGGGUUUUGUGGAAUUUGUAUAUGGGUUUGUUUGUAUGCUGGGAAAAUGAAAGAAAAACAUGAAAUUUACUGGUAAUUUUGUUGGAUGGUAAUGUAUGGACAGUGUAUAACUUGCAUUGAAUGAGCUGGUGAGUAAAACUAGGCACAACUGAGACUGGAUGGAUUGCUGAAUUGUGAUGCUUCAUUGCAAUGCUGGGAAAUUGCGUGUUCUUGGCACAUCUGGGUUGUAAGUUUGAUUUUUUUUCAAAUGGAAACCUCUGGCUUGGAAUUAUGAGCGGCAAAUCUUCUUAUUUUCAUUUGCCCACCCUGAGCCAGACUAAAUAAGUGGGCGGUAGAUAACUGGGUAUAAUGUGGGUAGCUAGUUAAGUUCUAAGGACGUUUGUACUUGUCUUUUAACGUGAAUUUGUGAAACAUUAAAACAUUUGGGCAUUACUUGUUUUCCAUAAAAAAAUGUCGUUUCAUUUACCUUCUGAAGCUAUUUGCAUGAUUCUGUUAAUAGAAUUUGAUUUGUUUUCAAAACCAGUGUAAUACUUUGAUUGUCUUAUUUUUAAUUCCUUUUAUCACUGGUUUAGGUUUUGAGGAAGCUUGUGGAUGAUGCUUCAAAGUUUUUGAAUGAUAAAGUCACUAAAGCAGUGGUCACUGUGCCUGCUUACUUCAAUGAUUCUCAAAGGACUGCUACAAAAGAUGCCGGUCGUAUUGCUGGUUUGGAAGUUCUUAGAAUCAUAAAUGAGCCCACAGCUGCCUCAUUAGCAUAUGGGUUUGACAGGAAGAACAAUGAAACUAUCUUGGUAUUUGACCUUGGAGGUGGUACUUUUGACGUCUCAGGUAUGAUGUUUGUUCCUGGGAUAUGUUCCCUAGCCAAUUCUGUAAAUACAUUGUUGGUUUUGGUGGUGUUAUUAGAUUUAUUUAUAAAAUUUUCAUUGCAUAGAUAAUUUUUCUAACUUGUUCUUCUUCCAUUACAGUACUGGAGGUUGGUGAUGGUGUGUUUGAAGUGUUAUCUACUUCUGGAGAUACACAUUUGGGUGGUGAUGAUUUCGAUAAGGUACAUAUUUUUUUAUUAUUAAUUCUGUAAUGCUAUGACUGUACACUUGAAUCUUUUUACAUUAAAUUUUUUUAUCUCCUUUGCGUGUAGUUUUGAGGCCUAAAUAGUGAUAAGGAUGGUUCUGAUAAUGAUGUUAUUGUACAGAGGAUUGUUGACUGGCUUGCUGCAGACUUCAAAAGAAAUGAAGGAAUAGAUCUGUUGAAGGAUAAACAAGCUCUUCAGCGGCUGACAGAGACAGCUGAGAAAGCUAAGAUGGAGUUGUCAUCUUUGACUCAGGCUAACAUUAGGUUCGUUGGGAAUAUCUGAGAACCUUUACUUUGUCUGUGAAGCGUUUUGCAGCUCUCUUGGCUGUUUUCAUUUCUAACAAUGUUUUAUUGGUGAUAAUUGUUUUGUUCCAGUCUGCCUUUCAUUACUGCUACUGCUGAUGGCCCCAAGCACAUUGAGACAACCCUUACAAGGGCCAAGUUUGAGGAGUUGUGCUCAGACUUGCUUGACAGGUGUGAACUGUUGUUUCAACAUGCAAAGACUAUGGAUAUCUGCUAUUUUUCUGUAGCUCCUUUUGUUGCUAAUAUCAAGAUAUCCUAUUUGGUGCUUAGGGUUGCAGAGUGCUUUUUGGUUGCCAUAUUUAGGGGUAUAAUUUGUGGUUCUAUGGACCCUGGAAAUAUUUGAUUCUAUAGUAAAGUUUUCAUUUAAAUUUUAUUAUAGGCUUCGAACACCGGUUGAAACCUCCUUGAGGGAUGCAAAACUCGCCUGGAAAGAUAUAGAUGAGGUGAUUCUUGUUGGUGGUUCAACACGUAUACCAGCUGUGCAGGAGCUUGUAAGGAAGGUGACAGGGAAGGAACCAAAUGUUACAGUUAAUCCUGAUGAAGUUGUUGCCUUGGGGGCUGCAGUUCAGGUGGGUCUAUGAUUUCCAUCUACAGGCUAUGCCCAUUGUGGUGUGACUAUCAUUUUUCUGAAUUGUGAGGGGACAAAGCUUCUUUUGUUUUGUUUUGUUAACUGAUAUAAUGCUUUCUAAAGUUGUUGGUUUUUUUAUUCAUGAGACAGUUUGUGUUACUAUUAUCAUAUCUGACCUGUGAUGCUUUUUAUUUUCCUGAUUCUAGGCUGGUGUAUUAGCUGGUGAUGUCAGUGACAUUGUGCUCUUGGAUGUGACUCCACUGUCAUUGGGUUUGGAGACCCUUGGUGGGGUCAUGACAAAGAUCAUCCCAAGAAACACAACUCUACCUACCUCGAAGUCAGAGGUGUUCUCAACAGCUGCAGAUGGACAGACAAGUGUGGAGAUUAAUGUACUUCAAGGGGAAAGAGAAUUUGUUAGAGAUAACAAAUCUCUUGGGAGCUUCCGUUUGGAUGGUAUCCCGCCUGCGCCACGGGGGGUUCCUCAAAUUGAAGUCAAAUUUGACAUUGAUGCCAACGGUAUUCUCUCGGUUGCUGCUGUGGAUAAGGGCACAGGGAAGAAGCAAGACAUCACGAUUACUGGUGCCAGCACAUUGCCUAGUGAUGAGGUAUGUCGAUAUUGUUAACUAGCAAGUAAAAAAUUUGCCAGCUUCCUGAUAUUAUAUUUGGCGCUGAAGUCUAGGCAUGCCUUUACUGUGUCUAAGUCUUGAAUUAUUUUGAUGGAAAUGUCUGAAAACAUACAGGUGGAGAGGAUGGUUAGUGAAGCCGAGCGGUUUGCAAAGGAGGACAAGGAGAAGAGAGAGGCCAUUGACACAAAGAACCAGGCUGAUUCUGUUGUCUACCAGACUGAGAAGCAGCUGAAAGAGCUGGGAGACAAGGUUCCAGCCGAAGUUAAAGAGAAGGUUGAGGCAAAACUUGGAGAGCUCAAGGAGUCAGUUGCCGGGGGUUCAACUCAAGCAAUAAAAGAUGCCAUCACGGCCCUUAACCAGGAAGUAAUGCAGCUUGGCCAGUCUCUUUACAACCAGCCUGGCGCUCCCGGUGCUGGUGCUGGUGCAGGGCCAACUCCACCUGGUGCCGAAGCUGGUGGACCUUCAGAAUCAUCGUCCGGCAAGGGACCUGAUGGAGAUGUUAUUGAUGCAGAUUUCACCGACAGCAAGUGAGCAAGAUGGUUGGAUAGAAGUUAGUGGUUUUCUUGCAUAAUUUGUUUUCACUAAAUGUGUAUAAGAGAAUGAUUUUGCGGGGAUGGGAUGUGGUGUUGGAUUACUGUCAUUUUUGUUUUAUGAAGAAAUGAGAAACAAUGUUGUUAGAUGGCAGAGGGCUUAGUUACUUGAAAUGAAAUAGGUGACUUACGAACGAUAUUUAUGAUUGUCAUGUUUUUCUCAGUAAGUGGAAGUUGAUACUUUAGCUCAAAUGUUUAAUUGCUUGAUCAUGCUAAUCUUAGGAAAUAUGUGUUAUUUCUAAGAUAGUCUUUUUAGCUUGAGCUUCUUUACGAAUCCUGAGCCUCUUAGGCCCCAGGCAUUUAUCUGCAUUUCAGUAAAUCUAAGCCGUUCUAUCAAUCCAACGGCUUAACACACGACAUCUCAUUAAACUUUUAAAUUAGGUUAUUUUAUUUUAUUUAUAUUUGCAAAACUGAUGUAAACCCUAGCCAUAAUGGCGUUAAGGUUAGUUUAACGCGGGCCUUUUUUUGUUUGUUUUUGUUUUGGCUCUCUCGUGAGCGUCCUCUUGUAGCGUACCUUCUCCUUCCUGGUCGUGCUCCCUUCCCUCCCACUUUUUUUUUUUUCUUCAACUUCUUUCUUCCUGGUAACGUGCUCUUUUCUUGGUAAUGUCGUGUUGCAACCACAUUGAGGUUAAUUUUAACGCAUGUAGCAAAGAUGACAUAAGCAUGUGUAAUGGAGAUGUAACCCACAUGAGAUUGAAGGAAUUUUGAGACUAUCAUGAAUUUUAGUUGCAUUUAGGUGUGUAAUGGAGAUGAAUUCAUUGUUUAAAAGAGUUGUUCAUUCUCUUUCUCAAUUGAUUUGAGAAGUUUGGUUUUGUGUUCGACUUAUUUUAAUGUUUCAAUGGGAAAAAUGGCUAGUUUCUCCCACUGUUUUUCUAUGCUUCCCAAGAAAGAAGUUGAAGAAGAAAAAAAAAAGUACGCUUGCGAGAGAGAACAAAAAACACGCUCGCGUUAAGGUUAGGGUUUACAUCAAUUUUGGAAAUAAAUAAAAAAUGAAAAAAUCUGAUUUAAAAAUUUGAUGACAUGUUUUGUGUUAUGUCGUUAGAUUGGUUGAGAGGCUUGGAUUUAUCGAAAUGCGCGUAAAUGCACAGAUUCUAAAUGCAGAGACUCGAAAUCCCUUGUUUACAUGCUUUAACUAGGAAAUAUUAGGCUUGUCAUUGUUAAUUAGUGUCCUAUCCCACUUGUUAAUACAAAUCAUCAUGCUAAAAAAACUGCAAUACUUCCAAUUUGUGCAGCAGUAGAAGCAUGCAUUUCCAAUAUUCUUAGGAUAAAAUUGUGUAUUAAGCCAUGGUUUUUUUUGAUAAAAUAUUAAACUUUUGGUUUUAAACCAAGAAAUUUUGUUAUGAUAUUGACACAAUAUAUAGCCAAUUUAUAAUUUGGUUUUUUAAUCGGAGCCUUUUUUAGAGUAUCUAAAACAGAAUAUCGAGAAUCGUUUCUUAGAUGGCUUUCUAACUAAAGAAACUCUCACUCAAGAGAAGGCUUUCUAAAUGGGAUGCAAAAGGAAAAAUAGAAAAUAUUGGAAAUGCAUAAACCUCUUUUCAUCUGUAAUUUUCAGGAAAAAAAGAAAAAAGAAACUACAUAUAGUCCAAUAUCUGUCAUCCCUGAACUUCUAAUCGACUUGGGCGUAUUGAUUCCUAAGUAAGAAAUUUCAAGCUUUUUUUUGUCUGCACAAUACAAUGUUUGAUUUUGAAUGUAGCAUCUGAUUCAAGUGACGAAAGGCUCCCGAAUUCAACAAAGCCUUGAUUUUGGGAUAAAUGGGAAACCUUCCAUCUGCAGUAAAUGAAAGUAACUUUAUUAGGUUUGAUCAAGUACCUCAAAGUAACCAAGGGAUCAAACAUCUGCAAAAUGAUCACUACAAUCACAAAAUUUCGAAUGCAGCAGAGCUACUAACAGAAUCGACAUCGGCUUUGAAUGAAAACUUCAAUCUUGUUCAUUUAUAUUUUGUAUUAUAUUGUAAAAUAAAAGUAACCAUGUAAAAUUUAGGUGUUAAAAGGAUAUAUACAUAGACAUGGCAUUACCAAAGGAAACAAAACAAAUACUACUCGAGUAUCUUUGGCAAAGAAGCUUCAGACAAUAAAGUGAGAAGGUAAAAAGAUGAAAACACCCAGCACAUCCCAAGCCAGUUGCUAUGCAAGCAUGGCAUCAAACCAUUCCCAAAACAAAUCAAAAUUACUCCCAGAUAAAUAUUCAUAGAAAACAAUAUUUAGAAAGCAUCUAGUUACCUCAUGUACUUCAUUUUGCAGGAUAGGCACGCUUGAGCCUGCGACGUGUGUGGUUUUCUUGGGAACUAUAACUACGCUUCUUUGUCUUUUUUCUGCACAAUUCAAGCAUGAUUUCAUAGUUAAAAAGAGUAAAUUUCAUCACUUCAACUUUACUUCUAACCUGAAGAUUGCCGAAUACAACUAACCUGAAAAGAUGACGAAUGUUGAAUAAAACUAACCUGAAAAUAGCCGAAUACAACUUAAACAGGAAAACUGCGGGCAAGGCUAGUAAAGCAGCGGCCUAUGUCAAUUGGGGAAAGAGAAGAAGAAGAAACUAUUAGAUAUAUAUUUCAGAUAGCAAAUAACAGGAUUUAUACCCCACCCCCGCCCUCAACAAUAGAAAGAAGUUAAGGACAAAAAGUUGUAGCUGUGUAUUGAUAUUUAAUCACCUAAGUAUACUAGAGAACAUAUAAUAUAAAAUAAUUGAUGUUACAUUUACACCAUAUUAGUUAAAUACAUACCGCAAACCAUGCCACUUCCAUACUUGCAAGUGAUUGCGUGAACUCAUUACCUUUUAGCAUUUCUUCAACCUGUCAUAAUGAAAUGGAUUUUAGAAACUAGUAUGAAACAAUCAUAGAUCUAGCUACCACUCAUAUGGAGAGUUAGCCAGGUCCUUAGGUACUUACGUCUUGAUCUGCAUAAUUUUCUAAAAGUUGAUGUUUACAUUUUUGAAAUUCCAUGGAACAAAAUCAUUGAUAGAUGCAAAAUAAAAAUAUGUAAUUACUUAAGAGAAGAAUAUUGUAUAUGAUAUAUCAUGCAAGCAUUCAUCCUUAGCCCCCUUCUUUUUUUAUUUUCUUAAUUUUGAUUAUUUUGUACUAUUCCCCUCUCCUUUCUCUGUCAUGAACAGAUACACAAUAAUUGAGAUACACAGAAGCAAAAACAUCAGUUCCUUCUUAGUCCUUUGACUCCUCCUAAAAAUUUGUGUUCCCCAAAGAUGUCACAUUCCAGGAAUUUUUUUCCCUUUUAGUUUCUGUAACCAAACUAAAUUCCUAGCGGCACCAUAUAUCAUGCUGCAUCUCCCACUCGUGUUUCAAGAUUAAAUUAGGUAUUAAUGUUAUACAUAAAAACAUAAGUACGAAGUCAUACCUCAUGAUGGUAAAACGUUGCAGUUCUGAUGAAUUGUCCAUAUGCAUAGAUUACUUUUUCUGCACACGGCUGCAGGACAACAGAUACUUUAUCGAAAUGUGGUCUUGUCACCAUUGCAACCUGAUCAAUGUAUGGGUCGGUAAAUUUCUUAGCUUCCUGCCACAACAUAGAAAUGCCAUAAGAAGGAAUUCCAUCCAUCUACUCUAUGCACUUAAUGAGCUAAAGUCUCAUGAAGGGCUUACCUGAAUGUAAGGAUCUGCCAACUUUUGCACCUUGAAAACAAGUGGUGCUAUAGAUCUCUUUGAUGAAUGAUAGACAUCAACAGUAUUUGUAGCGAUGGACUGAAUAUGUGGUUUAAGACAGGCUAUAAAUGCAAAAGACUGUUUCUUCAAACUUGGGAUCCAUUUCUUCAAAUUAACAGAGGGAGAAUUAGAUACGUUACCAACUUCGCUCAAAAUGUCAAAUAGAAAAGCUAACAGAACACCCACUAUGCAGAAAAGAGAAUCAUGUCAAACACCAAGAUUGAUACUAACACUUCAGAACUUUGAUUAUGAAUCAGAUAAACCUCUGCCUGCUUUACGUUCCUUUUCAAAUUUUAAGGUUUCCUUGAUAUAGUAAUAGUACCCAAUACAAAGGUUUUACAUUUACAAUUACAAGAGUUACGAUUCAAUAUCUAUAACGAAGAAUCUCAUCUUUGGACCACCCUCACAGGUGCACAAAGUUAACCUUGAUCUGGCAAAUAAUAUGUUCCAAGGUGUUGGGGCACACAUCUUCUUAGCUAGUCUAUAGUGUUAUAGUUGCACCGAUAUUGUCCCUAAAUUAACCACCAAGGUCCAUCCGGGGUUGAUCAGGCCCAUGGAUCCGUCCAGGUGUGGGGUUUUAUCUCAAAAGGUCUCUGUGCAAUUUAGGGAGAUCUACCACUUAAUCCCUAAACGGACAGUUCUUUUCUGAAACUUGGCCAAAAACUGAGGGACCAUCAUCAUACCUUCAGAAACUUGGCCAAAAAACAAUGUACACAAAUAGCAGCACAAAGCCAAUAUUUAAUGUAGGAAGCGUAAUGUGUAUUGUGUUGUAUGUCCCACAAUAAGUCCCAUAUCCAUUGUCUGUAAAUACUGCAUAUUUGAUUCCAUUCAUAAAGCAUAUUGAAACUGAAUUUGUCUAAAUUUCCCCUAGUAGUUCUCAUACUUGUAAAGGCCCUGCACAUACACUUGGAAUAUUGGCAAUGCUCAUAUUAGUUGUCCAAGUAAGAACCAUAUUUCAUGGUUUAUACUAGCAUACUCAAAUUCAUCAUCUACUACCAUAAUCCAUUUCUUAGUAUAGGGUAUCUACAAAGUUUUGAUUCAUAACUGAUGCCAAGUUACAUUAUAAACAUCUUGAAACUGGAAUGAAAGCUCCACAUGACACUUUCUGCAAUGUUCCUGGUGUAGAUUAGUAAAGAAAAAGAAGAGAGAUAACACCCAGAGAAUUAGAAGAAAUGGUUGGGAGAUUGACAUUGAUAUCAGAAAAAAGUGUAAUCUUAAUUCAUUAACCAAGUCAGAAUACACUGAAACACAAUGGCCUAGUUAUAUAGGCUAGCACAACGGGAUAGACAUUAGUAAAUUAACUAAGAUAAACACCAACAAAUACCUAGAUAAACAUAGAAGAUAAUAAUCUUCAGACUCAUAAAACGGAUAAACAUGAAAAUGGAAGGAAUCUAGUAAGACUCUAUCAGUUCCUUAAGACUCUAUCAGUUCCUCUAUUAGCUAAAGCAACGAUAGACUUUGAAUAACAACUUUUGCAGGAAUCAAGACAGUAGUAAUGCAUUAGCGUCUCAAUAGAAGGAAAACUAUAAAGCUUGAGAAUUAGCAUUUCAAAAUCAAACCAUAGUCUGGACUGAUGAAGCAAAGACAACAUCAAAUCAUUUGUUGAGAAUUCAUAAGAAAUGUUGGGGAUAACAUACUGUUCUGAUGCUUUCAAUGUUGAGCUCAGCCCAAACCUCAACUUGAGUUUUUAUCUCUAAGGCCUGAGAAGCGCAAAUAAAUAAAUAAAUGCUUAGCUGUUUCCCAUCGUUUGAAAAAAAAAGCUUAGCGAUUCUAGCUUACAAGACGCUAGUUCUCUUUAGUUAAAGAUUCACCUGGAAACUCAACAUCUUUAUUGACAGAUGCUUAACAAAUACAAUUUAUGGAAAACCAGACACACCUUUUCAAUUCCCAGAUCCAAGGCUGGUCUUCCAAGCUCGUUCCAGUAAGUCACGAUGUAUGACUGCACGUAAACACUUAGUCAUGAAUUAGGCUGAUAUUGUUAACCCACUAAACUGCAUAAAAUUUACCUGAAAAUUGCCUAUAUGAACUGCAAACGUAUGCAGAAGCCAUCCUCCAUGGGCCUGAUUAUGGGUCCAAGAUAUAACUAUCAGUGAUAUGGAAAACUUAAUUAAGAAAAUAGAUUAAGAUGAUAACAAGAAUAUGACAUGCUUCAAUGCUAUCCAAGUUCAAAAUUUACCAGUGAAUAAUAAGAUAAGGCUAUAACCAAAUCUGCACGCUAGGCAAUCGAUAAGUUUAUUGUUCCACUAGUUUGAUUGACAGAGGUGAAAGGCCACAAGUUUUUGAACAAAAAGGGUGUAACUAGAGAGAUAACAACAACAAUGUUGCAAAAAACACCAGGCAUUAGAAAAUUAUAACAUUGCCAUUUCCUUACCUCUGUCAAAUCUCUAGAUAUCGAAGAGAUCCCAAAUUUUUCCUUCAUCAUUUCUUCCUGAGAUAUCAUAAAAUUAAUACCAUAAUCUAGCAAUAGAAAAUUUCAUGUAGCAAAUAAACGGAAAGAAAACCUCUGCCACUUGAAGAUCACGUUCAGUUCGGCGAAUUCCGAUCUUCUGUCCAUCACUAACUUUUUGAAGCUGAGAAGGAAUAGAAAGAGAAUUAGAAAGGAAAAUUUCUCAUACCAAAGUCCCCUUCCACAAUUUUUUUUUUUUUUUGCAUCCAUGGAAAACUGAACUUGAUUACAAGUCAAGUCUAGUUGUAUGUAGGACCUUGAUCACAAACUAGCAUCAUAGUUCUGAAUUUCAGCUUAAUUUAUUGGAUUAUGGAGAUAAGUAAUGUAUACUGAGCAGUCCAUUACUUCAAUCAAUCAAAAGGCCCUUUAAACUGUAUCAAAAUUUUUGUCUGUUAAGAUUAUCUAUUUGGCCCAGCAUAACCCUUUUUAGCUAUAAAGUAAAGCACUAAUAUGAACUAAAAGUUCAGCUUCAUUAAAUGGAAUAGCAAGACACAUAAUUUCAUGAAUUCACUGUUCAAUAUCUCAAAAUUCUGUUCUGAUUCUAUCAUGUAUGUAUGUCGGAUAAAACUAUGUUUUCUGUGAAUAACAAAUUAUGGAUUGUAACCCCAACUUGAAAGUCAUUAAUGUGGAAAGAGAAGGAAAGUGAAAGUUACUAAGACAGAAACUGUAAUAUAGGCCUUCCAAGAAAGAAGGAAAAAGCACAGUACUUACAUUUUCUAAUUUCAAACUCAGUUCACGGAUUUUCUGCUCAGCUAUACUUGCUCGGGUUUCCAGUUCAUCUUUUCUCUUAUUUUGCAUUAUGAUGUCCUCUCUAAGUCUUUUAACCUGUCAUGAAGACUAAAACAUUAGCCAUGCAAGAAGACAUGAUAUUGAUAUUAGAGCUAGUUUAAGGAAAGCUAACCUGCUUCUCAAGCCCACCAGCCUGCACAUGUGACUUAUCUGUAAGUUCCACAACAUCUAAAGAGUCUCUUCCCUAACCAAAAGAAAAGAGAGAACAGAUAAAUCAGAAUCUUGUCACAUGGGGUGUAGCAAGCCUAUCUUAUUUUCCAGAAACAGAGGCCCAUUGUUUACAUAGAGACAUAAUCUACACUCCACUUGUUGACUAAAUAGAAUGAGUAAAAAAAACAGAAAUGGACCCUCCAGUGAAGGAUCGAUAAUGUUAACAAAGACACACUUCUUAACCACUUUAUUCCACUAAGAAAACACAUCUUAAUCACUUUCCAUACUUCUGCCACAAAACUAAUGGAACCAAACAGUGGCUUCAUGAUUUAACAGCUCUGUGAACUGAACUAUAUGGUACCAGAGAAUGAUUUUAGCCUUGAAACUGAAAGACAAUGUAAGAAAAUACUAAAACCUCACCUGGACAGACUCUAUCCCACUUUGUAUUAAUGCAAUGCUGUUUGAUUUCUCUUGAAUAAUCUUCUCCAUCUGUCUAAUACUUUCAUCCUUUUCUUUCAGUUCACGGUUUUUCUCAUCAAGGCUUGAUUCUUCAACAACAUGAGAAUAGGAACGUUAUGAAAAUAGACAAAAUAAUGAACUGAAAUAGUAGCCAAUUAUGUAAAACAAAGUUUCAAGUUAGUUAGUGCACUUACUACAUUGUCGAUCAUUUGAGUUCUCUAAUAAUUAUUUUGUUUUAUAAGACAUACCAUCUCAGGUCUAGAAUCAUUGAAUCUGGGAGCACCUCAGUGGACUAACCUAUUUUAUCAAAAUGUUGACACUACAAAUAUAAUGGGGAGUCAGGAUUGAAUUCUAUUGCAGAAGAGGAAUGCAGGACUAACUCGUACUACAAACACUUCUUCUUUCAAUUGCAUCUUUACGGCUCUACCCUCUUUGGGACUCUGAGAAACCGAAUGAAACUAAGUGAACACUCUGCAGUUUGCAAUUGGUUUCCAGAAAACAAAAAACUUUGCUCCACCCAUACCAAAACACUUGAAAAAAACUUCAAUCCCAUAUAUUCCUUCUAUUGGAUUUUCACAUUUUCAAAUCCCAAUGUAAGGAAAACGUGCAAUAGUAAAAAAUAUUUUAUUUUCCUACAACCUCCAAGUAACCAAAUGUACAGAACAUACGAUUAUUUUACUCAUAACAAAAAGGAAAAACAAUAUUACAAACCCAAUGCCAUAUAAAAAUCUGAUAUAUGGAAUUGUAUAUUCACUAUGUGUUCAAUUCAUUAAGACCAUGGGACUGUUAUUCCCAUUCAAUAUUCAUUCACCCAAAAAACAAAAAAAUUAUGAUUGCAACAACCAAGCGUAAAAUUCAAAAUUUUGAAGUUGAUUUUUAUUUUUUUCGCUUCGUACAUUUUCUCAGAAAGCUAACAAACCCAGAAAGUACAUUAGAAUGAAGGUGUGAAAAUGAUCACCUAGAAGUGAAACCUUCAAUUGGAGUAACUCAAGUUUCAGUUUCAGAGACGAACCAGCAACCUCUGGAGCAGAAGCGGAAGCGCCGUCGUUUGGAAGCGGUGGGUCUGCCGUAAUUCUGCUGAAUAAUAGGGCUAAGAAUAUGGAGAAGACCAAAAUCUUAGAGGUUGCCAUGAGGGAAUUUGGACAACCAAGAGUGCAGUGAUCACUGAUGAAAGAAAGAAACAAACGCUUUUCCAAGUGAGUCUCAGAGGCGCUCAAAACUUGAAAAUUUAUACCAAGUAAGUUGGCCCAUUGUACAAUGUACUAGGUACAAAUAAAUACUGUUUUAACUAAGGAAAAUGCUAGGGAGACCAACUUUAGAUACCAUCUUGUGAGGAAUGUGCUUCAUACGAGGUUUCCACUGGGUAACCAGCAUCCAUCCUUCAUUGUCAACGAAAGAUGAGUCACCAACGAAGCCAUCACUACCAUGAAUGUUCGGUUUUGCCUGCCAUUUCUUCUGUACACGGAUCAGUCACCUGGGUGUAUGCCCCUUUGUUGGGUUAAGAAUUUCAAAUCUUUUUCGACAAUGCCAGUAGCGGCACCAGAAUCAAAGGAAUCCAAAACUUAUUUGUGGCAACGUUUCGCAUCCNNNNNNNNNNNNNNNNNNNNNNNNNNNNNNNNNNNNNNNNNNNNNNNNNNNNNNNNNNNNNNNNNNNNNNNNNNNNNNNNNNNNNNNNNNNNNNNNNNNNUAACUCCACUUUACAUAUCGACUCUCAUGCGAGCUUUAUAAAACUGUCUGGGACCCCCCGUCAUUUUGGGCUCCACAACUCCAAAUCAGUUAGCCCACCAGUUGGUAUCUAAAGUUGGUCUCCCUAGCAUGACCCUAAUAACCACAUACUUGUCUACGUGUUGUAGUAUAAGUGGAUACCUAUUAAUACUAUACUAUGAAAGUGAGAAUUACUAACUUUGUCGUCCAACUAUAUUAUACACGGAGAAGGAUUACACCAUUGCGAUUUCUGUGUGCAAAUUGAAGGGGUGUUCAAGAUUAUUUUUUUAUUUUUUAUUUUCUUUCUCCUCUUUCUCUUGUUUCCAUGUGUUUAGUUUAGGCCACAAUUUUUUAUUUAAGAUUAUGCUAUUAUUUCUGCCUCUCAUAUUGGGUUUCAGAUAGUUUCUUUGCUAUCUUUUGUACUCUUUUAAAGUGCUUCUAUUUUAUAGAGCAUUUACUCUAAAAAAAAAAAAAGGUUUACACCAUAAUUUUUUGAUUAAUUAUUUUUCCACCCAAAUUAUUUUAUGAAUCUCAUUUUAUGUACAAAGCAUCUGGGUCUCUAAAUUUUUUUUAAGCCCACUUAUAAAAGAAACCAAAACAGGCCCUUUACUUAUCCAUAUUUCACUUUCUGAAAAAUAAAGGCCUUUUGACAAAAGAAAAUAAGAAAAUGGGCUUCUUUUUGUUUUCAAUUCCAUAACAAAAUCUUAUAAAAUAUGAAAGUUCAAAUAUAAUAUUAAAUCCAGAAAAAGAGGUUCUAGCGUACUGUUGAUACACCACCAUUAAUUCAUUCAUCGAUUAUUGAUUCCAUGUUGAUGUACUUUGUAUUAUUAUCUUUUCACCGAAGACAUAAGCAUUGUUAUUAUUAUCAAUUUUAUUGCUAAAUAUAUUAUUAUUAUUUUCUUCAGAUCAAGCCUAUCCAUGAUUCUGACUAGACACUUGUAUUUGUUGCUUCAUUUUGCUGUUUUUUGUAAGUUUUUGAAUUGAAUCCAUUUUUUUUUUUUAAAUGUAGAAGACAAUUGAGUUGGCUAUCAAUAUGGGAAAAUAAAUGUAGUUGAUCCAAUUGAGUAUGUGAUUGGUUAUAUUUAUGGAUUACGGUGUAACUGAUGUCACUAAGGAUGUGUUUAGUUCUAUUUAUUGAUUGUGAGUUUUUGUGUGUGGUUACAUUGGAGAAAAGAAACCCUACUGGGGUUCACUCCUGAGUGCCGAGGGGGAGGGAGGGAGGGGAGGAGAGAAGAGAGGUAAUCCACCACCACGGUGUAAAUGAUGCCACUAAGGAUGUGUUUUGUUCUAUUUAUUGAUUGUGAAAAUUUUUCACUUAUAUGUAUGGGGUCUCAAUAUUUCUCUCUUCAAAAUCAAUGGACCUGCCCUAAUUGUGUCAUGACUAGCAAAACCCUAAGCAAAAUGGAUUACUUCUUCGAAGGAAAGUUACGUUGAAAAGCUAUUACUUCUACUCCUAGAAAGCAGUAAAAUUUAAUAAAGAAAGCGUGAUGUGCGGUCCCUUUUAUGUUCUUAAAAACUUGUAUUUAUAGGGUUCAUUUCCUUGGAUUAAAAUCCUUUUUAGUAAAAAAGAGACAAAAACACAAAUUUCACAAUGGUUUUUCACCAAAACAUCUUAGCAUUAACCUUACCAAUUGAUCUAAAUUAUACUGUUAGUGAGCAGGUAGCUACCUCUGGACAUUUACAACUAAUGAAUAAGAUGUUCAUAUGCAAAUUCCGUAUCUCGUAUGUCUUUCAUGGCAUUGCAUGGAACGAAGAGAGCCCAACAUAGCCAAGAACAAAUUGCCGGUCAACAAAUAUAGAUUGCAUUUUGAGGCGUAAUAUACGAUGCCGGCAAUUCAUCCUUGGCUCAGUUAGACUCUAUUCUUUUCCAUGCAAUGCUUUAGAAAAAUCAUUGCUUGCCAAUCUAAGUUUCCAUUGUUUCUUGCAUUAGAAAUGGUGGGGAUGCAAAUGCUAUAUAUAGCCACAGAAAGUUGAAGAAAAAAUGAGGAGGGAAAUGAACAUAUAUUCUGUGUACACGUUGAACCCACUCUCAGAGACAUGAACAUGUGAGUGCCAUGCAUUCUUAUGCCUUGCCAUCCAAAAAGUUAAAAGAGAGUUGUUUGAAUGUAUCUCUUUGACACCGCGAUAUCGUUAUCUCUUAUGGUCAGCACUGAUCAGAUUUGGGAAUAUGGUUGACAUGCUGCAUGGGAGAUCAUAUUUUGCAGAAUAUAGAAUCUGAUUGGAGGUCUUGAAAUUUGAGAGAGAGAGAGAGAGAGAGAGAGAGAGAGAGAGAGAGAGAGAGAGAGAGAGAGAGAGAGAGAGAGAGAGAGAGAGUAUGUUGGUUUGGGACACCUUAUAUCAAUGAGAAACACAAUCAUUUUGUUAAGAAUGGCAAGUACGUUGGUUUCUCAAAAGAAGGUUUCUAUAGUGAAAAUAAAAUUGAUGCCCUAAUAAGACUUUUUUUUCUUCAUUAAAACAAAGUGUUUGAUUGGUUUUUUGAUCAAUAGGGUUGGGUUUGGAGGGUUUCGAACUUGGAACCUCUUCUAACAUUGGAAAGAGAAGUACGUACCAUGGCUAUAUAAAAGCCUUUAAAUUUUUAAUUAAGUUUAAGAAGUAAUUUAGUUAUAAAAUUUUGCAGGUGAUCAUUCUUUUGAUUUAAAUGCUUUGCCAUCUUAUUAGGACCAACAGGUUGACAAAAGUUGAGUGAAAUUUCACAUAUUCUUUCUAAAAAGUCGGGUGGAACAUGAGCAUGUUGGGUGCCAUACUGCCAUGCUAUCCAAAUUGCACUUUAAAGUACUUGAAUGCCUUAUUUGUAACAAAAAAGACAAUGUAAUAUAUAUGAUAUAUCUCCAGAUCGACCUCUAUCUCAUCACCUGGGUCAGCGCACUUGUGUGUCGAAAUUAGAUUUUUUGACAUGCUGGUAACUGGUAAAUAAUUGUAGAAUAUAGCAUCUGAUAAACACUACAAGGAAACCAACUUUUUACCAUUUAAGGCGCACUUGUGUACCAAGUUUGACUCACUCUCAUUAUAAUGAUGUGAGGAUUGUCAAAUUUUUUUUCUCUAUCUCUAAAUAUUUUAUGUUGUACAGGAUAAGUAUGCGGGUUAUAUGUCUUGUGUUACACAUAUAUAAUUGUGUCUGAUCGUGUUCGUGUAGAUGUAUACUCUUGAUCACACGAAAACGAUUUCUCACCUUACAUAUUUUUAGUGGUUAUGUUCUGUGUCGUCAAGGAUAUACAUUUAACGCUACAUUAUAUUAGGCAGCUAUCAGUGAAUUCUUUGUGGGUAGCUCAAGAUUAUGUGUUAGGAGUCCCGUGACACUGCUCCACGCAGCAUCUUAAGAAAAUACGUGACUUGGAAGCUGCUGGUCAUGCAAAAUUAAUCACAUAACAUGUAACAUCCCAUCUCACAUCAACCAACGGAGAGGGGUUGAUGUGCCUUAUAUGUACAUGUCCACUUUCAUCUAGCACGAGGCCUUUUGGGUGCUCACUGGCUUUGGAGUUAUGAGAACUCCGAAGUUAAGCGAGUUUGGACUAGAGCAAUCUCAGGAUGGAUGACCCACUGAGAAGUUGCUCGUGAGUUCCCAGAAACAAAACCGUGCGGACAAAGAAGGAGACUCAAAACGAACAAUAUGGUGCUACGGCGAAAUCGGAAUGUGACAUAACAUCAUGUAUUAAUAGUGGCCAAAGUCCCGAUCAUGAUCCUACCGAAGAAAGAAGAAAAUAAUGAAAAAAAAAAACAAUCCUUAGCAAACACUUUAAUAAGAUUUAAAUAGAAUAUGAUUCGGGGCACUACUGUGCGUAGUGUCUUUGUAGAAAACCGACAUAAAGAAAUAGAGAAAAUCGAACUUAUCCUCUGCAGAGACAGAGAUGCCUUAACCUGCAGCAUGUGUCGAUAAAUUAUGGCUCCGAUGAUUAGCCUUCAUAUUUUAAGAACAAAUUCUCAUUGACUUUAUCAUGCCACAACUACAUGCAUGCAUGGCUCCCACUCAACUGAAGCACUCAAUCUGAACAAGUCAACGCCCUUCUUUUCUUUCCAACUAUAUGUAGAAGCAAAAAUGAUGUAAAAUAUGAGCUUCCCAUAAAAAAAGGUACAUAUAUUCCAAAAGUGGAAGAGCUUUAACUGUCACACGAUGGAAUAGAAUCAUACCUUUAAUUUUUGAGGUAUGAGUUGUCUGCAUGCAGUCUAUGGCUAUAAAUAGGAUGACAAUGCUGCAUUAUGUAAAUGAACUGAAGUGGUUCAGAGCGAUUAAUAAAAAUACCAUUUGUUCAAGAGUCUUGCAUGAGGAGAUGGAGAGUAGAUAUGAGCCAAGGAUGACUUGCCAAAGCAUAUGGCCUUUCCACUUGUUUAUCUUCUGGCAAGCUGUCCUUGGUUCACGUUUGCUCUCUUUUCUCUCAUGUGAGAUUCAAGGACCAACGCCUACAACUGGAGAGGGGGGAGAAGAAUUUACUUUAUAAUUGUGAUGCUAACGCAAAUUUUUGCUUGUGUUUUCUGUCUGCAGCAACUGGAGGAGUUAAAUCAUAACGUGUUUCCGCGAUUUCCCUUUUGUGAGAGCCUUGUGGUUGAUAAAAUCGUAGCAUUCAACACAAAACUAAUUGAAAUUGGUGGAGAAAUUAUAAGCUCAGUAAGGCGCAUGACUUUACAUCUCUCCCGUGGGAUAUGCCCCCCUCAACACACUCAUUGACAUUCCAGCCAUUGAGCAUGACAUUGUUGUUAUGCAGAACCCUCAAUCCUGGACAUAUAAAUUUCAUGCACUCCUCUUGUAAGUUCAUCUUUAUUUUACUUUUGGUAAACAUAAUUUGAUGUUAUUUAUUUAUUUUAUUCAAAUAGUUCUGAUCACAUCUCAGACUUCUGUGCGUUUUUCCUGAAGUCCCAAUUAUUUCAAGAUUUUUUUUUUUUGGUGCAAUGACACCUGCAAAUGUCUAACAUAUUCCUUAUGGAAUGUCUUUGUAGGGUUCCGAGUGUGUAGGGAAGGCUAGAGAAAAGAAGUCCAGUAGUCUUUCUCGCUUACAGAUGCAGAGAGUGUGGCUGCAAUGACAUCUAUUUGGGUCAGGGCAUUCAGACGAUGAUGAUUUGCAGGGAAAUCUAAUUACUUUAUACCUUGCUUCAGCUCCAUAUUGUAUCCCUACCACAAAAUUUUCCUUCAAUUAUUAACUAAAUAUCUUGUCUACAAAACUACUAACAAUACAUGUAAAAAUUGAGAUUAGAUAAAAACACACACGCAAAAUUUGCAUACAUACAUACAUACAUACAUGUAUAUUGUUGCUACUUGGUAAAAUUAUUUGGGAAAAGUAUUUUACCAGAAGAGGCAACAACCAAGAGAACAACCAGGAAAGUUAACUUGAGUGAUUUCUCCAUAUCUGUUCAAUUUGUUGAUAGCAAGAGGGAAGAAACUAGAGGGUUGUAGCGCCUCUCCAAACUAAAACCUACGAUUUUAUAUAACGUUCUGCCGUGUCGUAAGGUUUGGACUCUACGGAUUCAUGCUUGGAUUUGGUAAAGAAAUAAAUAUAAUAUAUCGACCCAAGUGGUAACUAAGUUCACUUUCAGAAUCAUAUUCAGACUUCAUUAGUUCAUUAUGCUGAAUAAUGAUAUCUUUCCAAAUUAGUUAAAUUGUAGGAAACACUUCUACUUAUAAGCGCUUUUAUUAGAAGGACGUUGAAACUUUUAUUAAAAAUUCAAGUGUUUCUAGAAGAAGCACUCCAGAAAUCACUUUCAAUGUUCAGUUCGUUCAUGUCAAAAGAAUACAAAUAUAUAAUUAGUUCACUAAAGUCUCAAGUGGCAGUACUUCAAUUUAAACUUUUCAACCGAACGCCUACCAGAUUGCAAGCGCAAAUGUUCAAACAAAAUAUGUCUUUCGGGCAUUGCAGUUUCUUGCAAGGUUGUUCAGGAGUGAUCUGGGAGCACACAUGUAGGCUGUAGCCGUUGAGCAUGACAUUGUUGUUUCAUGAAAACAAUUCGUGAAGGAAGGAAACUCUGUAGCAAAUUGGUUGGCUCGACACAGUCAUGCAACGUCCAACCCUCAAUCCUGCACAUAUACCUUUCAUGCUUCCAUGAUUGCCGUUUGCGUUUAGCAAAAAGCAAACCAAACAUAUACAAUAUUGUUCUCCACAACACACCUCCCCACCCCAAACAUAUACAAUAGCGGCUAUACUAUUUUAUUUUAAAAAAAUGAAAAAAAAGCCCAGUACGGACGCGCGGCUAUACUAUUUGAAAAAUUAAAAAUAAAAACCAAGUAUAGCCGAGCGGCUAUAAUAUUUUCGAUUGAAAAAUAAAAUUACAAAAAAGCCCAGUACAGAUGCGUGGCCAUACCCUUUUUUUUUGCAAAACCGAGUAUAGCCGCGCGGCUAUACUAUUUACAAAAUAAAAAUAAUAAAAAAGCACGUGUCAAAAACAGUAUAGCCGUCCGGCUAUACUAUUUUAUUUUAAACAAAACCGUAGUAUAGCCUGCCGGCUAUUUAACAUUAUAUUUAGAAGGUAUAGCCGCGCGGCCAUACUGUGUCAAAAAAAAAUAGUAUAAUUAAUUUUAAUUUUUUAAUAUAUAUUAUUUUUAUUCAAUAAUAUGUGAGAGUUAUGUGUAUAAUACGUGAAUUUUGUGUGUAUUAUUGAAAAUUUUAUAAAAAAAUAUGUGUUUUAAACAUGAAAAAUAUGUACGUACAUGUACAAUACGAGUAUUGUAAGUUUGCUUUUUUUAAAAACAUGAAUUUUACCGAAUCUUUAAGAUGUGUACAGAACACUGAUCUAGUAUUGAAAAAUAUGAGCGUACUUGUAUAAUAUAAUAUUAAAUGUGAAAGUGUUAUAAUUUUAAAUUUAUUUUUUCUAUUGUUCCGCGAACCAUUCUUGCUCCCACAAACUCUGAGAAGAUAAAAUACCAAAUGACCAGUGGAUGGAUCCCUUCAGUGCAUUGCACAACUUAUUUCACUUAAUGCACAUCUAGAAGAAAGAUUGGCCUCAAGGUUUACCAUGAUUCGAUCUGUGUGACGCAAGUUGUGCCAUUUUCUUCCCAUUCUUGGUAUGUGAGUAAUUUAUCCUUCCAAACAUCCCACACCGGCCCCUUCCUUGUUUAAGAAUCUAUUUUGAGAACAGCAAUCAAAUAUUUUAGCCCAUCCUUAUUAUGUUUCUUUAUUCGAUGCAGUGGAUGUGAAGUUGGGCCCAAAGAUCAUGUGCGGAGCCUGAGUUUCUUCUGCUAAUCAGAAGAGGCAAAAAGGUUGCAAAAAAUAUUAGAAUAUAUAUAUUCUUUCAUGGAAAAUAUUGGUUAUGGCGUUUGGGAGGCAUAAUCAUAUCCACACACUGCAAAGUGUUUUCUUUUUCUUUUUCUUUUCUUUACUGUAAAGCUGGUUUCCGUACUGUGAAACUAUCAUCACCAUUUCUGCCUAUAUAAUUAGAAGCAAAUGCAUUACAAUUGAUAUAUCAAUAUCAGAGAUACAUCUGUGAAUGUGAGGGAGAAAAAAAUUCAAUAAAUGUAGAUCGUUUGUAUAUGUAACCAUUAAUUCUUUUGUGCAGUCUCAGAGUGUUUACAUGAAGCACUAGAGAUUGGAUUGCAGCCAAGGAUGACUUGCCGGCAUUUACAGUACUCUUGCUUUAUGCAGCUGAGGUUUGCCGGCAAGUUGUCUUUGGCUACAUUUUGCUCUCUUCUUCUCAUGUCAGCCUCUGAGACUUGGGAUUGUUUUAGUGCUAUCGGGGGAGAGUGGAAGCGUAAAUACGCUUUAAUUACUUGAGCUACAAAUUUCUUGUAUUUUUUUUUGUUUUGCAGAAUUCAGUUAUUUACCCAAUUUUUUUAAGAGGAAGAAGUUUAUUUCCGUCACCAAACUAUAAGAAAGGUCCUCUCUUAUCCCAAUUAAUGAGCAAAACUCACUUGUUUUUUUGUUAGAACAGAUGUCAAGAUCAAGAGCAUUUCAAUUAUUGGUGGUGCUGAUGGAACAAAAGUCCUUCCAAGAUGAGGGCGUAAGUUCGAACUUUAAUGUUUUCUGCCUAAGGCCUGGAUUUCUUAUAUUGGUGUAGUUCGAACAAAACAAAUAUCAAAACAGUCUUUGAUAGGUGUUCAUUGUUCACUUCAUCGCAUUUUUGCAAUGGAAGAUGUUGGUUUAGUUGAGGCUCAUGUAAUCUCUCUUAAUCUCUCUUAGUUGAGGCAUGAAGCAUGAAAAAAAGUGUUGGAUAAUAUUAUGCAGGAAACGGAAAGUAAAUCAGAUGAUUCAAAACUUAAACAUCACCAGAACCACAACAUCAAUACCCAAAGUGGCCCUUACAUGGACAUUUUCUUUGGUAUGAGGACAGACAGAACAGAUAGGAGCUUCAUGACCUUCAAAAGUAAACAGUCUUUGGCCACAAAACACAUCCCAAACCUUACACAUACAUUUAUGAAACCAACCUUGACGGUCUUGUCAUCAGCACAAGUUAUGACCAAAAGUUGGUCGUGAGGGGAAAAGAAUGCCAAAUCAUUUACACUUCCCAAGUGAGCAUCAAUCUACCUAAGAAAAAUGAUGGGUUAGGUUUAAAGUCACAUACUCAAAAGUUGCAGUUUCCUGUUAUUUUUCAUAACUUACUUCCAAUUGUUGUUGCCUCCAUUAUAAGAAUAUAAUUGCACAAUGUGCUUUGCAUAUGUAACCCCGGUUCAAUGAAGAACACGACGGCAGUGAAUAUGAACUACAAGAAAUGAAAAUAAGCAACUACAUACCAUUUAAGUAUGAGAACAUUCUCACCAAAUAUAGAACCNNNNNNNNNNNNNNNNNNNNNNNNNNNNNNNNNNNNNNNNNNNNNNNNNNNNNNNNNNNNNNNNNNNNNNNNNNNNNNNNNNNNNNNNNNNNNNNNNNNNNNNNNNNNNNNNNNNNNNNNNNNNNNNNNNNNNNNNNNNNNNNNNNNNNNNNNNNNNNNNNNNNNNNNNNNNNNNNNNNNNNNNNNNNNNNNNNNNNNNNNNNNNNNNNNNNNNNNNNNNNNNNNNNNNNNNNNNNNNNNNNNNNNNNNNNNNNNNNNNNNNNNNNNNNNNNNNNNNNNNNNNNNNNNNNNNNNNNNNNNNNNNNNNNNNNNNNNNNNNNNNNNNNNNNNNNNNNNNNNNNNNNNNNNNNNNNNNNNNNNNNNNNNNNNNNNNNNNNNNNNNNNNNNNNNNNNNNNNNNNNNNNNNNNNNNNNNNNNNNNNNNNNNNNNNNNNNNNNNNNNNNNNNNNNNNNNNNNNNNNNNNNNNNNNNNNNNNNNNNNNNNNNNNNNNNNNNNNNNNNNNNNNNNNNNNNNNNNNNNNNNNNNNNNNNNNNNNNNNNNNNNNNNNNNNNNNNNNNNNNNNNNNNNNNNNNNNNNNNNNNNNNNNNNNNNNNNNNNNNNNNNNNNNNNNNNNNNNNNNNNNNNNNNNNNNNNNNNNNNNNNNNNNNNNNNNNNNNNNNNNNNNNNNNNNNNNNNNNNNNNNNNNNNNNNNNNNNNNNNNNNNNNNNNNNNNNNNACGAUCAUCCUAAAAAGACAGGAAAUUUAUAACGAUGGGAGAAAAAAAAAAAGAACAUAGUUUCUCAUUACUUAACAUAGAAGAAUUGUCUGCCAAGUGGGAUGAAAAUCCAUGCUCAUUGGAGAUGAGCCUUUAUUUAGUGUCAGGGCAACAGUAGUGGGCAAACCAUUGGGUAUGGCACAUGUGACUUUGGCCAGGAUCAGUAACAGUUGAUUUUACCUAAACAAAUGAAAGACGACCAAGGUCAAGAAACACAAGUUCUAUUAUGUAAUUCUGUACAUAAAUUUGAUUCAGAUUACCUCAUCCAAAAUCGGAAAGAACAUUUUUUUGUACAAGCAUGGAUAGUCAAUAACCUCUAUAGCUGUAGCCACAAAAAUGUAACCAAAAGUUAAUAAUAACAACUAUGCAAUGUGUAAAAUGACGACACACUUCAAACAUAAAUUAGAGGGUACCAGUACCCAACAACAUCCCUUGAAGAACUAAAAUAAAAUACCUAGGCUCUUUGCAGCAUUGAGAGAUACUUGUUAGAAUACGCAGACCAUUAUCUUGCAUAUUAAUUCAAUCAAACAUGUAAUAGGUUUCAAAGAAAAUGCAGAGAGUUUUUAGAGAAUAGAGUAGUGAAUUUCUGUAAGAGAGAGAGAGCUUGGAGAAGAAGCUGGCUAUCUAAAUUAGCUCAGCACCAAAAUCAUGCAUAUAUUGUGACUCUGACAAAACCGUUAGAGAAAGAGAUAUUCCCUAUUACAUCACUCAAUCUUAGCCAUUUAAUCAUUACCCUAUGAGAUAAUGACAAGUGGCAUAAGCUAUUACAUUCUCUGCUGUACACUUGGACUAUGAUCCAACGCAGCCUUUCUAACUAAAAUAGAACCUUCCUAUUCUAAUUACAUUUCAGCAGCCACACUUAUACACCAACACUCCCUUCUAAGUGUUGUGCUGAAAUAACUCCUAGAGCUUUCCUCAAAUACUCAAAUCUAUCUCUUGCUAAAGACUUGGUGAAAAUGUCAGCAAGCUGCUCUUCAGUUUUGCAAUAUAGCAAAUCGAUCUCACCAUUUUGAAUAGCAUCUCUUAUGAAGUGAAACCUACGGUUGAUGUGUCUGGUUUUGUGAUGAUGAACAUGAUUCUUUGAUAUAGCAAUAGUUGAAGUGUUGUCACACAACAACUGAGUUGGUUCUACAUGUUCCUCUCCAAAAUCUGAUAACACAAACCUCAGCCACAUAGCUUGUGCAGUAGCUUCUGCUGCACUCAUGUACUCAGCCUCUGCUGUUGAUAGAGCAACACUGCUUUGCUUGAUUGAAGCCCAAGAAAAUACACUUGACCCCAAGUUGAAUGCAUAGCCUGAUGUGCUCCUCAUGUCAUCUUCACUUCCACUCCAAUCACUGUCACAGUAACCUAUUAGCACUGCUCCUUUUCCCUUCUCAUAAGCAAUUCCAUAGCUUAUAGUGCCUUGAAUAUAUCUCAACACUCUCUUUGCUGUUCCCAUGUGCUUCUUGGUUGGAUUAUGCAUGAAUCUAGCCAAGAGGCUUGCUGCAAACAUGAUAUCUGGUCUGCUUGCAGUCAGGUAGAGCAAGCUUCCCACCAUUUGCCUAUACAAGGUCUCAUCUGUUAGUUCACUUCCAUCCACUUUUGACACCUUUUCAUUCACUGCCAGUGGUGUUGCAACAGACUUGCAAUCCUUAAGUCCAAACUUGUCAAGUAAGGUCUUUGCAUACUUCUUCUGGUGUAGGAAGAUGCAAGUAUCAGUUUGUAGGACUCCAAGACCAAGGAAGUGAUGAAGCAGUCCUAGGUCAGUCAUCUCAUAUUGCCUCAUCAUAUCAUUCUUGAAUGCAGCCAUCAUUUCUUUUGAACUUCCUGUGUAGAUAAUAUCAUCUACAUAUAGGGACACAAUGAGAUUACCACUUGUAGACAUCUUAGUGUACAAUGUAGCUUCACUUGGACUUCUAUAAAAAUCAGUUUUGAUGAAAUAGGAAUUUAUCUCUUCAUACCAAGCUCUUGGAGCUUGUUUCAAACCAUAUAAGGCCUUUUUCAGCUUAUACACCUUAUCUUCACUUCCUUGUAUCACAAAACCAGAUGGUUGAUCCACAUACACUUCUUCAUUUAGCACUCCAUUAAGAAAUGCUGACUUUACAUCCAGCUGAACCAGUCUCCAGUUUCUCUGUGCAGCUACAGCCACCAAGGUUCUCACAGUAUCAAGCCGAGCCACUGGUGCAAAGGUCUCAUUGAAGUCUAUUCCAGGCUUUUGAGAAUAUCCCUUUGCAACCAGCAGAGCCUUAUUCUUUUGCACAGAUCCAUCUAGGUUCAGUUUAGUCUUAUAGACCCAUUUGAUUCCAAUGAUUGGUUUAUCAAAUGGUCUAUCCACAAGCUCCCAUGUAUUGUUCUUUUCAAUCAUGGUGAUUUCAUCUUCCAUUGCUUUCUUCCAAGAGUCAUCCUUUGCUGCCUCUUCAAAACUUUCUGGUUCUAUAAUGCACAUGUUGCAUUUUUCAUAAAUUUCUGCAAUGCUCUUGUACUUGAGAGGAGUAUAAUCAACAUCCUAUGAUCCUGUGACCCUUUUCUAGGUCAUUGGUUUCAGUGUUUAAGCUAUGCAUCUCAUUCACUUCCAAUUGUUCUUCAAAUUCACAAGAACUCCCUUCUGCUCCUUGUUCUUCUUCUCUGAUUUCAGUGAGCUGAAUGUUCACACUAGUUUCCUUCUUUGCAUUCCAAUCCCAACACUCAUUCUCACUAAAUAUCACAUCUCUUGAAACAAUUACUUUUCCAGUUUCAAUAUUGUACAGCCUGUAUCCUUUCUCACAGCUGCCAUACCCCAAAAAAAUACACCUUUUGCUUGCCAAAUCUAGUUUCUGUCUUUGCUGUUUUGGUACAUGAGCAUAACACAAUGAACCAAAUACCUUUAGAUGCUUAACUCCUGGUUUCCUCCCACUAUAAGCCUCAAAUGGUGUCCUUUUGCUCAAGGCUUUAGUUGGACACCUAUUCAAAAUAUACACAGAUAUGUUGACUGCCUCAGCCCAGAAAUCAAAUGGAAUUUUCUUCUCCAACAGCAAACGCUUGGCCAUUUCUACUAUAGUUCUAUUCUUCCUCUCUGCCACACCAUUUUGCUGUGGUGUGUAUGGAGUUGUAAGCUGCCUUUCAAUGCCUGCAUUAUCACAGAACCUGUCAAACUCCACUGAAGUGUAUUCUCCCCCUCUGUCACUUCUCAAUUUUUUUAGUUUGUAACCACUUUGCAAUUCCACAGUGGCUUUGAAUUUCUUAAACACAUUUAGAGCUUCUGACUUGUGCCUUAAGAAAUAAACCCAACACAUCCUUGUGCAAUCAUCUAUGAAAGUGAGAAAAAACCUAUUUUCAGCUUUGGUAACUGUCUGCAUAGGACCACAGAUGUCACUGUGAAUAAGUUCUAGUGGAGUUGAUGCUCUAGUGGUAGCUUCUCUUGGAAAUGCUUCUCUACUCUGCUUGCCUAGAACACAACCCUCACACACCUCUUUAACUUCUUUAAUUUCUGGCAACCCUACUACCAUAUCUUGCUCUUUCAACAGUUUCAGACUACUCAUAUUGAGAUGUCCAAAUCUUCUAUGCCAGAGGUCAGUGGAAUGGUCUACACCUGCUCUAUAAGCUAAGUGCAUUUCAGCCUGCAAUUUCAAAGGAAAGCUUCUAUUUCCUUUCAUCUGAACUUUUGCCACCAAAUUUGUAUGAGAGCUGUCAUUGUAGAUUUCCACCUUGUGAUCUCCAAAUACCAAAUAGUAGCCAUGCUCUAUCAUCUGUCCCACACUGAGUAAGUUCUCUUUCAGUCCAGGUACAAGCAUUAUUUCUUUGAUAUGUCUCUUGCCUGCUUUGGUUUCAACCACAAGAGUGCCUUUUCCAGUUACCUCUACAAGCUGUCCAGUUCCCAUUUCAACCUUGGCAGUCACAUUUCUGUCAAUAUCCACCAGCAAAUCCUCUUUUCCUGUCAGGUGAUUACUACACCCACUGUCCAAAUACCAGAUCUCUUCAUCCCUUGUUACACCAGCACCACUUGCAUUGCUAGCAUAGAACAUUGUUGGUGCAGCUUCCACUUGAGUACCAUAGUUGACCUGCUAUGGUGUUUUCUUGCGGUAGCAGUCUUUUGCAAUGUGGCCAAGCUUAUCAUAGUUAUAACACUUUGGCUUGCCCUUGAAUCGACAUUCACCAAAAUGUAGCUUACCACAGUGCUUGCAGGGAGUUUUAGUACCUUCACUUGCCUUGUUAUCCCACUUCUUGCCUUUGGAUUUCCAAUUCUUAUUCUGCUUGCUGUUCUGUUCUCCAGUUUUAGUCUGUUUGGCAUCUACACUAAGGCUAGCAAAUGCCUUCUCUGUUCUGUUUUCAGAAUGCCUAUCUAAAUGCAACUCAAAGCUCUUUAGUGAGGCUACAACCUCCUGCACCUCAAUCUCAUUCAGAUCUCUAGAGUGUUCAAUAACUGAACAGAUAGAGUCAUAGGUAGAUGGCAGACUAAUAAGCAGUUUUUGAACAAUUCUCUCCCCAGGCAAUUCCUCCCCAUAACUUCUCAUUUGAUUUAUCAAAUCAAAUAGUUUAGUAACAUAGGCAGUUAAGGAUUCAUCAUCCUUCAUUCUUGUAUAUUCAAAUUCUCUUCUAAGACCUUGCAAUUUAACACUCCUUACCUGCUUAUCUCCAUGGAAUUCUUGCUGCAGAAUACUCCAGGCACCUUUUGAUGUUUCUUCAUGAGAGAUUCGUGGGAAUAUCUCUUCUGAAACUGCUCCUUGAAUCAAUCCAAGAGCCUUAGCAUCCUUCAUGAGUACCUCAGCAACCAUGCCUUUCCCACUUGAUUCUUCUGUCUCCUUUUUCUUAUCAUCAGAUUCAUCUGACUUCUUCAGAUCCGUACCAUCAAAUCCUUUUAUCACCAAAUCCCACAGUCCAUGAGAUUUGAAGAUGGUCUUCAUCCUUAUGCUCCAGAAAUCGUAGUUCUCACCAUCGAAAAUUGGUGCUCUCAAUUCACCACCACUUGACCCAGCCAUGUUAGACUCAGAUCUGCAGAACUCAAGCUCAGCUGCAACUUCAAUAGCUUAGCACAGAAAAACGCCCAGUAUUACUUGAUCAAACCUGGCUCUGAGGCCAUGUUAGAAUACGCAGACCAUUAUCUUACAGAAAUUCACUACUCUAUUCUCUAAAAACUCUCUGCAUUUUCUUUGAAACCUAUUACAUGUUUGAUUGAAUUAAUAUGCAAGAUAAUGGUCUGCGUAUUCUAACAAUACUGCUCCUGAGAGAGCGCAUGUUGUGUUACAGAUAAAUUUUUGGCUCAGCAGAAGAAGUUGGAAGUGGAUAUGUUGCUUGUGAAGGCUAAAUACAUAAGGUUAGAGCAAUCUUAGAAGAAACCAGAAAGACUAAACAAAAUCUUGUUUUAAAAAAGAAGAAGAAAAUCAGCUAGUGUGGCUGAUCAGGAAACAUUGGUUAAUGAGGACCAAUAAGAAAAGAAUUUCAGUUUACCAGAACAUAUCUUACUUGCAAACUGUUCCCAGUCGAUAGAGACAAAGACAAAACAGUCCUGCCAUUCACAAACAUGAUCAAUGAAAAGGGUUUUAAUAACUGGAUUUGGACAAAAAUCAGUAAGUGUAGACACCAAGCAGGAUCAUUGGUUAAUGAGGACAAAUACUUAGGAAAAAAUAAAUUUAUGUCACCAGAACAUAUCUUCCAAAUUGUUUUCAAUUGGUAUAGGCAAAGGAACAUUUUCCUGUGGUUCACAAACAUGAUCAACGAAAAGAGUCUUAAUGACUGGAUUUGGACGAGGGUCUUUACACUGUUUCAUCAUAUUCUUCCUCAUAGACAUUAUAUCUCCACAUAUAAGAAGCUUAAAAAAAAUGAUGUUCUCACUUGUCAAUGGCCUCAAGGAAAUUUUCCUUUCUGAUCUGGAAAUAGAUCUUCGUCGAGCAGCGAUUGUUAUUUCUAUUUCAUAUUGACAUAUUGGAGACAUCAAAUCAGGUUGUGAGGAAAAAUGUGAGGGUCAUGUUUUGAAAAAUUAAACUUAGUUUACCUAGACUGCAAAAUGGUUCUUUUUCAUUGCUCAUAAGUCUGACUCCAGCUCCAGUUAAUUGCAUCUAGAAUAUUGCUUUUAAUCAUUAUUUCAUCCCUUCCAGUUUGCUUCUCUAUUUUUCCCACCCAGCAGCACCCCACACAAGGAGCCAAAAUGAUGUCGUUAAAUAACAGAAGUCACAUAAGAGUAGAAGCCAUGUCUGAAAGUAAUUGUAGUUUCCAAUAUGCAUCAGCACCAGAAGAAACUAGUACAUUCAAAGUGUUCGAGAAGGAAAGACUAGUGACUGUUUUGGCGUGACCCUCAAGCUUCCUUGUAACCUGCAAAAUAUAUAAAUCAAGGCAAUGACAAACUUUUUGGGUUUGCUUCAUCACAACAUCGAGCAUGAUUUGUUUUUUUUUUUUUUACAAGAACAAACAAACUACCUCGUCUGAGUGGAGAUUGUAUAUUACAAUGGUGGAAUUGUCCAUGCCAAUAGCAACUAUACUGUCAUCUCGGGGGUGAAAAGCAAGACAUGUUGCCGCAGGUCGUGGUGGCAUGACUUUUUUCAUCGUCUGCGUUUUUACGCAACAGAUUUUUAUGAGUACAAUGGGUUAGAUCAUGAGAAAUUUGCAAACAGAACCUACGCAUAUUGACAAACAAGAUUUGGGAAGUUUUGGAUGGGAAAAGAAAAUUUCAAGAAUACUAUUUGGGUUGGGUUUACCUUAAAUGUUGUCAUGUCAAAAAUGGAGAUCAUCCCUCCUGUUACUGAUAUGAGAUAUGAAUCAUUCUUGGACAAAUCAAAGCAGGACAUAGCCUUUUCAGGGUUGGUGCUGGGAAGGUCAUUGUUCAUCAGCUCUAAGCCACUCCUUGGUUUCCAUAAAUUAGGGUGAACCGUGUGAGUUUGGGUAAUCACUGCAACUUUUGAGAGUAUUCGAAGUGGAUUUUGGGUAAUCACUGCAAUUUUUUUAGUAUCCAUUUUGGGUCCAUAUUCCCUGAAUUGUGAAGUAAUUGGUAAUUCUGGUAGGUUAGUGCCACAGGAAAAGCCCUGAAGGAUGUCAUUGCUGUUGGUAUCGGUGGCAGCUUCUUAGGUCCUCUUCAAAAAGGGUAUAGCCGUACGGCUAUACUCGGCUAUACUCGUUAAAUAUAUUAUUUAUGGAGUACAGCCGGGCGGCUAUACCUUUUAAAUAUAUUAUUAAAGGGAUAUGGCCAUACUUCUUAAAUAUAUUAUUUAAAGCGUAUAGCCGCGCGGCUAUACAAUUUAUAAAAUAAAAUAAAAGUGACCCGCCUAGCCCGCCUAGGCGGCCCAUUUUUGGAAAACUUGGAUGGCGUUUUUUCUUCUUCAGAUUUCUUUGAUCCAAAGCAUCCCAAGCCUCAGACAGAUGACUACUUGGAUCAAUAUUAUUAUUAUUAUUAUUUCUCUGAUCCUCUUCAUCUCUAUCUUGUUCCCCAAUACUUCCAAGCCUUUGCAAACCAGGAAUUAUGGAAACCAGUUUUGAAUCCUAUGCAAACCAGGAAUAAAAUAAAAGUGACCCGCCUUUGCAAACCAGGAAUUAUGGAAACCAGUGAACACAAAACCCAAAUCCAUAAAACCCUUGAGCUCAUCAAACUCCAGGUCAGACAAGCUCUUGCUGGGCCCUACUCUUCUUCUACUUCUGUUUCUUUCACCAUGACCAUGGACCCUUUUUGUCUGAGCUGCUGGCACUUGUUCUUGUUUCACACUUUGUUUGGAGAACUCUAUGACUUGUUUACCAGAGAAAAUUUGGAAUUUUGGUGUGGUGCUUAUGAGGAUUGAGUGUGGGGAGAGAGAAUCAGAAGAGAAGAGGCUCCCCUUGGUGUUUAAAGAUUGGUCAUCACUUUGGCAAGCAUGAAAGGCUGGGGAAAUUUGGUACUUCUUGGGCUUAUUGGUCCACUUGGAGACUUGGGUUUGUUGCUUCUUGGGGUUUCGAAGGGGAUUUCUUGCUCAGAAUUCCAUGUUCAAAUCAGUAUGAAUCAAAGAGGCUGAGAAGGUCUUCUUCUGCAGCCCCUUUUUUUUUCUUUUUUUUUUGAAAAAAAAAGGGUAUAGCCGACCGGCUAUACUCUUAAUAUUAUUGAAGGCAUACCGCCGCUCGGCUACACCUUUUAAAUAUAUUUUUUAGGGAGUAUAGCCGCCCGGCUAUACUAUUUAUAAAAUAAAAUAAAAAGGAACCGCCUAGCCCGCCUAGGAGGCCGAUUUUUGGAAAACCUGAAUGGCGUUUGUUUUUUUUUUUUUUUUUUUUUUCAAAUUUCUUUUUUUCCUGGCGAGUCUGGCAUCUCUGCAAAUGCAUCAAGCUUGGGUUUUAGCGACUCACGUUUAUAAACAACGUAAAGGCGUCUCUGAAAAUCAGUAUUUUCCAUUCUCUGUUUUGGUUUAUGUUAUGUUUGGUUGCUAGGAAGCUGAUGAUGAACAAAUAUUCUUUUACCUAAAUAUUCAGUUUCAUGUUUCCUUUGUUGUAUUGAUUAGUUUAGUUACAAACUGAGUUGGUCUGGUUAACUGACCCAAAAGGAGUAUGCUGCUUUCUGGGGCUCCAAUUGUUGAGUCAUCUCUUCUUUUGAAUUUUUUCUUUUUAAAUUUCAUUUUUGUCAAUUCUCAGUAAUGUAAUCUGGGUGAAAUGCAACUUUGGGAUCCGUAAGAUGGGCAGGAAGAGUAAAUCAAAAACUCCCAGAGAGAUGCAAGAUAAUACAGCUACUGUAGAAGAGGAAAAACCCUCAUCUUGGGCCAAAAAAUUGCUGAAUCAUUGGUUGAGAUUCAGUUCAGAUUUACCAUAUACUUUGGUUUUUAACUUAUGUUUCAAUUACUGGGCUUAUGAAGUCUCAUCUGAUCCUACUUUCUGCUACAGGAACACUUGGAGAGCAAUGAGGGUGACCCUGAGUUACUUGUUUACAUUCCGUGAGUAUCCACUUUUGUUGUUUUAUGUGUUGUCUUCAGGACAUGAGUUAAAGUAUGCAUAAACAUGAAAUGGAUAGGGACAGGGAGAUCCAUUGGUUGACUAGUUGUACCCAUUUUUCCAUAUUUUCAUUCGAUUUCAAUGGUAACAUGUUUGUUAGAUCUCCAUAGUCGGAUCUGUAUGAGUUUGAGUAUGGGAUUCAACCUUAGUAGCAUCUCCAGGUUCACCUAAAACAAACAUAACACUUAAUAGUGAGUUUGACGGGAUACUGUUGGACUACUCAGGGCAACGUGCCAUGCCUGAAACCUUGGAAAUUGGCAGAGGUGGGGUUGGCCCAUUCGUAACUAGUGUCUUGUGGGGGGGAAGGGAUUGGGUGAAUAUAGUGUUUUCUAAUUGAUGUUGUAUAUGAACCAAUGCAGGCUGCAUCCCUCAAAGAAAAGAUUAACCGAAUGUUUGGUGGAGAGCAUGUACGUUUCAAGUUUAUCUUCCUUUGGUCGAGUAUUAUGUGGAUAAAUAUGGAAUUAAAAUGCUAAUUUAAACACUUUUUAUCUGCAAUCAGCAAGAAGUGUUUCCUAUUUUUUUUUUUUUUAAAUUUAUUUUUCGGAUCUGGGGAAGGGAUUAAAAUUUGGAACCUCUUCCAACAAAGUGGAGAUAACUACCAGUAUAACAAUAGCUAGCUGGUGUCUCCUAAUUAAAAUUAGGACGCCCAAAUUUCUGACCUUUUAACUGUCUGAAAUUACAAAAAACUGAUAGCUUUAUAAGAUUUAUGGUAAAGAUGAGACCAGCUUAUUUCUGAAACCAUUAUCAUGUGAUUCUUUUGCGUUCUGUUUUCCUUUUUCUGGGUGGUGCCUUCAGAUAAACAGCACCGAAAAUAGAUCAGUGCUUCAUGUAGCUCUUCAUGCUCCAAGGGAUGCAGUUAUACAGAGUGAUAGGGAAAAUGUGGUCCCAGAUGUUUGGGAAGUUCUGGACAAGAUCCAGAAGUUUUCUGAGAGUAUUCGAAGUAGAUUUUGGAUCAUCACUACAAUUUUUUUAAGUAUCCAUUUUGGGUCCAUAUUGCCUGAAUUGUGAAGUAAUUGGCAAUUCUGGUAGGUUGGUGCCACAGGAAAAGCCCUGAAGGAUGUCAUUGUUGUUGGUAUCAGUGGCAGCUUCUUAGGUCCCUUCAAACAGGUUUAGAUGACGCUUUCCAUUUUGUCAAUUUAUAACCUCUAUUUUGCAGUCUUGUUUACUAUUUAGUGUGAGUUUCCUUGUGAAAAUGAUUAAGCUUGCUUUGGAAUAAACUUUAGGUAGUGUUCACUGGUUUGAUUACAUUUUGUAGAUCCAGAGGCUAUCGAAACAGCGAGGGGAAGGCAACUGCUUUUGUAAGUACUUCUGUAUCAACUUUUAGAGUGCUUCUAUUUUAUAGAGCAUUUGCUCCAAAAAAAAAAAAGGUUUACACCAUAAUUUUUUGAUUAAUUAUUUUGCCACCCAAAUUAUUUUAUGAAUCUCAUUUUAUGUACAAAGCAUCUGGGUCUCUAAUAAAUUUUUUUUUAAGCCCACUUAUAAAAGAAACCAAAACAGGCCCUUUACUUAUCCAUAUUUCACUUUCUGAAAAAUAAAGGCCUUUUGACAAAAGAAAAUAAGAAAAUGGGCUUCUUUCUGUUUUCAAUUCCAUAACAAAAUCUUAUAAUAUAUGAAAGUCCAAAUAUAAUAUUAAAUCCAGAAAAAGAGGUUCUAGCUGCUGUUGAUACACCACCAUUAAUUCAUUCAUCGAUUAUUGAUUCCAUGUUGAUGUACUUUGUAUUAUUAUCUUUUCACCGAAGACAUAAGCAUUGUUAUUAUUAUCAAUUUUAUUGCUAAAUAUAUUAUUAUUAUUUUUCUUCAGAUCAAGCCUAUUUAUGAUUCUGACUAAACACUUGUAUUUGUUGCUUCAUUUUGCUGUUUUUUUGUUAGUUUUUGAAUUGAAUCCAUUUUUUUUAUUUUAUGCAAAAGACAAUUGAGUUGGCUACCAAUAUGGGAAAAUAAAUGUAGUUGAUGCAAUUAAGGAUGUAAUUGGUUAUAUUUACGGAUAACGGUGUAAUUGAUGCCACUAAGAAUGUGUUUAGUUCUAUUUAUUGAUUGUGAGUUUUUGUGUGUGGUUACAUCGGAGGAAAGAAACCCCACCUAGGGUUCAAUCCUGGUUGGGUGCCGGGGGGUGGGGGGGAAGGAGAGAAGAGAGGUAAUCCACCACCACAGUGUAAAUGAUGCCACUAAGGAUGUGUUUAGUUCUAUUUAUUGAUUGUGAAAAUUUUUCACUUAUACGUCUCAAUAUUUCUCUUUGUACAAGGCCUUCAAAAUCAAUGGACCUGCCCUAAUUGUGCCAUGACUAGCAAAACCCUAAGCAAAAUGGAUUUACUUCUUCGAAGGAAAGUUACGUUGAAAAGCUAUUACUUCUACUUCUAGAAAGCAGUAAAAUUUAAUAAAGAAAGCGUGAUGUGCGGCCCCUUUUAUGUUCUUAAAAACUUGUAUUUAUAGGGUUCAUUUCCUUGGAUUAAAAUCCUUUUUAGUAAAAAAGACACUAAAACACAAAUUUCACAAUGGUUUUUCACCAAAACAUCUUAGCAUUAACCUUACCAACUGAUCUAAAUGAUACUGUUAGUUGCUGGUAGCUACCUCUCGACAUUUACAACUAAUGAAUAAGAUAUUCAUAUGCAAAUUCCAUAUCUCGUAUGUCUGUCAUGGCAUUGCAUGGAACGAAGAGAGCCCAACAUAGCCAAGAACAAAUUGCCGGUCGACAAAUAUAGAUUGCAUUUUGAGGGGUAAUAUACAAUGCCGGCAAUUCAUCCUUGGCUCAGUUAGACUCUAUUCUUUUCCAUGCAAUGCUUUGGAAAAAUCAUUGCUUGCCAAUCUAAGUUUCCAUUGUUUCUUGCAUUAGAAAUGGUGGGGAUGCAAAUGCUAUAUGUAGCCACAGAAAGUUGAAGAAAAAAUGAGGAGAGAAAUGAACAUAUAUUCUGUGUACACGUUGAACCCACUCUCAGAGACAUGAACAUGUGAGUGCCAUGCAUUCUUAUGCCUUGCCAUCCAAAAAGUUAAAAGAGAGUUGUUUGAAUGUAUCCUUUGACACCGCGAUAUCGUUAUCUCUUAUGGUCAGCACUGAUCAGAUUUGGGAAUAUGGUUGACAUUCUGCAUGGGAGAUCAUAUUUUGCAGAAUAUAGAAUCUGAUUGGAGGUCUUGAAAUUUGAGAGAGAGAGUACGUUGGUUUGGGACACCUUAUAUCAAUGAGAAACACAAUCAUUUUGUUAAGAAUGGGAAGUACGUUGGUUUCUCAAACGAAGGUUUUCAUUAAAUUUGAAUUUACUAAUUAUACUAAUUAUACUAAUUAUAAUUUUGGAUUUGAAUUAUAUAUACGAAUAUACUAAUUAUAUCUACGAGUACAAAUGUCCCUACCCGUUUUUUUUCCAUUAAAAAAAGGUGUUUGAUUGGUUUUUCGAUCAAUAAGGCUGGAUUUGGGGGGUUCGAUUUGGAACAUCUUCUAACAUUGAGAAGAAAAGUACGUACCAUGGCUAUACACAAAAGCCUUUAGAUUUUUAAUUAAGUUAUCAUUCUUUUGAUUUAAAUGCACAUAUAAAAAUCCUUUGCCAUCUUAUUAGGACAAAAAAUUUGACAAAGUUUAGUGAAAUUGCACAUUAUUCUUUCUAAAAAGUCGGAUGGAACAUGAGCAUGUUGGGUGCCAUACUGCCAUGCUAUCCAAAUUGCACUUUAAAGUACGUGAAUGCCUUAUUUGUAACAAAAAAGACAAUGUGAUAUAUAUGAUAUAUCUCCAGAUCGACCUCUAUCUCAUCACCUGGGUCAGCGCACUUGUGUAUCGAAAUUAGAUUUGGGUAUGGUUGACAUGCUGGUAAAUAAUUGAAGAAUAUAGCAUCUGAUUAACACUAGAAGAAAACCAAGUUUUUACCAUUUUAAGGCGCAUUUGUGUACCAAGUUUGACUCACUCUCAUUAUAAUGAUGACAGGAUUGUCAAACUUUUUUUUCUCUAAAUAUUUUAUGUUGUACUGGAUACGUAUACGGGUUAUAUGUCUUGUGUUACACAUAUAUAAUUGUGUCUGAUUGUGUUCAUGUAGAUGUAUACUCUUUACCACACGAAAAACGAAUUAUCACCUUACGUAUUGUUAGUGGUUAUGUACCGUGUCGUAAAUGAUAUACAUUUAAAGCUACAUUAUAUUAGGCAGCUGUGAAUUCUUAAUUUGCGGGUAAAAAGUAUACAACUCUUAAGUGUUUCAUGCUCCUGAAUGUCGUCUCUAGAAAGCUCAAGAUUAUGUGUGAGUCCCGUGACCCUGCUCCACGCAGCAUCUUAAGAAUACGAUUCGGGCCACUACUGUACGUAGUGUCUUUGUAGAAAACCCACAUAAAGAAAUAGAGAAAAUCGAACUUAUCCUCUGCAGAGACAGAGAUGCCUUAUCAUGCCACAACUACAUGCAUGCAUGGCUCCCACUCAACUCAAGCACUCAAUCCGAACAAGUCAACGCCCUUCUUUUCUUUCCAACUAUAUAUAAAGGAAAAUGGGGUAAAAUAUGAGCUUCCCAUAAAAAAAGUACACAUAUAUUCCAAAAGUGGAAGAGCUUUAACAGUCACACGAUGGAAUAGAAUCAUACCUUUAAUUUUUGAGGUACGAGUUGUUUGCAUGCAGUCUAUGGCUAUAAAUAGGAUGACAAUGCUGCAUUAUGUAAAUGAACUGAAAUGGUUCAGAUUAAUAAAAAUACCAUUUGUUCAAGAGUCUUGCAUGAAGAGAUGGAGAGUAGAUAUGAGCCAAGGAUGACUUGCCAAAGCAUAUGGCCUUUCCACUUGUUAAUCUUCUGGCAAGCUGUCCUUGGUUCACGUUUGCUCUCUUUUCUCUCAUGUGAGAUUCAAGGAUCAAUGCCUACAACUGGAGAGGGUGAGAAGAAUUUAAUUACUUUAUAAUUGUGAUGCUAAUGCAAAUUUUUGCUUGUGUUUUCUGUCUGCAGCAACUGGAGGAGUUAAAUCAUAACGUGUUUCGGUGAUUUCCCUUUUGUGAGAACCUUGUGGUUGAUAAAAUUGUAGCAUUCAACUCAAAACUAAUUGAAAUUGGUGGAGAAAUUAUAAGGUCAGAAAGGCAUGACUUUACAUCUCUCCUAUGGGAUGUGCCCCCCUCACACUCAUUGACAUCCCAGCCAUUGAUCAUGACAUUGUUGGUAUUGCAGAAAACAAUCGUUGUCUCGAAGUUGUCAUGCUUUCAUGCUCACGCACUUCUGUAAACAUAAUUUGAUGUUAUUUAUUUAUUUUAUUCAAAUAGUUAUGAUCACAUCCAAGACUUCUGUGCGUUUCCUGAAGUCCCAAUUAUUUCAACAAUUUUUUUUUGGGUGCUAUGACACCUGCAAAUGUCUAACAUAUUUCUUAUGGAAUGUCUUUGUAGGCUUACGAGUGUGUAGAGAAGGCUUGAGAAAAGAAGUCCAAUAGUCUUUCUUGAAGGAAGUUGAGGUGCCAAUCCAAAACUAAUUGGCAAUUAGGGGAGUAACCUAACUCUUUAUAAGUCCUUGUUAGGUUUCUCAACUUUCCAUUGUGGGACUCUUUACCUUUACAUUCUCACACGCCCCCGCACAUGUGGCGAAUUUUCAAGCAUAAUACGUGGACAACACAUUUUGGGUGACAUGGAGCACGUGUGGUCGUUGGGCUUUCACAUGUGGGCAACCCGCUCUGAUAUCGUGAAGGAAGUUAAGGUUCCACUCAAAAACCAAUUGGCAAUGGGGGGAGUAACUCAACUCCUUAUAAGCCCUUGCUAAGUUUCUCAACUUUCCAAUGUGGGACUCUUUACCUUCACAUUCUCACAUUUCUCGCUUACAGAUGCAGAGAGUGUGGCUGCAAUGGCAUCUAUUUGGGUCAGGGGAUUCAGAAGAUGAUGAUUUGCAGGGAAAUCUAAUUACUUUAUACCUUGCUUCAGCUCCAUAUUGUAUCCCUACCACAAAAUUUUCCUUCAGUUAUUAACUACAUAUCUUGUAUACAAAACUACUAACAAUACAUGUAAAAAUUGAGAUUAGAUAAAAACACACCCAAAAAAUAAAAAUUUGCAUACAUACAUACAUGUAUAUUGUUGCUACUUGGUAAAAUUAUUUGGGAAAAGUAUUUUACCAGAAGAGGCAACAACCAAGACCACAACCAGGAAAGUUAACUUGAGUGAUUUCUCAAUAUCUAUUAAAUUUGUUGAUAGCUAGAGGGAAGAAACUAUGAGGGUUGUAGCGCCUCUCUAAACUAAAAUCUACUAUUUUAUAUAUGGGAGCAUUUUUACUCACCACUUUAACUCAAUGUGUACUUUUAUCACCCUACUAAAAAGUUGACAUUUGUCUAUAUAAAUAACCAUAAUUAAUUUUUGCUUUUAAAUCUUUUAAAAUAUUUAAAACGAAAUAAUAAUAUAAAAUAAAAUAACUUUCUCCUCUCUCUCCUCCCCUCUCCGACCGAGUCCCUCCAUCCAUAACAGCUCAAAUUCUAAACCCAUCUCCGCCGGCACAUCAUCUCUCUGGUCCUUCACCGCCGCCCUUGUGCAUCAGUCAAUUUACUUUAUAUAAAAAUAAAAAAUAAAAAAAAGCAUAAGGCUUUCAAUUGGUCCAAGCAGUAAUAAUAAUACCCAUCGACCCUUACGGAAGAUUACGAACUCACCGAACCAAAUUUCCCUAAAAUCAAGAUCUCUUGGACUCUAGUGCUUCUGUCAGAUUCUCCUAGGUUUGAGAUCUAGUGGCUGUUAAUGCGAGUAGGCUUAGAAAAAGUUUGAAGCUUUUGAAAAAACUGAUUGGAAUUCGUUUAUGUAAGCUAUGCAAUUCUUCUUCCUUGUAAAUCAGUAUUUGAGUCCUUACUUUUUUGCGCUUAAAGGCAAAUAGGGCGCUGUGGAGGGCGAACCAGGCGGGGGAGGGAAUGUUGGCUGAGUUGUUAGAAGGGAAUGGCUGGGUUGCUACAUGGGGAAUGGUGGCUUAGGGUUGCUGGAGGUGGGUAGGGAAGGAGGGACAGAGAAGGAGAGUUUUUAAAUUUAAUUAAAUUAUUAUUUUACUUUAUUACUUGGUUUAAAAAAGAUUUAAAAGUAAAAGUUAACUAUGGUUAUCUCAUGGACAGGUGUCAAUUUUUUAGAAUGGUGGUAAUGGUACACCUUGAGUUAAAGUUGUGAGCAAAAAUGCUCCCUUUAUAUAUAUACCUGAAGUUGGAAAUUAUUUUCUAUAAGCGCCAUGUCAUAAGGUUUGGACUCCACGGAUUCAUGCGUGGAUUUGGUAAAGAAAUAAAUAUAAGGGCUCUUUAGUUUUAACCCAUAAAAAACUUAACUAAUUUGGAAGAAAGAUAAUUAAUUUUGCUUAAUUAAUAUAAAACCAAAGCCACCUAAUUUUACCAAAAGGACAUCCAACAACCCUAAAAUUACUACAUGUGCCAUUGUGCUUAACUGUCAAAUACAGUUUAUUUAAUUAUAAACCAAAAUUUAAAACUGUCAAAACGACAUAACAUUCCCACAAAACACAACACAAAACGACACUACUCAAAUUUAAUCACUUCAAAAACUAGUUUCGCGCGACCUUUCAUAUCCCACUGCAAACCUACAAACUAUUCUCCAAAAACGAAGCCGAUGAGCAGCAACGGGGACGACCAGAAACGAAGACGACGACCAACGACGACGACCAACGACCACCGACGACGAGCAACGACCACCGACGACGACCGAAGCUAAACUUUAAGAAAAUGAAUCAGUACUCUCUUCGAUUUUAGGUUUUACACCGACGACGAUUUCAGUACUGUUUCUUCCUUUUGGUUUCUGGUUGUUUGUAGCAGAUUUUGACCAGAAACUGCAAUGCAGUUUCUGGUUCCAUAAUUCAAUUUCAGAGUGCUUUUUGCUAGGGUUUAUGGGAAUGUUAUAACUGCUCAUGAAGUUAAAUGUGUUUUGAUAUUCGUUUUUGCUACUGUUUUUGCCUUUUGGUUUCUGGUUGUUUGUCUUCGAUUUUGACCAAAAACUUGGUUUCUGGUUGUUUGUAGCAGAUUUUGACCAGAAACUGCAGUUUCUGGUUCUGGAACAAGAAAUGUCACCACAAAAGAAUGAAGCUGAAAACCAACCAAAGCACAGAAUCAAAACGAUGGCUCAAAAGAGUAAACCAAAGCCAAAGCCAAACUAUGAUCGGAAAGCAAAGCACCCGGACUAUGUCCAAUUUCGGUCCAAUGCCUAUGCUUUCAACAGCAUCAUUAGAGACAUAAAGGACAAGCUCAAUGAAAGGCAGAAGAAGCUUCUCAAGAAAACCCCUUUCUGGAACUUGAUCGAGCUGUUUUACCGCCAGAGAAUUGACAUGAAUAACAUGAAUAAGUCGGACCUUGACUUGGUACAGCUGCUCAAGAAAUUUGAUCCGGAUACAAAGUCCUUCAAAUUUGGAACAAAAACUGUGUAAUUAAUCGUCUUUAGUGAUUUGCCUUUCGUUAACUCAAGACAAUAUGUAUCUUAAUUCUUGUGAAUGUUUGUAAAUAUUUCUAGUUAUGGUAUAUGAGAACAUAUUUCCUAUACAUAUAAACUGUAAUAUAAUCUUGGAACAGGAUGCAACAAAACGAAAAGGAAACAAACAAACUGCACUGAAUUUUCUGGUCAAAAAUACUGCAACAAAUUAAAACUGCAGUGCAGUUUAUAUAAAUAAAUAAAAAUAAAAAAUCAGCUCAAAAAAUGUGAAAAGAACCCAAAAGCCAAAGCCAUAAUCAAAGUACUAAAACUUUGUUCAAAACACAUUUAAGUAGGUCAGCAUUGAAAUGUAGUUUCUGCUCAUAAUCUGCAACAAAUAAACAGAAACUGCAGUGCAGUUUCUGCAACAAAAUCUGAAAUAAACAGAAACUGCAAUGCAGUUUCUGCAACAAAAUCUGCUCAAAAUCCGAAAACAAGCAUUGAAUGGCAGUCGAAAACGAAUAUCCACUCAUUAAACAAUUGUAUAAUUUUCAUUAACUUCAAAAAAGAAUCACAAUAUCCAAUUAGAAGCUGUGUAGCCAAUUACAAGCAACUAAAACUGCAAUACAGUUUUUGCAAAAAGUGCAACGCAGAAACUGACUAUACAUUCGCUAAACCAUAUCUAAAAUAAAAAAUUGUCAAAUGAGAAGGAGUGUUCAUAUAAUAGCCUUGCAAGUCUUCCUAUUGUGCCCAGCAACACUGCACCGACUGCAUUUCAAUGGCCUUUUAAAUUCACCAAAAACUUUGAUCCUCUUUGUUGAUGGUCUUCCGGCUGGCCUCUUUGUAAUUGGCGGAAGCACAACUCCAGCUGCAGAACCAUUGCUGCCCAAUCCUUUCCCAAUAUCUGGAAUAGGAUGGUUUCCGACUUAUAUGUGCACUUGGCAAUGACACACACCUCCAUUAGCCUUGAAAAUGCAAACAAAACAACAAACAAAAACAGAAAACAAUUAAAAUCACUAAAUAAUGUACAUGAGCAGUUGUAACAUUCCAAUAGAAAUCCAAAUAUUAGUAUGAAAUCGAAUUAUGAAACAAGAAACUACACUGCAGUUUAUAGUCAAAAACUGAAAUAACAGAAACAACAUUGCACUUUAUGUGAUAACAUACCCUUAAAUUUGAAUAGAAACCAAAAGAAAGCCAUGUUCAAAGUACUAAAACUUAGAUAAAAACACAUUUAACUCCAUGAGCAGUUGUAACAUUGCCUUUAUGAAACCAGAAACUGCAAUGCAGUUUCUGCGAACACUCCAACAAACAGAUGCAGUUUAUAACAGAGGAGGCAAAACAAAUCGAAUAGAAACCAAAAGGAAACCACGUUAAAAGUACUAAAACUAAUAUCAAAACACAUUUAACUCCAUGAGCAGUUGUAACAUUGCCUUUAUGAAACCUGCAGUUUCUGCCAACACUCCAACAAACAGAUGCAGUUUAUAACAGAGGAGGCAAAACAAAUAGAAUAGAAACCAAAAGGAAACCACGUUAAAAGUACUAAAACUAAUAUCAAAACACAUUUAACUCCAUGAGCAGUUGUAACAUUGCCUUUAUGAAAUCAGAAACUGCAAUGCAGUUUCUGCCAACACUCCAACAAACAGAUGCAGUUUAUAACAGAGGAGGCAAAAAAAAUCGAGCCACAAGAUCGCGCCACAAAAUCGAGCCACAAAACUGAGCUCGAAAAACCCAAAACUGACAGAUUCGGCAUGAUAAUCGAACGAAAGAUUAUCCAAUUAGAAGGAAACAAACAAACUGCAUUGAAUUUUGGAACAGGAUGCAGCAUGAUAAUCGAACGAAAAAGAUUCGGCAUGAUAAUCGAACAAAAAAAUUGACAAAUUCGGCAUGAUAAUCGAAAGAAAAAGGAAGAAAUAAAAGGAAAACCAACCAGAAAAUUGAGCGAGAGGGUGUCGUUGUUGAUGGAGCAAAUAAGGAAGAGGAGAGAGAGCGGGUGUCGUCGUCAUUGAUUGAGCGAAGAAGGAAGAGAAGAAAGAGAGGGCGUCGUAUCGUCAAUAGAGAGAAGAGGGAGUCGUCAUUGCUGGAGUGAAUAAGGAAGAGGAGAGAGAGAGAGAGAGAGAGAGAGAGAGAGGUGCUGAAAUUUGAUUUUAAAACAAAAGGGUAAAAUUAUAUUUUACCUUUAUAAUUUAGACAGGCCCAGUGAAUAUGGGCCUCCUUUUUGGCCUAAUCCAAAAUAACAAUUCUUUUCUAGGUAUUAAAACCCAAACAAAAAUGCCCAAUGUCUCAAAUACUAAUUAGUAAAGUUAAUUAUGUCUAAUACCUAAUUUUUCUUAAAUAUAAUAUAUCGACCCAAGUGGUAACUAAGUUCACUUUCAGAAUCAUAUUCAAACUUUAUUAGUUCAUUAUGCUGAAUAAUAACAGCUUUCCAAAUUAGUUAAAGAGUGCUGCUAAACGAAUCUUAAAAUUAACUGAGUACACCCUACUAUAAAAGUAUAUAUUGAAUUACUGAUGUAUCCUAAUAUAAAAGGACUAAAAAGGAUAUAUGGAAUUGUGAAACAAAUAUAAUUUUAAUAAGUACACCCUACUAACUAUAUUCAACCCUAAUUAAAAGAUUGCUUGUCCUAUUGUGUUUUUAACGAAAGAUGUGGUAAUUGCAAGAACUUGGAAUUGCAAAAAAAGUGUCAACAGUUUUAGUAGAAGCAUAAAUCCAUAUGAAAAGUCAAAGAUUUAUAAACACUAUUAAAAAAAUCAAGCUGAAAAUUAACUAUAAAAUAAUGCUACAAGUAUUAUGGUGUAUCAGGGGUAUUUUUGGUAGUUUUAUAGGGUGUACUUAAUUAAUUUUACAUUUUAAUUAAAAUAUUAGGGUGUACUUAGAUCACAGGGUGUACUCAGUUAAUUUUAAGGUUCGUUUAGCAACAUUCUUAGUUAAAUAUGGGUUAUGUAGGAAACACUUUUACUUAUUAUAAGUGCUUUUAUUAGAAGUACGUUGAAACUUUUAUUAAAAAUUCAAGUGUUUCCAGAAGAAGCACUCCAGAAAGCACUUUCAAUGUUCAGUUCGUUCAUGUAAAGAGAAUACAAAUAUAUAAUUAGUUCACUAAAGUCUUAAAUUGAGAGCACGCAUGUAGCCGUUGAGCAUGACAUUAUUGUUUCAUGAAAACAAUUCGUGAAGGAAGGAAACUCAGUUACAAAUUGGUUGGCUUGACACAGUCAUGCAACCCUUCCAACCCCCAAUCCUGAACAUAUAACUUUCAUGCUUCCAUGGUUGCCGUUUGCGUUUAGCAAAAAGCUAACCAAACAUAUGCCUCCAACCAUCAGAAAGCUAGGCUAGCCUUAUAUAGUGUAAAAUAACUACACUCUAAUCUCAAAAGUUUUGGAAAAACUCUCUUAAAACAAACAAAACCCUAAACAAUUAUGGAAACAAACUAGGAAAGAAUCCUUCUUUGAUUAAGACACACAUCACUUGCACGGAAUCUUUGGGGUUGUUACACUUCCUAUAAAAUUCUGAAAAAAUAUGAGACACGUAGUUUAUCUCUUAGAUUUCCAACCAUAUAUCACACACCAAUAGGUAAAAUUCAAAUAGUUCUAAUGGGAUUGCAUCUUAGGCUGUCUUGACUUGCAAUUCUGGAACAAUUGGCUUAAAUUAUGAAAAUUUGACACAAUGAUAUCCAAUGUAUUAGCUUUCUUCUCAAGAUGGCCUUACGCUAAAACUCUUCCGAAAAGUUGAUUUUCCGUCCAAAACCUUCUUAGAGCGCAUAAAAGCUGAAAAUAAGGAAGUAAAGUAAUAAGGCUCUUUUUAAUCAACUUCCCCUACAAAAACCAAAUAUAAAUUAUCUAAAUAUAUAAGAAAUAAGGCACUUAUCACAAAUAUAUAAAUGAAUGCUCUUCUCAAGAAUAGAUUCUUUCAAAGGGAAAGGGUUGUAAGUCUAUAUAGAUAUAACAUGUCAAACACUAACUUGUUUCAGACAUGAUGAACAAGAUGAUGAUGAUGUCGACUACACUGCACCAUAGAACAAAAGAGAUCUUCUUCUAGAAGUUGAGCCUUAUAGCAGUGAUUCUAGAUGAGGUGAAUUUCUAUAAGCUUGGAUGUCUCGGCUCUAAGAGGGAGCUCUAUAUUUAUAUGCAUCUAUCUAGGAGUCUUGCCCAUCAAGAAACUCCUAGAGAUAACCUUCAUGUGAUAAGAUAUGUAGAAAUCUUAAUCCUUAUAGAAGUAGGAAUCCUUAAGCAUUUAGGUAUAUCUUAAACACUUAAUUUAGGCUACCUUAUCAGUUCAGAAUCGAUUUCCUGAUAAACAAUGAUUCCUUAGUAACUCUAUAUUGAUUAGAAGAUCAUUUUUGUAGGUUUAAAAUAGUAAACCAUCUUACAUUCUCCCACUUGAUCAAAUAAUCAAUUGGAAUUCAUUGUCAUCACUUAAUGGCCAUGUAGAACUCAUCUCUUCUCUAUUCCUUUGGUCAAGCCACUGUCUUCAUAAGGGACUGUCGAAGCACCUUGGAUAUAUAACAUCCAAGACUUUUACAGCCACACAUAUAUGAACUUAACACAUAAGGCUUCCAACUAGACUACGAUUAAAACCUAUUAUGAUUAUUCUGUCGAAGUGUAAUAAAUCAUCACUGUUUUAGCUCACCCUUCAAGACUGCCAAGGUCUCUCAAAACAAAAACAUUAAUGACUCAUUCAUAGAUUCAACCUGUUAUGACUUUCAGCAUAUAAAUUAUGCUUAAUGCUUUGUUUUUGUCUACUCACAUUUUCUGUUUUGCACCUCUGAGGUUUUAGUUAUCCGAGGUCGAGACCACCACAUCGAGGCAUUGUCGCUGUCCACACUUGAGGACAAGUACAGAACAAGGACCUAUUAUUUAAAAAUACGUUCGUACGAGUAUAAUAUAGUAUUAAAUGUUAGAGUGCUAAAUUCUUUAUACAGGUAAUAACUAUGGAAAAUUAAAAAAUCUAAAAGGAACAAUAGAGACUUAGGUAAUAGCCUAAUCGUAAUGGAUAAUACUCUAAACUACUCUCAUCAAUAAACAAAAAUAAAGGGGGAGGGGGGGAAUUUAAAAGAAAAAAAGAAUCCCAGUAUAUAUAUAUAGAGUAUAGUCGAUCGGGCAUACUUAUUUAUUAAAAAAAUUAUAAAGAAAAAAGGGCCCAGCCCAGUAAAGCCGAGCAACUAUACUAUUUAACCAAAAAAAAGGGGGGUAUAGCCGCGUGGCUAUACAAUUUAAUUUUAUAAAAAGCACAGUACUAUUUUUAAAAAAAAAAUCGAGUAUAGCCACAUUGCAAUACUAAUUUAUAAUUUUAAAAAAAACCAUAGUAUCGCAGCGCAGCUAUACUAUGUUAUUUUUUUAAAAACCGUAGCAUAGCCACAUGACUAUGCAGUUUAAAUACAUUAUAUUUACAAGGUAUAUCCGAUCAGCUAUACUAAAAAAUUCAUAUAAUUAAUUUAAAUUUCUUAAUAUAAUUAAUUUAUUCAAAAAUAUGUGAGAAUUAUGUGUAUAAUACGUGAAUUUUGUGUGUAUUAUUAAAAAUUUUAUUAAAAAAUACUUGUAUUUACAUGAAAAAUAUAUACAUACGUGUACAAUACGAGUAUUGUAAGUUUGAUUUUUUUUAAAUGUGAAUUUUACUGAGUUUUUAAGGUGUGUACAGAACACGAAUCUAUUAUUGAAAAAUAAGUGCGUAUGUGUAUAAUAUAGUAUUAAAGGUGAAAGUGCUAAAUUCUUUAUAUGGGUAAUACCUAUGAAAAAUAAAAAAAAUCCAAAAGGGACAAUAGAGACUGGGGUAAUCACCUAAUCGUAAUGGAUAAUGCUCUAAACUAUUGUAAUCGAUAAACGAAAAUCAAGGGAAAAAUUUAAACAAAGAAAAGGAUCCUAGUAUAGAUAUAUAAAGAGUAUAGCCGAUCGGCUAUACUACUUAUUAAAAAAGUUAUGAAGAAAAAGAGCUCAGUAACGGUGCGCGGCUAUACUAUUUUUUUAUAUAUAAAAAAACCCAGUAUAGCCGCACGGCUAUACUAUUUAUUAUAUUUUUAAAAAAGCCGGUACAGCAGCCAGCUAAACUAAUUUUAAAAAAUAAAAAUAAAAACACGUAUUGCCGCACGACUAUACUAUUUAUUUAUAAAUAAAUGCCCAGUAGAGCAAAACGGCUAUACAAUUUUAAAAAAAUAAAAAUAAAAACUGAGUAUAGCCGCCCGGUAUACUAUUUAUGAAAAAAAAAAAACGAGCCAGGUAAAGCCGCUUUGCAAUACUAUUUUUAAAAAUGAAAAUAAAAAAGCCCAGUACAGCCGUUGGCUAAAAAAACCGAGUAUAGCUGCACGGCUAUACUGUUUAUAAACUUAAAAAAUUAAAAAAAACCCCGCCUAGUGUAUUUGUGCGCAUGUGUUAAAACAAUAUAGCCGUCCGGCUUCACUAUUUUAUUUUUAAAAAACCGUAGUAUAGCCGUGCGGCUAUACUAUUUUAUUUUCAAAAAAAACCACAGUACAGCCGGUCGGCCAUACGCGUUAAAUACAUUAUAUUUAGAAGAUAUAGCCGCGCGGCUAUACUAUGUCAUAAAAAAUAUUAGUAUAAUUAAUUUAAAAUUUUUUAUCUAUAUAUUUUUAUUUAGUAUUAUGUGAGAAUUAUAUGUUUAGUACAUGAAUUUUGUGUGUAUUAUUGAUAAUUUUAUAAAAAAUAUGUGUUUUAAAUAUAAAAAAUAUGUACGUACGUGUACAAUACGAGUAUUGUAAGUUUGCUUUUUUUUUUUUUUUAAAACAUGAAUUUUACGAAGUCUUUAAGACAUGUACAGAACACGAAUCUAUUAUUGAAAAAUAUGUGUGUACGUGUAUAAUACAGUAUUAAACGUGAAAGUGUUAUAAUUUUAAUUCACAUUUUCUAUUGUUCCAUGAACCAUUCUUGCUCUCACAACCUCCGAGAAGAUAAAAUACCAAAUGACCAGUGGAUGGAUCCCUUCAGUGCAUUGCACAACUUAUUUCACUUUCAAUGCACAUCUAAAAGAAAGAUUGGUCUCAAGGUUUACCAGGAUUCGAUCUGUGGGAUGCAAGUUGUGCCAUUUUCUUCCCAUACUUGGUAUGUGAGUAGUUUAUCCUUCCAAACAUCUCACAUCAGCCCUUUCCCUAAUAGGGCAGCUCCAGCGCAAGGGGCAAAGGCCGGCAAAAGGCAGCCCCAGGCCCAAAAACGCUCUUCAACGAGCAAGGUCCAGCCCAAGCAAGAGGUGGGACCCACCAACAUGGGCAAGCCCAAGAGCAAGAAUCGCCUGGGCUGUUGCUCGAAGACUAUUGACGUCAGCAACCAAACAAAAUAGAAAAAAAAAAAUUCAGAUUUUUAUUUAUUUAAAAUUUUAUAAAUACCUAACCAUAUUAUUUACUUCCCUCACCAAAAACUCUACACAAAUUCAUCUCCUGAUAUAUCAUGUGAAUAAUAAUUGCUUUCGUCCUAGCCCAUAGGGGUGGAAAUAAAAAAAAUAAAGACUGUUACUAUUCACAUAAAUAGUGACAAACCUUGUCUUGCUUUUAUCUUGCCCUUACUCUUUAGGAUGGAGGUGCUCUUAUGUCUAUUUAUUCGAUGCAGCGGAUGUGAGUAAGUUAUGUUUAAGAAUCUAUUCUGAGAACAGCAAUCAAAUAUUUAAGCCCAUCCCUAUUAUGUCUCUUUAUUCGAUGCAGUGGAUGUGAAGUUGGGCCCAAUGAUCUUGUGCUGAGCCUGAGUUUCUUCUGCUAUUCAGAUGAGGCAAAAAGGUUGCAAAAAAUAUUAAAAUAUUUGGUUAUGGCCUUUGGGAUUGGGAGGCAUAAUCAUAUCCACGCUGCAAAGUGUUUUCUUUUUCUUUUCUUUACUGUAAAGCUGGUUUCCGUACCGUGAAACUAUCAUCACCAUUUCUGCCUAUAUAAUUAGAGGCAAAUGCAUUGAAUUGAUAUAUCAAUAUCAGAGAUACAUCUGUGAAUGUGAGGGAGAAAAAAAUUCAAUAAAUGUGGAUCGUUUGCAUAUGUAACCAUUAAUUCUUUUGUGCAGUCUCAGAGUGUUUACAUGAAGCACAAGAGAUUGGAUUGCAGCCAAGGAUGACUUGCCGGCAUUUACAGUACUCUUGCUUUAUGCAGUUGAGGUUUGCCGGCAAGUUGUCUUUGGCUACAUUUUGCUCUCUUCUUCUCAUGUCAGCCUCUGAGACUUGGGAUUGUUUUAGUGCCUCAACAUUUUCACUGAUUUUUGCAUUAUGUAUUAUUAUUUUUUAACUCAAGUGAUAUCAGGAGAGAGUCAAAGCGUCAAUACUCUUUAACUACUUGAGCUACAAAUUUCUUGUAUUAUUUUUUUUGCGGAAUUAUAGGAAAGGUCCUCUGUGAUCCCAAUUAAUGAGCAAAACUCACUUUUUUUUGUUUUUUUUUUUGUUUGUUAGAACAGCUUGUUUUCUUCAAAAUCUUAACCUGUUCUACAGCUUCGUGUAUUCUUUCUCCAGAUUCCGAUCAACCCAUAGGCCGCAAUAUUUGACUGUAUUGUGAUUGCUGUGGUGAGAGUAGCAGGCAACAUAUCAUCCACUAGGCCGCAAUAUUUGACUUUCAAAUUCUAUGUUACAAGCUUUUACAACAUUACAUCAUUAUUUUUUAUAUUUAUGUUGUCAUUGUUUUCACAUUAGUUUCCUGAUUUUAUUUUAGGCUAAUUAUUAAAAAAAAAUCCGGAGUUAUUUUCAAGUUUAUAUCAAUUUGGUAAGACAUUUACAACUUAUACUCAAACUUUCAAAACUCUAUAAAUUGACCGUUCCGUUACACAAAACAUUAAUAAGUCUAUUAAAUAUUGAUGUGUCAAACAUGAACCCAUUUUAAUGACAUGGACUUUCAGGUGGACAUACAAAUAAUAAACAAAUUUCUAGUUUAAAAAAAAAAAUUUAAUCAUAUAAAUUUUCGGCUCUGAACCUCGUCUUCUCCUUAUUCGCACCCAAAAAAACCCUAAAUUCCACCUCCGUCGUCUUCUUCUUCUUCUUCCUCCUGGGGUUACCGUUACCCAAUAAUCCCGGCCCUCCAAUCUCACACUCAAUAGCAAUGAAGCGUGACCUACCCGAGCUCGAUAAGCAACUCUGCGGCGUCUGCGGCUCUACAGAGCGGUGGUUCCUCCACUACGUCCGCCACAGAGGAAUUUAUCGUAAGCUCUGCACCAACUGCGUCCUCAAGAACAACCCAGGCCUCUUCUGCCUUAUCUGCCUCGACUUCUAUGAGCAACCCCCUUCCAGUACGUAACCAGGUCAUGUGCGUCAGGUGCCCUUCCAUCUCUCACUCUGCAUGCGUCGCAGCUAAUUCCUCCUUCCGCAACUUCCAGUGCCCUCCCUGCUCCCAACCCACAUUCUCCUUCUUUAACCUCAGCCGCCAAAACGACUGCCAAGAAGCCAAAACAACAAUCGUGAUCGACAAGGACGCAGCCAAGGCCAUCUUCGCCGCGGCCAGGAUCGCAGCGGCUGUGAUGACUGAAGCUGCCGUCGUCGCCAGGGGCACGGCCGAGAGCCAGGUCAAUGACGCCAUCACGGCGAAAAAGAAGGCCAGAGAGGCCUUGGAACGACUCACGUCUCUUGUCAACAUGGAAAAGGAGAAGGAUUUGAAGAGUGGAGAUUUUGUUUCGGCGCCUGAGAGCCUCAACGUGAAACCUAAAUUGGAGGGUCCUGGUGCAAUUCAAGUGGCGUCCAAGAGUUCUGACCCUGAGGGAACCAAUGGGUUGCCUGGUGAUCAGUUGAAAACCAGUCGUGCUGAUCCUAUGGAAGAAGACUGAUUUCAGAUCAAGGAAGGAGCUUGAGCUUGAUGGGUUCAUGGGUUCAUAGGUUAAGUUUCUUUUCAUUAUUUGAUGAUGCUCAGCCUAUGCUAUUUAGCUUCAACUUGAGCUUCUACACAGCCUUCUGGCACACUUGAGUCUCGUUCUUUUCAUUAAUUUUUUAAAACUAUUUUUAAGAAGUACAGAAGUUUUUAUUAUUUAAUUUGGUUUUAAGCUUGAACCAUAUAUUAUUGGUUCGGUUUUAAGCUUUUGUAAACAGGUCGGAUUGUUGAAUUGUAACUUGUUAGUUAUUGAAAUUUGAAGUUUCAUGAAAUGUUGAGUUUUAAAAUGGUCUGAUACACUAGAAAAUGGAAAAAAAAAAGUAUGUAGAAAGUUGAGGAUCGGCUAAUGCUAACAAAUAAACCUGCAAUUGAUUAUUUUCACUAAUUUCAAAUUCGUUUUGGGUUCAAUAGUCUAAUUUAAAACAUGCCCCAACCUCAAGUUACCCAUUUGCUUGGCCUAAUGGUCAAACAAGCUCCAACGUUACCCAAUAUAAAUUUUACACGUGUUAGGCUCAAAAAACAUCACACAUGCAUGAAGAGGUAUGUUGUGGUAUGUAAUAGAAACAUAUAGGAGGCAAUUGAGGGUGCAAACAUACCUCCUCUCUUAUUUAUGCUAACUAAACAAAACGCACCAAAUCAUAUAUAGCAACAACAAAAAAGCUAAUAAAUAAUAUAAGUAUUAAAUCGUCUCCUUUACUUCUCUCUUCCAGUGUUAAAUUUUGGUCCUUUAACAUGAGAUAAAAGAGAGCAAAGGUGAAGCAAGGAUGACUUCCCAUAAGAUGUUCGAUAGAAUAAUACCAAAUUCUCGCAAGUCAUCCUCGGCUCAUUUCUACUCUCAAUACUCUCAGACAAAUGGAACACUUAAUGAUUAAAAGCUCAUGAAACGUCAGAAAUGAAAAAGAAUCAAGCAAAUGGGAUGUUGUGCAGAUAAGCCUCAUUAUAAGGCGCCUACUAGGGGUGUUUUUCGGCCGGAACGGAUCGGAAACCACUGUUCCGAAUUCCGUUCCGAAGCUUUUCGGAAUUACCUUUUAGUUCCGAGUCCGAUUCCGAAAUUUCGGAAUGUACUAACUCUAUUCCGAUGCGGAAUUUUCGGCAUUAUCGGAAUUUUCGGAAGUUAAUAUUUUCGGAAUUUUCGGAUAAUAGUUUCGGCAUUUUCGGAUAAUAAUUUUGGAAAUCAAAUUUUGAAAUGUUCUUGUGAAUCAUGAUUAAGCCAACCAAACAGGAAAAAAAAUUCCAGAAGAAUUCCAAUGUUUACAUUCAAAUGACAUAAUGUUCAAAUUUAAACUAGUCCACAAUAAAAACAGAAAAUGAAAACUACAAGUACAAGAUCCAUAAUACAUACAAAAUCAACUCAUCACUGGAAAUAAGCUAACAUCAUUUUUCGCAACACCAUUGCUGAAAUCACGAAUAUGCCAACCUGCAAUUCCAAGGUUACAGCUAAUUACUCACUCGUUUUGAGGAUAUAUAUAAUCUGAACUGUUAUGCAAAAGAGUUAUGAACAGUCAGAUGCUAUGAACUGUUAUGCAUGCUUCGGUAGACAACAUGGGUACAUGAAGAGAAAAGUGGAAGGAACAUAAGAGUGCUAGUUCUACUCAGAAAAUGCCUAUCCUUAAACCUUUGAUUGUACAUGAGUGAUACAAGCUAUAUCUGCUACAGGAUAUGAAAAAUGUCUAUGGAAUGGAAGGAAUGGAAGUCAGCAACAAAGAAAUUAGCUGCGAGUCAUGACCUAAAAUCAAGAAUAUCAAAGCAUAUAGAUCUCUUGGUGUAAUUAUUAACUAGAAGUAUCAUACAUUCAUGUGUGAUGGGAAGUUCUAUGAUGUUAGUUAAAAAGGGGUAAUGUUACAGUAAUAGUAUUUAUUUGAACAAAAAUCAACACUCACCUCUCUAAAUUAAAAAGUACACCAUCUCCAAUUCCUUGAAAUAAUUUGUCAAUAAAAGAAGCUGCAAAACAAAAUAUAUACAAUGUUCCAUCAUCAAACAUGAUAAAAGAAAGAAAACUAUACUAAAUGUAUAGAAUGUGAAUGUUCCAUCAUCAAGCUCAACUAAAUUUAGUUAGCCUAGAUAAACAGAAUGCUCUAUCAGCAAGAACAAUCACACAUUAUUAGAGCCACGACACUAUUCCAGAACAAUCAAACAAGAGCACAUUAUACUAGAUAAGAAUUGCACAGUACCAAUACCCCAAUAUCAUUCCAGAGGAAUCCAAGAAAAAAAAAAUCUGCAUAUUUAUACAAAACUAAACUAAAGAACUCCAUACCUUCAUAUUCAGUUCCAUUCAUUGACGUGACAGAUUUUCCAACUCUUGGCUUACAACUGCAACAAGCAUAAAAUCUAUACUAUAAUUAUAAAAAAAAAAAAAAAAGCAAUUUAAGAGCUGUAAAUAAUUUAAAGACAGAUGUUACAUACCAAUUUCAAUUUCCUCAAGCUCUUCAAGUUGUUCUUCAACAUUCUCACACUCUAGUUUGGAACAUCUUAACCAAUCUUGGGUACACACCAAAGCCUCGACGAUAUUUGGUGUUAAGGAACUUCGAAAUGGGUCAAGAACUCUUCCAGCUGUACUAAAAGCAGAUUCUGAAGCAACAGAUAUCACUGGAAUUGAUAAAAUAUCUCGUGCCAUUAUCGCAAGUGCAUGGUAGGUUGCAUACUUCCCUUUCCACCAAACCAAUACAUCAAAGUUUGGAGAUUCAUCCUCAAUUCCAUCACUCAAGUAUUUGUCCAGAUCAUUAUUAGCAUCUGCAUGCUCCUUUCUUUUCAAUUUACUCCUAAACAUCUCCUUCUUGGAUCGAUUCCCACCUUGAUUAGCCACAACACUCUCUGAAUUUGCAGAUUGAUCAUCUAAAGAUGUAGCUUCUGACUUAUAAUGAAGAUAAAGACGUGACAUCAUACUUUUGAAUCUUUCAACCCAAUCCUCAACUUUUUUAUCUUUUUCAUCCUCACUUAGAAGAAUAUCACUAUCCAAGUAACUUCUAUACCAAAACGUCACAUAAUCCAAUUUAUAUCUAGGGUCUAGCACAAUAGAAGCAAUCAAAAUUGGAUUCAAAGCAUCAAUGUUACAAUAUUUUUCAAAUUUUUCAUUCAUUUUCUUAGCCAUGGAACUAAGAAAAACAUCAUUGCUGCCCAUUUGUUGCAAGAGCAUAUCCUUGGUUUGUGUCACCUCAUCAAAGUAAGUGUUAGAGGUGAUGUAAUGAGAACCAGAUAUACGCUUUGUUAGAAGAUAAAAAUCUUCCAAAAACGUAUGCAAACUUCGCAAUUUUCUCCAAUCAUCUUCAUUUAUGGGACCCCUCUCAUGACAGCUACUUCCACCUUUUUUUUUCUUCAAACCCAACUCACUUCCAUCUUCUUUAUUUUUUUUCAGUUCACAUUCACUUCUAUAGAAUGGAUCAUGCUCCAAAAGCCUAUCAAAUACUUUCUCAAACUCCAUUGCUGCAUUUAUCAUCAAAUAUGUUGAAUUCCAUCUUGUUUUAACAUCUAAACACACAACCUUCUUGCAAGUUACACUCUCCUCUCC